GAGGGUGACCAGGGUUGUGACCAUAAUGUGGUGGCUUCUCUCCCUUAGGUGGUUUGCCAACUGGGGUUGGUGGCUUGUAUGAGUCUUCAGCAUUCUCAGCAGGAGGGUGACCAGGGUUGUGACCAUAAUGUGGUGGCUUCUCUCCCUUAGGUGGUUUGCCAACUGGGGUUGGUGGCUUGUGUUCUGGGAGUGGCUUCUCCCCCUUGGGAGGUUUUUCCAAUGGGGUUGGUUUGUGUUCAGGAGGUGGCUUCUCCACUGGAGGCUUGUGUUCAGGAGGUGGCUUCUCCACCGGAGGCUUGUGUUCAGGUGGUGGCUUCUCCACCGGAGGCUUAUGCUCUGGUGGUGGCUUCUCGAAUGGGGGAUGCUUAGGAUAAUCAGCAAGUGAGGGGGCGGUGAGAACCACCAGGCCAAGCAACACCACUAGCAAAUAUGUAGGAGACAUCUUUGGGUUUGGGCUCAGAUGGUGCAAAACUAGGAGAAUUGGCUAGCCUUUUAUAGCGGAUCGUACCCAAUAAUGAAAUGACACGUGUCAUUAUGACCCAUGUGUAAUGGGGUCGAUUUGGGUCCUACAGUGUUGAAAACUUCGACAUCCACUUUUGGCCUUUUGCUUUCUCUACAGCCGCCUUGCUUUUUCCCUCUUUCCUUUUGUUUUCCUCCUGCCCCAUUCUAUCAACUAAACACAAUUAUGUAGUUGUUUAAUUCUUAAAUGAGAUAUUAUCCGUCAAUCGUAUUAUAUUUUAUCAAGAGAGAACGGAGUGCAAUGUGGCUGUAAUUUUAUCGUUUAGUUUUAUCUCUUGGACCACUGCAUUUUUGUUAAGAGGUGCAAUAAUACACGUCUUUAUCUGCCAUUCAAUAUUUACAGUAAAGAGAGGGCACAAAACUCUUCACUUCGCACCAUAAUUAUUUUGUUUUCUGGACACCCCGGGGCCCUUUGGUUGGUUUGGGGGUCAGAAAGUGAACAUCAUAGGGGGUUUUUCCCUUAUGUGCAUUUGUAUCUGAUGGCUUUAACUCGCCUUGUUACUACAAAGAAACUGUCACAGAUAGGAACUUAUUCCAGGCUGAGUAUCUCCUCAUAGACCCUAUAAAAGAAGACAAGUCAUAAUGAACAUCUAACCUUUGUUCAAUUUGAUUCAAUGCCCCCAUUGUGUCCAUCUCACAAAUCUGAAUUAUUAUAUCCAUUGAAUACAUAAAUUAAUGAAGAAAAUAUGAAACCCAAGAUACAUCUCUGCACAACCUCAACCCUGGUUGCUAUGUUUCCCUUCUAUUCACAUGAUUUGAUGCUAAUUGCCAAACUUGCAACAAGCCCUGAGUUUGACACCUAGUAUCGAUGGGCGAAUUUAAAGUCUCCUCCAAACAUAUAUUCCACAGCUUGAAGCUCACAGAAGAUGUUACAGGCAGGGAAAAACCUUCAGAGUUCGCUACCAAAGAUAAUUAUUAAGGAGAUAUCACAAAGAGAAUUCCAAGGGGUCUGAAUCAAAGACAAAUUGGUCGUUCGUGGGGGUUCUUACUUUCUUUUGGGUAUAACUCACUGAGGGCACUGUCUUUGUUAUUUGCAUUUCACAUUUAGAGUUCUGUUCUGGAAACAUAUAAAAGGAGCAUCAUUUUGUUCUUGGGUAACCCAUAGUCGUGAGUGGGUCCAUUUGCAUGCUACUUAGUUGAAAAGUUGGACCAUUUGCUCCGACGCCUACCUCCCGGAUUCCAUGCUCGGAUAAAACAAGAAUAAAAAAAAUAUUUAUAAUUUACAAAUGGGGGAAAGAAAAAAAUGUCAACAACAAACCAGGAAAAAAGAGUAGUAAAAUUCAUGUCACAUGCUAGUGAGAGAAGGGGUUGUUACACUCACUCGAAGUUCUUUCCAAAAUAUCGCAUGGUAUUUUAUUUUAUGUGUCAGCGCAGUUGUGAAUGGAACGUGCAAAAGUCCAAAUUGGCGUUUUUCCUUUUCCCGUGUAGGAUGGCGACCUUUAAUAAAUAUUUAAAACAAAAAACGAAAAAAAGGAGGGAAAAGGGAUCAGAAAAGAUAAAACAAUGUGUACAAGAGCUCAAUUAGUUUGCAAAUUACUGUUUGGAUUUUGAUAGUAUUUUAUUUGUCCAUCUAUAUUUGAUGGAAAAGAGAAUUUAAGAUAUUUCUGAAACAAAAGCAUUAGUGUAAAACUAAAUUAAGGUAUAAUUAAGUUAGUUCAAUGCAUUAAUUUAAGAAACUUGAUCUAUCCAAAGUACAAAAUUAGAUGAAAUCCAUUUCAAUGGUUAAAAUGAUCAAAAUCAAACUUUUUCUAAGUAUUUUUUAAAAGCAUCAAUAUUAAAAGACAAUUUUAUAUUUAGUCGGAGUUUGGACAAAACCAAAAAGCACACAAAAUCCAAGCGACCAUCUCUAGCUUGGAUAGUCACUUGAUCCCACCUAGAGAUGUGCAUGAGUAAAAGGAUUUGAAAAUGGAAAUUGACUAAAUAUUUAGUUGAUCAAUUAAAUUUGCAAUGUCAUAUGCAAUCCUAAUAGCUAGUCAUCUAAUCAAUUAGGUAGUCAAUCAAGUGUUUGUAAUGACUAUUUUGUACAAAAAACCACAUGUAUAGUUAAAUAUAAUGCAUUUCAUUUAUAAAUCUUCUAAUUCUUGAAUAACGAUCCUAUCAUCCUUUGAAAAUUUUUAUUACACCUUUUUUACUUUUGUUCUAAAACUUACAUAUCACCCUUAAUUGUACCAUGAGAACCUAGCUAUUUUUUUUUUUUUUGUAAUUCAUCAAAGUUAGCUUUUGUAUUCAUUGUUGUAUUAUUUUUAGUAUAACUUAGAAAGCUAGUGUUUUCAAGUGAGUAAAAUUAACUUGUAAAUAUUGUAAAGAUUCAUUGAUAUGUAUCUUAAACUAAGUGUACAAAUUAAAACAUUUGCUAGUAGAUUUUCUCAAAAUUUAGAAUAGAGCUUGAGGCUAUUGAAAUAGGUGGGGUUACACCAAACCACAUCACAUCGUUGUUUGCACCUUUUUUCACUCUCUUUUACUUAGUUUCUCUAUAUUUGUUGUCUAGUAAUAUCCUAUAGGCUUGAUGGGUUAGGGAGCAUCCCUUUGUGAAAAAAUUUCAUUCAAUUCUUAGUUGUAUUACGCAUAUAUAAAAUGCCUCAUUGUUUUAAUGGUAUUCAGUCGUGGCAUCACAGAUAUGGGCAUCUAAAUUUUAAAAGUUUGAAACUUUUGUAAAGCAUGUUGAUAAAAUCCAUGAGAGUUGUGUACUUGGGAAGCAACAUCGAGGUGACUUUAUUUUUUUUUCCUUUUAUAAUGCCACACCUAAGUCCGGUUUCUAAAUGCUAAAGUGAAAGGGUAGGUAUGGACCAUUGAAAUGUGAUCACAACUUUUGGCCUUUUCCUUUCUCUGCAGCCAUGUUGUCUCUUUUUUCUUUUGCAUGAUUUUCUUACCAAAACAGAAUCAUAGACUUGUUUAGUCUCUAAGCUACUAUAUUAUAUCUCGGUGGACUUUUAAGAGUGCAACCGACAUAGAGCACAUGCAAGUGGGCAUAUGGGACAUGAAAUUUCUUCUUACAAAGAUUGCAUGAUUUUUAUAUUAGAGUUGUUCACGUGCAAUGUAUUUAGCUUGUUUUGCAGUUAAAUUAAUUGGAUAAGUAAACAUUGGCAUUUCUAAAUCGACUGUGAAGUGCUUCAUGUACGUGUAAAGUAUUAGAAAUUUCUUUCUUGGCAACUUGUUUUUUCCUUGCCAUCUACUGGUAGGUUUGACUAAAAUUAUAUUCCCUGUCAUGCUAAUUAAUUUUCAUGUGCAUGCUCAAAAGAAGAGUAUGACCUUAGUGCACCAAAAUCACUUUGAUUAAUUUGUGAUAGGUUUUUUUGCAUCAUUUAGAUAAUGUUUAGUUCUAAGAAAAAUUUAUAUAAAAAUGGUUUAUUUAUCUUACAUAUAUAUAUAUAUAUAUAUAUUUUUUUUUUUUUCAUUUUUUUUUCUUCUAUUUUAUUUAUUUAUUUUAUUUUCCUUAUGUUUUCCUCACAUUUUCCGGAACUAAACAUAGUCUUACGAAAUCAACAAUUGCCUUCAACUGAGUAGAUUCUGUUGUUUUAGCAAUGUUAGGCUGCUAACUUGUGGUGGUACGAACCAAAUGACCCAUGUUAAUCUUGGCUUGGUUUGAUUUGGCUCUAUCUCAGAGAGCUAAAGGAUCACGUCAACUCUGGUUUCUACUAUUCAGGUCCAUUCCCAGAUGAACUGGUUCAAAUUUGAGAAAAUGGUAACAGACCUUUAGUGAUGUUGGUUUGGAGCCAGUUGCCAAACCCGCCCUGAGCUUUACCACUAAUGUCAAGGGAGAAAGCCAUUUGAACAAAAACAAUAGCUUCAAGAGACUGAAUCGUGGAUGAAAUCUGAUCCACAUUUCUUCUCAUUUUGGGAAAAAAUGAGAACUUAACUACAAAGAUUCUACUGCCUCAUUCAUAGUGCUUUUCCUGAUCCAAGGUUGGUUCGUUUCCCAAAUUGUGAGGUGCACGUGCCACUCUCACGCUCAGGAGUGUAUCCACGUGGUGGACAUCAGAUGGUGGCUUAAUAUCUGGUGUCGGUGGCUUUACUUUACUAGGAGAGUAGUGUGUCUUCAUCUCAUUCACUGCCGGAGGGUGGCGUAAGCAGUGACGCUAAGGUGGGGCACAGUCAAUAUCAUUUGCAUUUGACCAUUAUAGUUUUCUCCCGGCUUGAAAGUAACCUUAUCGUGAUAAAGGAUUACUAGCACUAGUUCAGAUGACCGUCAUGUUAAUUCGGACCAUGUUUGUGUCACAUUAUCAGCAACCAUGUGUUUAUGGUUCAUGCUAUCUGCAACUAAACUUGAUAUAUAACCAGGUGAACUUCAAUCAAAAUUCUGGAAGUACUCUUGUGAUAGAUGGUGCCUGUCUGCAGAGUCCAUCAAUUGAAAAAUGGAGUGAGUGUAUCUAUAAGAGGGAAGGCUUGGCAAAUGUUCAGUUUUCUGGGAAUUCAACAAGGAUCUAAAAUAGAUUGUUUUCUUUGCCGACUUCAAUGGUUGAAAUUUGAGAAGAUUGUGUCCACAUAUCACAACUAUUACUGGUCCUUCUGUUGCAAUUUAUCCUGUAAGGCUCUAACAUGUCUUCCAAUUCCCACUUCCCUGUUACUCCAGGAAAGCUAUUUCUGUCAUUGUGAAGAAGAAAAGAGAAUGUACAUAUCGAUGCUUUUAAGUGACUGGAGCAUUCAUAUCAGGUGGUCUGCAGCCAUAUAUGCCACUUUGUGAAGGUUGGAACAGUCAAUCACUAGGCUAUAUAUUGGUGUGGCCCAGCCACUUCAAUCAAGGACAAGUCUUCAUACUUAAAGUCAAAUUCUGCCUUUAGUCUCAUUAUAAAUUGCUGUUUAAAUAUUAAGCAAACUUUUGUUUAAUGCGAUUAAGACAGUACUAACUCAAUACUUGUUCUAUUUUUGGAUGCAAAUGCUUGAUGGUUUCAUCAUUGGAUGGGAUAAAGGUGCAUUCAUGAUUAUGAAUACUUGUAGUUAUAUUUUCAUUCUCUUUUUUCUCAAUGAGACUUGUUGGCACAAUGUUGCUGUUCAGAAACCUACCUCUCCAUGGAAAAUAAGUUGCGAUUGAUAGUACUGGAUAUGUUCAAGAAAGCUAAAUAUAGAUAGCACAAAAUAUUAUCGAUAUAAAUAGCAUUAACAGCGUACGUAUGUCUCAAUGCUCAUCAGCUAUAAGCAUGGGACAAACACUUACUAUGAGCAACUUACGUCAAAAUUCCAGAAUAGGACAUAGAAGUGACAGAUCUAUAUAUAUAGAACACUGCAUAUGAGUCACAAGAAAGGAAAUUACGGGUGCAUAGCAGCUCUUAUUUUACAUACUACUACUCAUACUGAUCAAAGUCACUCAGUUGGGAUGGGUGGGAGUAGGAGGUUUGUGGGGUGGCUUGUGCGGAGGAGUUGGCAGCUUCUUUCCAGGACCUGGUUGCUUCUCUGCUGGAGUUGAAGGAGGCUUAAUCUUCCGAGGUGGCUUGUAUGAGUCUUCAGCAUUCUCAGCUGGAGGGUGACCAGGGUUGUGACCAUAAUGUGGUGGCUUCUCUCCCUUAGGUGGUUUGCCAACUGGGGUUGGUGGCUUGUAUGAGUCUUCAGCAUUCUCAGCAGGAGGGUGACCAGGGUUGUGACCAUAAUGUGGUGGCUUCUCUCCCUUAGGUGGUUUGCCAACUGGGGUUGGUGGCUUGUGUUCUGGGAGUGGCUUCUCCCCCUUGGGAGGUUUUUCCAAUGGGGUUGGUUUGUGUUCAGGAGGUGGCUUCUCCACUGGAGGCUUGUGUUCAGGAGGUGGCUUCUCCACCGGUGGCUUGUGUUCAGGAGGUGGCUUCUCCACCGGAGGCUUAUGCUCUGGUGGUGGCUUCUCCACCGGAGGCUUAUGCUCUGGUGGUGGCUUCUUGAAUGGGGGAUGCUGAGGGUAAUCAGCAAGUGAGGGGGCGGUGAGAACCACCAGGCCAAGCAACACCACUAGCAAAUAUGUAGGAGACAUCUUUGGGUUUGGGCUCAGAUGGUGCAAAACUAGGAGAAUUGGCUAGCCUUUUAUAGCGGAUCGUACUCAAUAAUGAAAUGACACGUGUCAUUAUGACCCAUGUGUAAUGGGGUCGAUUUGGGUCCUACAGUGUUGAAAACUUCGACAUCCAGUUUUGGCCUUUUGCUUUCUCUACAGCCGCCUUGCUUUUUCCCUCUUUCCUUUUGUUUUCCUCCUGCCCCAUUCUAUCAACUAAACACAAUUAUGUAGUUGUUUAAUUCUUAAAUGAGAUAUUAUCGGUCAAUCGUAUUAUAUUUUAUCAAGAGAGAACGGAGUGCAAUGCAGCUGUAAUUUUAUCGUUUACUUUUAUCUCUUGGACCACUGCAUUUUUGUUAAGAGGUGCAAUAAUACACGUCUUUAUCUGCCAUUCAAUGUUUACAGUAAAGAGAGGGCACAAAACUCUUCACUGCUCUGCAUGUGUCCCAAAAAUGCGAUUGGACAAAUUAUGAUUUGCAUGCUAAAAAGAGGCAAAUGAGGUUAAUUCGCACCAUAAUUAUUUGGUUUUCUGGACACCAUAAAAAGAUGUUAUACAGGCAGGGAAAAACCUUCAGAGUUAGCUACCAAAGAUAAUUAUCAAGCAGAUAUCACCAAGAGAAUUCCAUAGAGUCUGAAUCAAAGACAGAUUGCUCGCUCGUGGGGGUUCUUACUUUCUUUUGGGUAUAACUCACUGAGGUCACUGUCUUUUUUAUUUGCAUUUCACAGUUAGAGUUCUGCUCUGGAAGGUUUGUUCUGGAAACAUAUAAAAGGAGCAUCAUUUUGUUCUUGGGUAACCCAUAGUCGUGAGUGGGUCCAUUUGCAUGCUACUUAGUUGAAAAGUUGGACAAUUUGCUCCGACGCCUACCUCCUGGAUUCCAUGCUCGGUAAAACAAGAAUAAAAAAAAAUAUAUAAUUUACAAAUGGGGGAAAGAAAAAAUGUCGGAAAAAAUAGUAAAAUUCAUGUCACAUGCUAGUGAGAGAAGGGGUUGUUACACUCACUCGAAGUUCUUUUCAAAAUAUCGAAUGGUAUUUUACUUUAUGUGUCAGCGCAGUUGUGAAUGGAACGUGCAAAAGUCCAAAUUGGCGUUUUUAUUUUUCCCAUGUAGGAUGGUGACCUUUAAUAAAUAUUUAAAACAAAAGACGAAAAAAAAAAGGAGGGAAAAGGGAUCACAAAAGAUAAAAUAAUGUUUACAAAAGCUCAAUUAGUUUGCAAAUUACUGUUUGGAUUUUGAUAGUAUUUUAUUUGUCGUUCUAUAUUUGAUGUAAAAGAGAAUUUAAGAUAUUUCCGAAGCAAAAGCAUUAGUUUGCUCUGUGAUGUCCCACAUCGAAUAGGGGAGAAAGUUUCUGGCGCUAUAUAUGUAGAGGCUCCUCUUAACCAAGUAGAUGCGUUUUAAAACCAUGAGGGCCCCCUUAGGUCCAAAGCGGACAAUAUCUACAUGAUUGGGUGUAAGUCAUUACAAAUGGUAUCAGAGCCGAUCCCCGACCCCGGUGUGGGGGUUUGUUUGGCCCUGUAAGGGGUGUUUGUCUGUUUGACCCCACAAUCCCAUGGGACACAACGAGGACGUUGUGUCUGCAUGGGGGGGCGUUUGUGAUGUCCCACAUCGGAUAGGGGAGAAAGUUCCUAGUGCUAUAUAUGUAGAUGUUUCUCUUAACCAAGUAGAUGCAUUUUAAAAUUGUGAGGGCCUCUUUGGGCCCAAAGCGGACAAUAUCUACAUGGUUGAGUGUAAGUCAUUACAUGCUCCAUGUCAAUUUCAGCAUUUCUCAUAUGUUUCACACAUACACAGAAGAGCAUCGUUUUUUAAAGCAUGCAUUUAUGUUGGAUUAAUUUGGAUUUUGUGGGAACUGGGGCAAGGAUCACAUGGAAGAGAGGUUGACUUUUUUCAGUACUUCAAUGGUUGAAAUAUGUGAAGGCUUGAUUGAUACUAAAGCUUGAAAUUGCGACUCUGUCAUUUGUAAAAAAAUAUGACAGCUUCCAUGCUCUCGUUUGGUUGCAUUGUCCGGUCGAGAGGUGCAAAAAGCAUUCUCUCUCUUCUAAUAGUCUUUUCGUUUAAAUCAAGGGAUUUGCCUUCCCGGUCGAGGUCCAAUAGAGGGUAACGGUCACCUACUAAACAUUAAAUGCUCCAACAACUAGUGAACUGAUCGACCCCAGCUCGACUAGUUGAGGUUACUUUUUGGUUUUCUUGUCUCCCGAGGUUAGAAACCUAUAAAUAGAGAGCUUCACUUCAUUUAUGAGUAAGAGAACACCUAAAUUUAUUUGUUUACCUACUUGUUUUUGCCAUAAAAGCUCUCAUUUCUUUUCUUGGUGUAUUAAAUCUCCAUUUGCAUAUCCUUUAGUGCACCUUUGUGAUUCAUUCUAGCCUUGAGUUGUAUUUAAGCCUUUGUUGAGCUAGGUUGAGAGUUUCAUACUUGUUUAUUGAGUGUUAAAGCCUUCAAGUGAGUUAAAACUUGAAGAGAUUGUGUAAGAGCCCAUUGGAGUCGGAAUCCAAGUGUAAAGGUGAUUAAAAGCUUGGUUGAAGCUUCAAGUUAGUGGAACUCUCACUCGGUUAUGAGCUUGAGAAGAGUGGACAUAGACAAGGCAGUGUCGAACCACUAUAAAAUCUGAGUUUGAUUUCUCUAACCUUAUCUCUUUAUAUUUGCUUCUCUUGUGCUUAAAUUUUUUGUGUUUAAAAAGAAUUUUUAAAAACUCAAUUCACCCCCUUCUUGGGAGUUUUUCUCUUUUAAGAUCAGCUUUUAUUUUCUCAAUUGGUAUCAGAACUAUGCCUCUUGUUUAAGACUUAAUCGUCUAAGAGGAAAUGGCUAAUCCAUCAAGUUCAUCUCACAUUGAAAGUUUUGCAACCAAUAGACUUCUUUUUUUUUUUUUGCGGGAACUGAUUAUCCCUAUUGGAAAACUAAAAUGACUUGGUUUUUACAAUCAAUUGAUUUAGAUGUAUGAGAUGCCAUUGAAGAUGACCUAACUUUUCCUUCAAAACUAGUUGAUGGAGUCAUGGUUCCAAAACCUAAGCAAGAAUGGGAUGAGCGUGAUUGAAGAAAUUUUCAAUUAAAUGCUAAAGUCGUUUAUACUUUGCAAUGCUCUAUGGACAGAAAUGAAUAUAAUAGAAUAUGUCAAUGCAAAUCGGUUAAAGAAAUUUGGAGAUUGCUUGAAAUAACUCAUAAAGGAACAAAUCAAGUUAAAGAGUCAAAAAUCAAUUUACUUGUUCAUAGAUAUGAAUUGUUUUUUAUGAAAGAUAAUGAAACUAUUGUUAAGAUGAUCACUAGGUUCACCAACAUUGUUAAUGGUCUUAAAGCCUUGGGAAAGACCUACAAGGAAUCCGAAAACGUGAUGAAGAUCUUGAGGUCACUUCCAUCAAAGUGGCAUACCAAGGUCACCGCAAUUUAAGAAGCAAAAGACUUGAUCAAGCUACCUUUGGAGGAGUUCAUAGGGUCAUUGAUGACAUAUGAAAUCAAUUUGGCAAAGAAGUAACAAAAAGGUGAAGACAAAAAGAAGAAGAACAUAACUCUCAAAGCUACAACUAAGGAAGAAGAAGUUGAAGAAGAAAAACAAAUUGAAGAAGAUGAAGAUUUAGCCCUCAUCACAAGAAAGUUCAACAAAUUCAUGAGGGGUGAAAGGUUUAGAAGAAGAAGGUUCACUUCUAGAAGAGACUUUUCUAAAAAGGAAUCUUCAUCUAAUGGUGACAAAAAGAGAUGGGAAGAGAAAAGAGACUUGGUGUGUUUCAAGUGCAAGAAACCGGGACACAUUAAAUAUGAUUGUCCUCUCUACAAAAGUGAAGUCAAGAGGAAAAAGAAUAAGGCAAUGAUGGCCACUUAGAGUGAAAGUGAAGAUGAAUCAUCCGAAGAAGAAAAUGAGAAAGAAGUGGCAAACAUGUGUUUCAUGGCAAUAGAUGAACUUGAUGAGGUAAAAUCUAACCUUAGUGAUUAAGAUAUACAUGAUGCAUUUGAAGAAUUGUAUGAGGAUUUUUAAAAACUUAGUUUGAAAAAUAUUUCUCUUAAAAAGAAAGUUCAACAACUUGACAAAGAACUUAGAGAAGUAAAAGAAAAAUUUUCAAAUGUUAAAGUUUCUAAAACUCAUCUUGAAAAAGAAAAUGAGAUUCUAAGAAAGAAAAAUGAAUAGUUGAACUCCUCUCUUUCAAUCUUUUCUUCUAGACAAAAAUCUUUUGAAAUGAUUCUAACUAGCUAAAAAUGUGUUUUUGACAAACAAGGGUUAAGAUUUAAAUCUUCAAAAAAUCAAAAGUAUUUUAAAAACUAUUUUGUAAAGGAAUCCACAAGUGCAAGUCCUUCCACUACUUGCAACUUUUGUGGAAGAGAAUGGCACAUUAGUAGUACGCCCUUUAAGAAAUGGUUCUCAAAAGAAUUUAAAUGCAAAAACUAAAAAAGAUUUGGAUUGAGAAAUCCAAGGUCACUAACCCUCAAGGACCCAAAAAGAUAUAGGUACCUAAAUCAACUUGAGUUUUAUGUUGUAAGGUUCAAAGAAUGAUAAGUGGUUCUUAGAUAAUGGUUGCUCAAGACACAUGACCGGAGAUGAAUCCAAGUUUGCUUUUCUUAAAAAGAAAAAUGGAGGAUAUGUUACCUUUGGAGACAAUGCAAAAGAAAGGAUGAUUGGUCAAGGCAACAUUGGUAAUGGCACAUCCUCUCUCAUUGAAAGUGUUUUAUUAGUAGAUGGUUUCAAACAUAACCUUUUAAGCAUUAGUCAAUUUUGCGACAAAGGUUUUUAAGUGAUUUUUUAAGCAUCUCAUUGCAUCAUCAAGGAUAUUCAAAAUGAUAAAACCAUUUUCAUGGGCCAUAGAUGUGAUAAUGUUUAUGCUAUAAAUAUUUCAAAAUAUGAUGGCCAUGAUAGAUGUUUUUCAAGCAUGCAUGAUCAAAGUUGGUUGUGCCAUAGGAGAUUGAGACAUGCUAACAUAGACCUCAUUUCCCAACUCAACAAAGAUGAACUUGUUAGAGGCCUUCCCAAAAUAAUUUUUUAAAAAGAUAAAGUUUGUGAAGCUUGUCAAGUGGGAAAGUAAAUCAAAAACUCUUUUAAAAACAAAAACUUCAUUUCCACAUCUAGGCCACUUGAGUUGUUGCAUAUGGAUUUAUUUGGUCCCUCUAGGACACCAAGUCUUAGAGGAAAUUCUUAUGCAUAUGCUAUUGUGGACGACUUCUCUAGAUACACAUGAGUCUUGUUUUUUAGUCAAAAGAAUAAAGUUUUUUAUGAGUUUUCAAAGUUUUGCAAUAAGAUUCAAAAUGAAAAAGGUUUUUCAAUUACUUAUAUAAGAAGUGAUCAUGGGAGAGAAUUCGAAAAUAUUGAUUUUGAAGAGUAUUGCAAUGAGCAUGGAAUUGACCACAAUUUUUUGGCUCUUAGAACUCCUCAACAAAAUGGGGUAGUUGAAAGGAAAAAUAGAACUCUUCAAAAAAUGACAAGAACCAUACUAAAUGAAAACAACUUACCAAAAUAUUUUUAGGCCAAAACGGUUAACACUUCUUGUUAUGUUUUAAAUAGAGUAUUAUUGAGGCUCAUACUUAAGAAAACUCCCUAUGAGCUUUGGAAAAACAAAAAACCCAACAUUAGUUAUUCCAAAGUCUUUGGAUGCAAUAUUUUAUAAUAAACACCAAAGACAAUCUUGGAAAAUUUGAUGCAAAAUUGGAUGUUGGAAUUUUCCUUGGUUACUCAACUUCAAGUAAAGCUUUUCGAGUUUUAACAAAAGAACCAUGGUUGUAGAGGAGUCCAUCCAUGUUAUUUUUUAUGAAUCUCCAAGAAAGAGAGAGGAUUGAUGAUGAUUUAGGUUUGAAGACCUCUAUAGGAAGAUUGCAAAUCGAAGAUAGAAGACAACAAGAAGAAAAUGGAGAGAAUCCAAAGAAAGAAGGAUCACCAUUGGCACUACCCCCUCAUCAACAAGCGCAAGGUGAAUCAAGUCAAGAGCUUCCUAAAGAAUGGAAGUUUGUCAUCAAUCACCCACAAGAUCAAAUUAUAGGCAAUCCAUCUAGUGGGGUAAGAACUAGAUCCUCUCUUAGAAAUAUUUGCAAUAAUCUAGCUUUUAUCUCUCAAAUUGAGCCUAAAAAUAUAAAUGAUGUUUUAGAUGAUGAAAAUUGGAUAAUUGCAAUGCAAGAAGAGUUAAAUCCAUUUGAAAGAAGUGGAGUAUGGGAAUUAGUACCAAGACCUUCAAAUCAAAGUGUUAUUGGAACUAGAUGGAUCUUUAGAAAUAAAAUGGAUGAAAAUAGCAUAAUUGUUAGAAAUAAAGCAAGAUUGGUAGCCCAAGGUUUUAAUCAAGAAGAAAUGAUAGAUUAUGAAGAAACCUUUGCCCCCGUAGCUAGGUUGGAAGCCAUUAGGAUGCUACUUGCCUUUGCAUGUUUUAAAGACUUUGUUUUAUAUCAAAUGGAUGUGAAAAGUGCUUUUUUAAAUGGUUUUAUAAAUGAAGAAGUAUAUGUUGAACAACCACCCGGUUUUCAAAGUUUCAACUUUCCUAACCAUGUUUUUAAACUUAAAAAGACACUUUAUGGUUUGAAACAAGCACCUAGAUCAUGGUAUGAAAAAUUGAGUAAAUUUCUUUUGAAAAAAAUGUUUUAAAAUGGGAAAAAUUGACACAACUCUUUUUAUAAAAACCAAAGAAAAUGAUAUGCUCUUAGUUCAAAUAUAUAUUGAUGAUAUCAUUUUUGGUGCUACUAAUGUCUCUCUUUAUGAAGAAUUUUCUAAGUGCAUGCAUAGUGAGUUUGAAAUGAGCAUGAUAGGAGAACUCAACUUCUUCCUUGGACUUCAAAUCAAGCAACUAAAGGAAUGAACCUUCAUCAAUCAAGCAAAGUAUAUAAGAGAUCUUCUCAAAAGGUUCAACAUGGAAGAAGCCAAAACAAUGAAGACUCUAAUGAGCUCAUCCAUUAAGCUUGAUAAGGAUGAGAAAGGUAAAUCCAUUGACUCUAUUAUGUAUAGAGGCAUGAUAGGUUCUUUGCUCUAUUUGACCACUAGUAGACCUUACAUUAUGUAUAGUGUGUGUUUGUGUACUAGAUUUCAAUCUUGUCUUAAAAAAUCUCACUUAAGUGUCGUGAAAAGAAUCCUCAAAUAUUUGAAAGGGACAAUGGACAUAGGCUUAUGGUAUCCUAAGAGUGAUAACUUUGAAUUAAUUGGUUUUUUGGAUGCUGAUUUUGUCAGUUGUAGGGUUGAAAAAUAAAACACUAGUGGCACUUUUCAUUUCUUAAGACACUUACUUGUCUCAUGGCAUAAUAAGAAGCAAAAUUUGGUAGCUUUGUCAACAGCAGAAGCUAAAUACAUAGCAACUGGUUUAUGUUGUGCACAAAUCCUUUGGAUGAAAUAAACACUUAGUGAUUUUGAUUUAUCUUUUGAGCAUAUUCCUAUUAAAUGUGAUAAUAGUAGUGCCAUAAGUAUAUCAAAAAAUCUCGUGCAACACUCUAGGACUAAGCAUAUAGAGAUUAGACAUAAUUUUCUUAGAUAUCAUACACAAAAGGAUGAUAUAACACUUGAAUUUGUAAGCAUAAAAGACCAACUUGCCGAUAUCUUUACAAAACCUCUAAGAACAUUUUGUUGAUAUUAGAGGACAAUUAGGAGUGAUUUCUUUAUGAUCUAAUGUGAUGAAUUCUUGAUGAAUAUACUUUUUGAUUGCAUGAAUUUCAUGUCAUAUAUGCAUCAUAUAGAAAUAUACUUAGAUAAUGGUCAAAUUUCGACCAAAAAUCAAAAUUCCCAUGGCAUUAGGCAUAAAAAUUUUGGAAUUUCAACUGAAAAUGGUAGGAGGAGGAUCACAAAAUGAGAAAGUAUGCAAAAAUUGAAAAAUCAAAACGUUGACCAAGCGGUCAAUCGGACUAGACCGAUCGACUAGUUUGUCGAGAUUUAGGAUUUUUAAGAGACUCCAACGCUUCAAUUUUUGCACCGUUCUCCUCUAUUUCUUCACGGUUUCUCUGAUUUUGUCUUUUAGAGACUAAUUUGAGUGCGUUUUGGAUCAAUUGAAGCAUUUUGGAUUGGAUUUUAGGAAGAUUGAAAGUUAAGGUUUCGGAUUUGGGUCGCCUUCUCUUCCUCUCGCGUGUCACAAUCAGCUUUAGCAUUGUUCUCUUUCCAUUUUCACACACCUAGGGUUUCAGUUGUGAGCAUCUCUCUCUCUUUACCAACCACUACUCCCUUGCUUCUUCCAUAUGGCUCCUAGGCGAGAGUCCGCUACUUCUAGGGCACAAGGCAAGCACCCAACUGAGUCGUCUCAGUCAAAGGCACGUCGAAAAGUGAGAUUUGACAUUGCCUUGUUCAGUUCCAUGGAGGACUACCAACUAUACAAGCAACACUUUGCUUAGAGACGAGUAGUUCCCAAGAGAAAUAUUAAUUUUCCUCAACUUCAGCAUUUCGAAUUUAAGGGUCUAUUUACUAGGAUGGUUGGUUGUCUAUUGUCACAAUUUCGGAGCCGGUUUUCCUGACCUUAGUGCGAGUUUUUUACUCGAGGGCGACUUAUGGCAUGGGUGGCAUGAUCAUUUCUACUGUUGGAGGAGUUGAGAUCUGUCUGGACCCAGAGAGCAUCUGCCAUAUUUUCGAUAUUGCUCUGGUUGGACUCAAAGUAUACAAGUCCAAAAUGUGGCCCAUUGUGCCAGGAUUUGAGCUUAGAGAGGUCAUUCAGAGGAUUUGUGAACUUCCAGACGCCCAGGAGAUGGGCAAACCAUUGCCACACAGUUUGACGGUCAUCAACAGGGUGCUACACCAUAUAUUGUGCUCUAUCUUUCUACCACGAAGUGGACAUUGAGAUGAGGUCUCUUAUUAUGAGGCAUUCCUUAUUGACUCCAUUCUAACGGAGAGACGAAUUCAUCUACUAUGUCAUCAUUCACUAAGCCUCCUCACAGUGACAUACCACCUCAUCAGGCACCUCUUGCUCCUGACCAUGCUCCAUUGAUGGAUUUAUUUACUCAUAUUAGCUCUCUAGGCACUCGCAUGAAGGAGUUUGUUGUAGUUAGUGAUACAUGGUUCUACUCCAUAGAGGAUCGCAUGGAUCAGUAUCAGACUGGCUUCACGUCACAGUUUGAGUAUCUCCAAUAGAGGAUUGAGCAUAUUGAGGAUCACUUGAGCAUGAGAAGAUGAUGGCUUUUCUAUGCUCUGUGUUUCCACCUCCACCUCGUCAACCUUGAUUUCUUAGAGACCCAUUGUUUUCAUUUUGUAAUGUUGCCAAAAGGGGGAGAUAUUUAGGAUCUAGGACUCUAUAGGAGACUUACAUGCAUAUCAUUUUCAUAUCAUUGUUUGGAUCGUACAUAUUGGAUAGUGAUACUUUUUACUUAUAUAUGAUAUGCCUAUAUGUUUCAUGUCUUACAUUGUUUCUUAUUGCAAAUUAUCUCUAACAUGUCUUGAUUAUCUUUUUUUUAACUUCAUAAAUUUUGAUUGUUAACCCAUGAUUGGUUUGAGGGGAAGAUUCUUCUUCUCCUAGAUAACCAAGGUUUGUCAUCAUAAAAAAAUUGGAGAUUGUUAGCCCAAGGGUUCUCCUAAUCAUGUUUUGAUGAUAACAAACCAUGCUUAAGUUACUAAUUGGUUUGAAUUAUAAAGAAUUUCAAGUGUUAAUUUGAAAAUUCAUCAAAGAACCUAAUGGAUGCAAGAUCAAGAUUUUUGGAAGACCUUUAAUCAUAAGAAACAUAUGUAAGAUGAAUGCAUGGGUGCACUUAAGAUUUGCAUAUCAUUUCAUGCAUAUUUGGAAAACACGGUUUAUGCUUUAAAGUUACAUUUCCAUCAAAAUUUGAGAUCCAUCAAAUGAACCUUAGGAAAAAUGUUUUAAAAUUGGCAUAUAAUUUUACCUAAAGACCUUGCCUAAGUGUUAGAAGCAAAAGGACAAAAAAAAUAUAGGUUUUCUGGUCAAAAAUGGUGAACCAGUCAAGGCAUUGUCUAAAUCAGCUCAAUCGGCCAAGGUACCGGUCGAUCGGUUUCCCUUUCCCUGUCGAGAUCUAGUCAAGAGGUACAAAAAUCACAAUCUCUGUCUCUUUCUCUCUUUGUCUAUCUUCCAGUAGUCUUUCCUUCCCGGUCGAGGGAUUUGCCUUCCCGAUUGAGGUCCGAUUGAGAGUAAUAGUCACUUGCCAAAUAUUAAAUGCUCCAACAGUUAGUGAACUGGUCGACCCCCACCUUGCCCAGUUGAGGUUACUUUUUGGUUUUCUUGGCUCCCGAUGUUAGAAACCUAUAAAUAGAGAGUUCCACUUCAUUUAUGAGCAAGAGAACACUUGCAUUUAUUUGUUUACCUACUUGUUCUUGCCUUAAAAGCUCUCAUUUCUUUUCUUGGUGCAUUAAAUCUCCAUUUUGAUAUCCUUUAGUGCACCUUUGUGAUUCAUCUUAGCCUUGAGUUGUAUUUGAGCCCUUUUUUUAGCUAGGUUGAGAGUUUCAUACUUGUUAAUUGAGUGUUAAAGCCUUCAAGUGAGUUGAAACUUGUAGAGAUUAUGUGAGAGUCGAUUGGAGCCGAAAUCCAAGUGUAAAGGUGAUUAGAAGCUUGGUUGAAGCUUCAAGUUAGUGGAAUCCUCACUCAAUUAGGAGCUUGAGGAGAGUGGACGUAGCCAAGGAAGUGUCGAACCACUAUAAAAUUUGAGUUUGAUUUCUCUAACAUUGUCUCUUUAUAUUUGUUUAUCUUGUGCUUAAAUUUAUUGUGUUUAAAAAGAAUUUUUAAAUACCCAAUUCACCCCCCUCUUGGGUGUUUUUCUCUUUUAAAAUUAGCCUUUAUUUUCUCACAAACUAUUGUAGUAUAGUGGUUUUUAGGUGUCAUCCAUUAGGAUGAAUUGUUCUCGGUAAUUAAGGCGUGAAUGAGAGGAGAAUUAAUGAUUGUGAUUAAGUAAAAUUGAUUUGAAAAUUCAUGGUGAAAAAUCAAUUUAACAAUGGUUUCUAAUUGAGAAAAACAAUGAAAUGUGAAAUAAAAUAAAAUUAAUAGGAAAUGAAAUUCUCGAAGUUAGAAUUUUCUAAAAAACAAAUUCCAUGGUGAAUGGAUGUUGAGAUCUAAUUUUCAUCAAGUUAGAUUGAAAACCGAAAUUUUCAUAUAAACUGAUUUUUUAUUUAGUUUUAGGUCUAGAUUUAAUUUCCCUUAAAAUUAGGUUAUUUAAUCCAAGAAAUCAAUUCAAAUCAUAUAUUCAAUUCAUCUUAAAUUAUCUUCCAAUUAUUCACACAAUGCAACUAUUCAAUCUCAUCAAAUCUAGCUUUUAAGAAUUUAAUGAAUCUACCUAGUUUGCAUUGUAAUAGUCAUCCAUGACAAUUUGAAGAGAAAAAUAAUUCAAUUAAUCAAUCACUUGGAUCAAAUUACCUUUGCAAUUAAAGUUCAUUUCUCUAAUUCACCACAGAUUUUGUCUCUAGAUCCUCCUUUCUCAAAGAAAAAUGAGAUUUAGCCACACAUGAUUGGAGAUUUGGUCUCAUAAGGCAUGUUUAGCUAGUGAUAAAAUGAGAGAAAAUAAAGAAAAAUAGAGAAUUCGAUUAAGAAAGAAAAUCUAAAAAAUUCUACAAUUAGAAAUGUCCAAAAAGCUUUUUCAUGAGAAAAUCAAGUUUCUAUUUAUAGGCCAAGGUCAAGUGGACACUUGACAUCAUCUAAGAGGUCUUCCGGAAGCUUCUUCAUCAAGAAAUCUGGAGUUUAAUAAUAAAAUGGUCAUUUCACAAGAGCUCAAACAAUUUCGCAUGAUUAUGUGAAAUAAAAAAUGCAACAACAGCAAUUUACAUCUUCUUGGAGCAUUUCGCAUGACUGUGUGAAAUUUUCACAUGAUCAUGUGGAAUCGACUUGACAACUCUCAUUUAGCCUACAACAUAAUUCCACCUUUUGGUCCAUUUUUCAUAGUCAUGCGAAAUGGAAAUAUUUGAUUUUUAAGUUUUCUUUUGUCAUUUCUUUCAUUUCCUUCUCUUGAUUCCACUUCAACUACCUCCGAAUCCUGGUCCAAACCAAUUGCAUUACUUCUUUCAUUAUGCAUUUGGAUCAUCAUCAACAUUAUUUGUUCUCUUCAAUUUGAUUCAUCUCUUUUGUCACCAAUUUAUCAAAAUCAUACCUUGAAAUGACUCCAAAACUUCAUAAAACUUGUUAGUAACUCUUGCAAGGGCAACAACAUAUUAAUUAAGUGUUUUAGGCAUAGUUACUACUCAAAAGAUGCGAAACUCAUGAUAAUUAUUAUAUAAAAUAUGCUCUUUUUGAGUAGUAAUCAACUUUCUUGCAUAAGCAGACCUUUUAGGGUGGAGUACUAAAGACCAAUAUGCUUGUCCUUGUUGUAAUAAAGAAACUUGCUCUUAUUGAUUGCACCAUGGGAGAAAAUUUUGCUACAUGAGUUAUCAUCAAUUUCUUCCCACCAAUCAUAGAUUUAGACGUGACAAGAGGCCUCUUAAUGGCAAGGAGGAACUGACACUCACACUUAUACAAUUAUCGGGCAUUGAUGUGUUGCAACAAUUAGAAUAACUUACACCAAUUAUGUUGGGGAAGUCACAAAAGGCAAACAUGAAAACUAAAAGGAAAAAAGAAAAAUGUUACAUAUCACCACAACUGGAAAGAAAAAAGUAUUUACUUUCAUUUGCCAUAUUGGAAAGCACUUAUUUUACAUCAUAAUAAUUUAGACAUAAUGCAUAUUGAGAAAAAUGUGUGACAAUAUAAUUGAGACAUUGUUCAGUAUUGACGAAGAAACAAGGACAACCUAAAUAGUCAUCUCGAUUUACAAGCUCUAACUAUUAGAAAUGAGAUUCACCCAAUAGAAAGCAGGACCAAAUUUAUUUUGCUUGCAACAUGCUACUCACUCACCCCAAAUGAGAUUAAGGAAUUUUGCAAGUUUUUGAAAUCAAUAAAGGUCCCCAAUGGCUAUUCUUUCAAUAUCUCUCGUUAUGUGCAACUCAAUGAAAGGAAGAUAUAUGAGCUCAAAUUGUAUGAUUGUCAUGUCCUAAUGCAACAACUUCUCUCACUUGUAGUUCGUGGAGUUCUACAUAAGAAUGUUUGUGGAGUUAUCAUAGAAUUGCGUAAUUUUUUCAAGCAAUUGUGCUCAAAGGUGUUAGAAACAAAUCACUUACACCAACUUGAGAACAAUAUUAUUGUCAUACUAUGUAAAAUGGAGCAAAUAUUUCUUCCAUCAUUCUUUGAUAUUAUGGUGCAUUUACUUGUGCAUCUAGUAAGGCAAAGGUUGCAAGACUUGUGCAAUAUUGUUGGAUGUACCUAAUUGAACGAUAUUGUUAUAAUUUCAUAUGAAUCAUUUAAUUUUAUUUUAUAUUAUGUUCAGUUCAUUAACAUGUACAUUGGUCUACAUAUGGAUGAUGAUAGGUACCUAAGCACUUUAAAGUCAUAUGUGCGUAAUAGAACUUUUCUAGAAGGUUCUAUUGUAGAAAGGUACCUUGCAAAAGAAUGUACAACAUUUUAUUCUAGGUACUUGAAUGAUGUGGAAAUAAAGUAUAAUCACAAUGAUAGAAACUUUGUUGGUUUCAACACUAGAGGAGAUGAAAGGGGUUAUCUUUAAACAUAUUGGACAUGCAUUGGGAAAGCCCAUAUUUCAUUAACUUAGUUCAAAAGAGUGGUCACAAGCACAUUUAUAUGUGUUGACAAAUUGCGAAGAUGUCAUACCAUUCAUUGAGUAAAAAAUUUAUUUGAAUUUUAAUUAAAGCUCUAGUUUAUAUCCUUAAUCAAUGUUUUUUAAAUUCACAAGGAGCACAAGCAAACCAUCAAGGCUAGACCACAUAUACGUGUUUGAGACGUAGAUUUAAUUCAUAACAAGGAAUUUAUCAAGUGGUUUGAAAGACAUGUAAGUAUAUUCCUUAUUAUAAGGGAUUUAUUUCACAUUAUGUUUAUAUUGAAUCCAAACCUAUUAUUGAAUUGUAGGUUGAACAAUUACAUAAUGAAGGUCAUAUAUCUGAACACCUUCUCACAUUAUCAUGUGUUCCAAAUUCAUUAGUUACAUGCUUCAAAUGAUAUAUUGUCAAUGGAUUUAGAUCCCACAUUAAAGAACGUGAUAAAAAAGUUUUUAAAAAAAGACUCAGAAUAAUGGAAUUGUUGUAGUUGCAAAAACGUCAAGCUUUACAAGUGCAUGUGAUAUGAGUCCAAUUAUUAGUGAUGCUCUCUACUAUGGUGUUCUAACUAAAGUUGUUGAGUUACAUUAUCUUGGUGAAAAUAAGGUUGUUUUAUUCGAGUUUGAUUGGUGGGAUGUUACAAAUAUUGGAAAAUUGAUAAAAGAUGAUGAGUACAAUUACACAUUUGUUAACUUUGCAUGAAUUCUAACCACGAACGAACGAUUUGUACUUGCAUCUCCAGCAAAGUAAGUGUUCUAUGUGAAGAAUGCGAAUGAAUCAGAUUGGCAUACUAUCAUGGAGAUGCAACCUCAAGACCUCUAUAAGAUGAACGGGAUAGGAUCCAAUGGUGAUUUUGAACCAUUUCAACAAAGUGAACUACAUGAUCACUAAUAUAUCUCAGAUUUAGUUGAUGAAGAUAUAAUCAAGUGGAACAAAAGUGAUGUUUUAGGACUAAUCAUCCUAAAAAAUAUUGUAGUUUCUUAAAAAAAAAAUGAAAAUGAAGAAGAUAAUUGAACCUUUGUCAUACUUUAAAAAGCAACUAUGCAUUGUUCAUUUUGUAUGUUUUGGUUUUCUUCAUUUAAUUUCCUGAUUUUUGUGAUUCAAUGUCAUAUUAUUGAUCUUGAAAUAUUUUUCUAAUUUUUCAUUCUACGAUGGUUUCAACAAGGAUGACAUCAAGUCAAAAAAGGAAAUGUGGUCCCACACACAAUAUUGCAUUACAGGGAUUAAGGUCAGGGAAGAAGGUAAAAGUUGCAUUUAAUGAGUACAAUCAAUUGGUUAAACAGAAAAAUGGAAAACACUUAUCGAGCUACAUAGGGACACUUGUAUCUAACCAACACAAUGUACCUCUCCAAGCUAGUGAUUGGAAAAAUGUUCCAAAUGAUGCAAAAGAGAAAGUAUGGCCUUUGUUUUGGUAUGUUGUAUUUCUCACUAUAUGAUGUCAUUUCACUGUUAUUCUAUUUUGUGACUAACGUUUGAAUCAUAUGUAAGAAAAAUUUGAAGUAGAUAAAGACUGAAAAGAUUACAUGUUGGGUAUAGCCUCAAAUAAAUAUAGAAGCUAUAAAAAUAUGAUGAAUGCAAAAUACUAUGACCCUUGGCAUAAGGAUGCAUGAGGAGAGGUUAAUACAUAAAUCACCAUUUGUCUCUGAUGUUGAUUGGAAGUGGCUUGUCUCUGAUGCAUAAACCAAAUCCCCCACUGAAUGUUUGAUAUUUGAUAGCAGGAAAAACACACCCGCAGCUAUACACCUCCAUCAUUCAGAUAAUUAUAGUGGGGGAGAUGAUUCAUGGUUGCCCUUAUACCCUUUAUUUGCACCAUCUAUUGAGAUUCUUUAUCAUGGCCAGGUUUUACUGCAGCAAUAAGAUAUGGUGGCAACAAUUUUAUCUAUAGGUGCGGUUCCAGACCGCCUCCAUAGGUGCGGUUCCUGACUGCCUCCAUAGGUGCCUCUUCUUGUAAUGUUUGUUCUGGGAAUUACACUUGAAAGCCUUAUCGUGAUAAGGGAUUACAAACACUAGUUCAGAGGACAGCCAUGUUAAACUUCCACUAUGUUUGUGUCACAUUAUCAGCAGCCUAGUGUUUAUUGGUCAUGCUAUCUGCAACUAAUAUAACCCGGUGAACUUCAAUCUAAAUUCUGAAAGUACUCAUGUGACAGAUGGUGCCUUUCAGCAGAUAUCAUCAAUUUAAAAGUAGUGUGUGUGCCUAUAGGUGGGAAGGCCUUGGCAAAUGUUCAGUAUUCCGGUAAUUCAAGAAGGAUAUAUCUAAAAUAGAUUUUCUUCUUGCCCAUUUCAAUAGUUAAAAUUUGAGAAGAUUGUGUCCACAUCACACAAAUAUUAUUGGUCCUUCUGUUGCAAUUUACCUCUGAACAUGUCUUCCAAUUCCCACGGUCCUGUUACUCCAGGAAAACUAUUUCGGUCAUAUUGAAAAAAAAAAUAUUAAAGAAGGUACACAUGCUUUUAAGUGGACUGGGGCAUUCAUAUCAGGUGGUCUGUAUCCACAUAUGCCACUUCGUGAAAGGUGGAACAGCCUAAUCACUAGGCUAUUUAGUGUGGCCCAGCCACGUUAAUCAAGCACAAGUCUUCAUACUUAAAGUCAAAUGGUGUCUUUAGUCUCAUUACACAUCGCUAUUUGAAGAUUAACUCAUCACUAGUGUAAUGCGAUUAAGACAGUCCUAACUCAAUAUUUGUUCUAGUUUUGGAUGCAAAUGCUUGCUGGUUUCAUCAUUGGAUGGGAUAAAGGUGCAAUCAGGACUAUGAAUACGUGCAGUAAUACUUCAUUCUCUUUUUUCUCAAUGAGACUUCUUGGCACAAUUUUGCUGCUCAGCAACCUACCUUUCCAUGGAAAAUCAGUUGUGACUGAUAGUAAUGGAUAUAUUCUAGAAAGCUAAACAUAGAUAGCAUUCAAUAUUAUCGAUAUAACAUUAACAGCGUAUGUCUCAAUGCUCAUCAGCUACAAGCAAUGGACAAACACUUUGAGUAACUCACAGCAGUCAAAAUUCCUAAACAGGACAGACGUGACAGAUCUAUAUAUAGAACACUGCAUAUGAGUCACAGGAAAAGAUAAUACGGGUACAUAGAAGCUCUUAUUUUACAUAUUACUCAUACUGAUCAAAGUCGCUCAGUUGGGAUGGAUGGGAGAAGGAGGUUUGAGGGGUGGCUUGUGCGGGGAAGUUGGCAGCUUCUUUCCGGGAGCUGGUUGCUUCUUUGCUGGAGUUGAAGGAGGCUUAAUCUUCCGAGGUGGCUUGUAUGAGUCUUCAGCAUUCUCAGCAGGAGGGUGACCAGGGUUGUGACCAUAAUGUGGUGGCUUCUCUCCCUUAGGUGGUUUGCCAACUGGGGUUGGUGGCUUGUUUUCUGGGAGUGGCUUCUCUCCCUUGGGUGGUUUGCCAACUGGGGUUGGUGGCUUGUGUUCUGGGAGUGGCUUCUCCCCCUUGGGAGGUUUUUCGAAUGGGGUGGGUUUGUGUCCUGGUGGUGGCUUCUCUCCCUUGGGAGGUUUACCAAUUGGGGUCGGUGGCUUGUGUUCUGGGAGGGGCUUCUCUCCCUGGGGAGGUUUAGUGGGUGGCUUGUGUUCUGGAGGUGGCUUCUCCACCGGAGGCUUAUGCUCUGGUGGUGGCUUCUCGAAGGGGGGAUGCUCAGGGUAAUCACCAAGUGAGGGGGUGGUGAGAACCACCAUGCCAAGCAACAACACUAGCAAGUAUGUAGUAGACAUCUUUGGGUUUGGACUCAGACAGUGCAAAACUACGAGAAAUCGCUAGCCCUUUAUAGCGGCUCGGACCUAAUACUGACAUAAUAUAAAAUAAAUAUUAUAUUUUAUCAAGAGAGAACAGAGUGUAAUUUUAUCAUUAAUACCGAUCGAGGCCAAAGAAAGAAGACCCAUAAUCCAUUUCCCACAAGCAUACACAAUGCAGCUGUAAUUUUAUCAUUUACUUUUAUCCCUUGGACCACUGCAUUUUUGUUGAGAGACACAAUAACACAUUUUUAUCUGUCAUUCAACAUUUACAGUAAAGAGAGGGCACAAAACGCAAUUAGAUAAAUUAUGUUUUGCCUGCUAAAAAGAGGCAAAUAACUUUAUUUGCAACAUAAUUAUUUUGGUUUCUAGUGACCCCGGGGCCUUUCGGUUGGUUUGGGAUCGGAAAAUGAACAUCAUAGGGGGGGUUGUGCCCUUAUGGGCAUAUAUAUCUGAUAGCUUCAACUGGCCUUGUUCCUAGAAAGAAAUUGCCAAAGAUAUAAACUUAUUCCAGGCUGAAAGUAGAUGAGAGUCAUAAUGAACAUCAACCUUUGUUCAGUUUGAUUCAAUGCCCCCAUAGUGUUCAUUUCACAGAUCUGAAUGAUUAUAUCCGUUGAAUACAUAAAUUAAUGAAGACAAAUAUGAAACCCAAGAUACAUCUCUGCAUAACAACCCCAACCCUGGUUGCUAUGUUUCCCUUCUUCUAUUCACAUGAGGAUACUGGUUAUAAUUGUCAAACUUGCAACAAGCCCUUUGACACCUAACGUCAAUGGACGAAUUAAAAGUCUCCUUCAAACGUCUAUUUCACAGCAUGAAGCUUAUAAAGGAUGCUGACAACCUUCAGAGUUAGCGACAAAAGAUAAUUAUCAAGGAGAGAUAGUUCCAUGAGAAUUCCAAGGAGUCUGAAUCAAAGACAAAUUGCUCACUCAAGGGUUCUUAUUUUCUUUUAGGUACAAAUCUCUUGAGUGUUGUUAAAGAAACACGUCACUGUCAUUUUGAUUUGCAUUUAACAUUUCACUUUUGUUCUGGAAGGUUUGUUCCGGAAACAUAUCAAAUGAGCAUCAUUUUCUUCUUCGGUGACACAUGGUCGCGAGUACGUGGGUCCAUUUUCAUGCCACUUAGUUGAAAAGUUGGAAAGAAAAAACAUGCCAACAAGAAGAUAGUGAGAGAAGGGGCACUUCAAGCCUUUAACAUGAACAAACAGUAAAUAAAAGAUGUUUCUCCACUCAUAAAAGUGUGUUAGAUAGCAAUAUAACGAAUCACAUCCAAAAUCUUUACUAGGCUCAAACAUAAAGAAGACUCAUUUUUAAGAAAAGAUAAAAAUGGCAUUGUCUGAUAGUAUCCAAUACACGAGAUGGCACUUAAUUUGUACAAGAUCUGUCAAUGCUGACGCACAUUUUCUGAUUAAAAAAAAACUGAUCAGUCAAAAGCAAUGAAGAGAAGUGAUGACAAUGAAUGAUGCUUCCAAUAUUUUCACCCCUUAUAGUGUUCUUCAUGAUUCAGAUAUAUAAUUGGAAAUAGAACAACCCUAUGCCAUACAUUCGUCUAAGUAUGGUGUCUAAUUUUUUGUGUCAGCGGUUGCGAAUGGAGCGUGCAAAAGUCCAAAUUGGCGUCUCUCCAUUUCCACAUAGGAAGGUGACCUUUAUUGACAAAUACCCAAUAUUUGUAGACAUUCCUUAAAUAUCAUAACUUCUUGUUGAUUUGAAAAUCAUUUUUCAACUACCAUGUUUUAAUAAAUAUUUUUUAAAAUGUAUUUUUAUCAAAGUCCACCAUGAUGGAUAAUAUUCACCAUGCAAUAAUUAAUAAAGUACAAACUAAGCGAAAUGAAAAGCAUUUUCUUUGCUUUGAGUUGAUUUUGGUUGCAUUGAGUUGAUUUUGGUUUCAUGGUUUUUUCAACUCUUAUUUUGAUUGGAAGAUGUCAAGAAAAGAAAACAUAAAGAAAAAUUAAAAGGGAAAAAAGAAGAAAAAUAAAAAAAAAUAGAUUUAAAAGUUAAUAAAUUAUUUUUUAUAUUUAUUUUAAUUCAUUUCACUUAUUUUUCUUUUACUAUAUAAAAUUUAAAUAAUUUAAAUUUUAUAAUUAAUUUAAUUACAUUUCAUUUUCUUCUAUAUUUAAAUAUUGGAAAAAUAUUUUACUUAAUAUUUUUUUCUUUAAUUUCUUUGGCAUUUUGGGAACCAAACUUAGCCUUUAAAAUAAAAAACAAAAAAAAAAUGAAAAUAAGGAGGGAAAAGUGAGAAAAGAUAAAAACAAUAUGUAAAGGAUUUGAAAAGUAUUAGUUUGUAAUUACUAUUUGGAUUUCAAUAGUAUUUUAUUUGUCUUUCUAUAUUUCAUGUAAGAGAGAAUUUAAGAUAUUCCCCAAGGCAAAGCAUUAGUUACCUGCAAUCAGUGGUGAUAAGGCUCCAAGCCAAUUUUGGGCCCCAUAUCUUAAGACAGUACAAUUUCCAUUUCAACAUUUCUGAUUUCUCAGAUGUUUCACAUACCACAGAAGAACAUUGUUUGUGAAAAUAUGCAUUUAUGUUGGAUUUUGUAUGCUGUGGGGACUGGGGCAAGGAUCAUAUGGAAGAGUGGUUGACUUUUUCUGUACUUUAACGGUUGAAAUAGGAUAAGCACGGGCAUUUGUGAGGCUUAAUUGAUUUUGAAGCCUGAAAUUGCGUUUCUGUCAUUUUGUCAAAAAAAUGGCAGAUUCCAUACUCAUAUGUUUGGCCUGUGGCCAUGUACAGAUGCCAUUUAGUGACCAGUUUGUAACUGUCAAUCGUUGCGUUUUGACUCUGCCUCAACAACAUCUGCCAUUGACGGGUUUUCAUACUUGCAAAUCAAAUAGUCUUUCGUCCCAUCAGGAAUUUCGGUUUAAAUAUUAUUAAGCAUACGUUUGGCUGACAAUCAUUAUCCAGUUCAUGAUUUGGUUUCUUACCCUUAAUCAAUGGUUUCUAAGUGAAUAUAUGUAGAAGGAAAUCCGAAGUGUAGACAGUAGUAUCGAUAACUCUCAAUAUUCUCUAUAUAAUAGAAUAAACAGCGUCAUAGUGAUCGUCGCCUACAAGCAAGGUACAAAUACCAAAACGAGUGACUCACAUAGACAUCUCCCAACAAGAUGUAGUAGUGACUGACACAUGGACACAAUUAACUCGUAGAAAAGGAUAAGACCAUUGCACAGCAGCUCUUAUUUUACAUACUACUUAUGCUAACCAAAGUCAAUUAGUUGGGAUGGGUGGGAGAUGGAGGUUUGUGCGGUGGCUUGUGGGGCGGAGUUGAUGGCUUCUUUCCAGGAGCUUCUGGCUUUUUCAUCGGAGCUGAAGGAGGCUCAAUCUUAUGAGGCGGCUUGUAUGAGUCUUCUUUACUCUCGACAGGAGGGUGGCCAGGGUUGUGAUCAUAAUGUGGUGGCUUCUCUCCCUUAGGUGGCUUGCCAACUGGGGUUGGUGGCUUGUGUUCAGGAAGUGGUUUCUCUCCCAUGGGAGGUUUAGCAAUUGGGGUUGGUGGCUUGUGUUCUGGGAGUGGCUUCUCUCCCUUGGGAGGUUUAGUAGGUGACUUGUGUUCUGGAGGUGGCUUCUCCACCGGAGGCUUGUGCUCCGGUGGUGGCUUCUUGGUUGGAGGGGGCUUGGGGUAAUCAGCAAGAGAUGGGGUGGUGAGAACCACCAGUCCAAGGAACAACACUAGCAAGUAUGUGGGAGACAUUUUUGAGUUUGGGCUGAUCAGAUGAUGCAAAACUAAAGCAUUACGUGACCUUUUAUAGCAUGUAGCUCCCAAUACCCACUAAGUAUUGUGGGGUCCAUUUGUGCCCUACGGGGUUGAAAACUUAGACAAUUGGGCAAGGACCCACCUGACUAUGGAGGACUAGUGAGGUGUGAUCAUAGCUUUAGGAUUUUUCUUCCUCUGCAGCCGUCGUGCCGUUGGCAUGAUUUUCUUAAUCUUAAAUAAAGGCAUAGUUAUAGAGUUGUUUAAUCUCUAAAUGGGAUUUUAUAUAUAUCUUCAGAUAGCCAUUAAUAUAUUUGAUGAAGAAAGAAAGACAAGUGCAUACAACAUGUAUACGACUAGCUUUCAUGGAGUUCAUUUAUGAUCAGUUUUCCUGUACAUGUAAACCAGGAUCAUAUAUAUGUUUCUGUUCCACAACUAUUUUGGAAUCUUGUUUAUCAGUUUUUAUCAUUAUAAUGUCACAUAGGCUGCCAACUUGGGCGCUAAAAGAACCAGUUGGGCUAGUUCGUUUCAGAAUUUCAAUGUGGAUUCAGGAAUUGUUUUGUAAGAUAUGCGAAAUAGUAGAGGGAUGAAUAGUGUUUCAUUAAUAAAAGUGUCCUGUAAAUUAGAAGGUGUCAUAGAAACUAUAAUCAAUAAAUAACUUUUUUUCCCCACGGGUGGUGUUUCUUGUGGGGAUCAGUGACUGGUUUAGGUUCACCCAAAAUGAGUUCAGACUAAAAUUGGUUUGAGUCAAUGCCGUGUCUCUUUUUUCCAGAAAUCAACUAUUUUAUGCAUUGAAUAAAUCAUACAAAGAAAAUAUGAACGCCCGCAAAACCUAAACCCUGGUUGCUAACUUUCUAUGUUUCAGUUCUAUUCACGCAAGAAUAUUAGUUUAAGUUUGGGAAAAAUGGCAACUUACCUAGUGAUUACUUGGUUUUGGUUUGCGACUAUUUACGCAACCAACCAUGAGUUUGACUUUAACGUCAUGGGUUGAAGCCUCCUACAGGAAGGGAGAAAGCUCCACAGCUAGCUCCAAAAGAGAAUUAUCACAUUGAUAGCUCCAGAGAUUCCCAAGGGGACUGAAUCAAAGACAAGUUCCUCACUUUUUCUUCUUUUGAGGCCAAAUAUGAACCAAGGAUCACACAACCUCAUUCAACUUCAUAAGUUUGAUUUCAUGCAGUUGAACACUGGGUGAAGGCCAUGACAAGAAUUGAUUCAAAAAUUCUAUCACUCUUUUAAGUAAUGGAAGAUUAUUAUCUCUGAUUGGCAUCACAACAGCACAUGCUCCUAGAUCUUUCUAGACACUCCAUGCAAUGAAAGCACAAUGGAUCUUGUAACGAUAGAAACUAAGCCAUGCUACAGUACUAGAUGAUGAGGUAAAACUAGUAGACACGGGUGGCAGCCUAUAUGGGAGGGACACAAGUCUAAUUGAUUUGCAUUUCAGCAUUAUAGAUAGGUAUGUUUUGGAAGAUUUGUUCUGGAAAUACCGCACCAAGUAGGAUUCUUUUUCUCUUUAGUGGGUCCACUUGCAUGCCAAUUAACGAGUUGAAAAGUAUGAGCACCUACCUCGUGCUCGUGGAACCGAAGGUCAGUGAAGUGGGGCUCCUUUUGGCCUCGUGUAAACUUGAUUCAGAAGUGAAGUUAAUAGUCUUCCAUUCAGAUGGAUACAUGGGAAUUUUUCUCUUUUAUUUAUUUAUUUAUUUUUUUUUUGUGUGUGUAUGUCAAAGGAUAAUGAAUGAAGCGCGUUAGCUUGUUUUCUGACUGGAACCGCAGAUGUCCAAAUUGGAGUUCCUUCAUUUCUUACUUAGGAUUGUUACAUGUAUAAACAAGGUAUAAGAAAUAUGCCAACGUGUCUUGAGGAGUUAUUGAUUAGAAAUAACAAGUCACCCGACUGUAGAGUUCCAAGAUUUGAAUCUUCAGACCCUAUAGCAGCCUCUGGGGUACGUGGCAUCCUAUAGCAUAUUAAUGAAGGCUUUUUCGAUUUAGACUUCACAAUACCAAUUAAUAUGUAUGCACAAAAUGGAGAUGACCCCAAAAAAAACAGAAUCGCCAUAGUUUAUGAGGUUAAGGUGAUUCUCCACUUAAUAUCUACAUUAGCUAAUUAUGUAAAUCAAAUGAACUUCUAUUUUUCCUUUUUUUUUUUGGUUUAUGUCAAAUAGUAGCCCAUAAUUAACCCAACCAUUAGCCUGUUUGAAUUGAUUUCACAUGCACAAUGUUGUAGUAGUUCAUAUUUUGAAUUUUAUUUUUACAAAGGUAGUUAAGGAAAAUGAAGUAUAAUAAUUAUAAAAGCAGACUAUAUACACUACAAUAAUUGUUAGAAUGGUAUCUCAAAUUCUAAUUUAAAAUAUUAUUUUUUGUAAAAGAAAUAUUAUAUAGAAUAUUUCCUAAUUUUAUAAAUGAUUAUAAUUAGAUCUUUAUAAAAUAAGGAAAGUUGGUAAGAAUAUCUUUAUAAAUAUUUUAGGUCAUGAGAGAAAGAAAUGGGAUAAAAAUGUGAUGAAGAGGUGAAAUAAGAGAGUUGAUUAGGAUAUAGAUGUGAAGAAGAAAGGGAUUCAAUAUAUAUAUAUCUUUCAAUUACCACAUUAAAACCCUGUGAACCUUUUAUAUGGUUUACUUUAUUUUUAUAUUCCUCCUUUAAUAUAUUUACAUUAAUGCUUCCAUUGGCACAACAAUAACGAAUUACAAAUACAAGCAACAAGUCCCAUGUUUUAUUACCAAAAGCAGGUAAAAUCCACCUAAUAUAUUACAAUAUAUUCAUCCAAUAUUUUAGACCAAUUCUUCACCAUAAAUAUCAUAAUGUGGCUUUUGUUCUUUCUUAAAUUUAAAUUGAAUUGUCUUAUAUCAAUUUGUUUGUGAUUUUUUCAUUAACUUCACUUUCAUUUGGUUAUCUUUGGUUUUUGAAAAGUAUUAAGGAAUUAAUUAACAAAAUAAUGUUAAGAAAAAUAAUUUUCUCUCUUUUGAUUUUGAUUUUGUAGUAGAAAAAUAUAAUUAAAAUUAUUUAAAAAGUAUGUAAUUUUAAAUUAUUUAAUAUUUAGAUAAAAAAAAUAAGUCUAAUGAGUUUAAAAUAACAUAUAAAAAUAAUUUAUUUAUUUUAAAUUUAUUUUUUAUUUUCCAUUAUGUUCUCUUUCUCUUUUACUUUUUCAUAUUUUUUCUUACGAAGAAUCAAACACAACCUCAUAUUAUAUGUCAAGUGUUUGUCUAUAUUUGAGCAAUGUUAGAUACGGCCAUGGAUUCAUCAAACUAAACUGAUUUUAAUAGAUACUUCACAAAUUGAUUUAUACACUAAAUCAUUGGAUAGCAAUGAUGCAUUGGAAUUAAACGUAGGAUGAAGCUCGAAGAACACUGUUUGUGUAACAACAUAUUUAUGAAAUUAUGCAAAGGAUGAGCUUCGGGGUAGUAGUACAAGGUCAUUAAUGGAGAGCCGUGUUAAACCUUGAUUGUGAUUGGAUUCCGUUAUCAGCAACAGCAACCUUGUUUGUAACCUUGAAAGUCAUUCUGUCCACAUCGAAACUCCAAUUUGACGUUUGUAAUUACCAUUCCUGGAGUGUUCCUUGAUUGAAAUUUAAAUAAUAAUUGCGGCCCACAAGGAAUAUUUUCGAUUCUGUGGGAAUUUGACAAGGUUUGUUAGAGAAGACUGGUGACAUGUUGACUUCAAUGGUUCAAAUAGGAGACGUAUGUGGAUUUGGGGGGUUUAAUUGAAACUGAGUCCCUAUGGCUUUUUAAUAUUUGCAUUGAGCAGUCUCCAUGUGACUUCCUAAUUCCCACCAACCCUCCUGUCCAUGCUGUGAAACUAAAUUGUAAUUUAUCAGCCUUUGUCAAUGGUUUCUAAAUUAAAGAUAUAGACCAUGCAUGUACUUUAAUAAAAGCAAAUCUAAAGUGUAGAUAGCAGCAAUGGUGACACCCAAUAUUCUCCAUAAAAUAGAAUUAGAAUAAGCAGUGUUACAUUGUUCAUGAUCACCUACAAGCAUACAAGAACUUCCAUGAAUAACUCAUAGCAAUUGCCAACAGGGCGUCGUAGAGACUCAUACAUAGAACACUAUCCACCCAGAGGAAAGGACAAGACCAGUGCGCUGCAGCUCUUAUUUUUCACAUGUAUACCACCACUCGUAAUAACCAAAUUCACUCAGUUGGGAUAGGUGGGAGAUGGUGGUUUGUGGGGUGGCUUGUGGGGAGGAGUUGGAGGAGGCUUUAUUUUCUGAGGCGGCUUGUAUGAGUGUGCAGGAGGAUGCCCGGGAGUGUGACCAUAAUGUGGUGGCUUCUCUCCCGUAGGUGGUUUGCCAAAUGGGCUUGGUGGCUUCUCUCCCUUAGGAGGUUUACCAAUUGGGGUUGGUGGCUUGUGUUCUGGGAGUGGUUUCUCUCCCUUGGUAGGUUUGCCAAUUGGGGUUGGCGGCUUAUGUUCUGGGAGUGGCUUCUCUCCCUUGGGAGGUUUGCUAAUUGGGGUUGGCGGCUUAUGUUCUGGGGGCGGCUUCUCUCCCUUGGGAGGUUUGCCAAUUGGAGUUGGCGGCUUAUGUUCUGGGAGUGGCUUUUCUCCCUUGGGAGGCUUGCCAAUUGGGGUUGGCGGCUUAUGUUCUGGGGGUGGCUUCUCUCCUUUAGGAGGUUUGCCAAUUGGAGUCGGCGGCUUAUGUUCUGGAAGUGGCUUUUUUCCCUUGGGAGGUUUGCCAAUUGGGGUUGGCGGCUUAUGUUCUGGGGGUGGCUUCUCUCCCUUGGGAGGUUUGCCAAUUGGAGUCGGCGGCUUAUGUUCUGGGAGUGGCUUCUCUCCCUUGGGAGGUUUUGUUGGUGGCUUGUGUUCUGGAGAUGGCUUCUCCCCUGGAGGCUUGUGCUCCGGAGGUGGCUUCUGAAAUGGCGGGGGCUUGGGGUAAUGAGCAAGAGAUGGAGUACUGGUGAGAACCACCAUUCCAAGCAACAAUACUAGCAAGCAUGUGGGAGACAUCUUUGAGUAGUUGUAGCUAAGAUGGCGCAACACUGUAGGCAUUGGGUGGCCUUUUAUAAAGGGCUGGACCCAACAGCCAUAUGACACGUGUCAUGAUGACAAAUGAAGUUGAGGGGAUCCAGAUGGGUCCUACUGAGUCGAAAACUUGCACUAAUUGAUCUGGUGAGAUGACUAUUUCUGUCCUUUUGCCCUUCUCGGCCACCCUGUGCUGUUUUCCUUUUGCACGAUUUUCGUUGCCAAACAAGCAAAUAAUAUUUCGCCAAGAAAGAGGAGAGUGAAUGUGGAAUGCAUCAAGUCCCAUCAAGGAUGGCAGAGAAGAAAUAGAAGAUUGCCCAACUGUGAUAAACAUAGCAUACACGUAGCACCAGGAACUUCAUUUACUUCCAUCUAAUGGAACAUAACAAUCUUCUAAAGUUUUUGCAUGAUUUUGUUAUAUGUCUCUUAGCCUAAAGUUGGAAAUGCGCAACAAAUUUUGUCACUUCUCUAUUUCCCACUGAUGAUGUUAAUUAGCCUUCAUAGAUAUCAUCCUUUCUACAAAGUGCUUCAUUUGUGUGUUAUUGUAAAGUGUAAGAAAAGUAAUUGAACAUGUUCUUUUUCCUUUCAUAGAUGACUUUUGAUGUGCAUUUUAAAAGCAGCGCUGUGAGUCGGUGACCUUGAUUCACACGGAAACUAAGGCUCCUAUAGGACCCACUUUUAGCUGGUUAGGGGUGAAGAAAAUAUCAACUUUUCAGAGUGAUUUAAGUCAAGGCCAAGCCUCACUGUGUCAUUACUCGUGUGAAUUUUAUAUGCACAUACAUACAUAAAUAAAGUAUGAGACCCAAAUAACACCUUCCCUUUACAAACUUAACCCCAGCCGCUCUCUUUCAAUUCUUUUCACACAAGGGUAUUGACUCUAUAAAGGUCAAGAAAAUCAUAAUUUCCUAGGGUUUACAAGGUAAUUGGCUUAAUGCUAAUGUGAAAACAUAAAAGAUAAUAGUAUAUUGUAAGCUAACGAAUAUUCUAUAGUUAUAAUUAUUUGUGAUGUGCAUAAAUAAAUCUUCAUAUAUAUAAUGGAACAAUGAAUAAAGAACCAAUGAAAAAAUACUAUAUAUCAUUGCUUGGCAUUUAAACCGUAUAUGCUGCUCUUUCUAGCUACUCCAUCCACUGAAAGACAACAAGGUAAUCCAUGUUAUAAUGAUAGAAGAUACUGUCUCUAGGCUUUUUGUGAUGAAAAAUAUAAGAUAUGGGUAGGGUUGACCCUUGUAUGUUUGUCCUAUAAACACUUCAAAGUAACAUAUUUUUCUUCUUUAGCAACUCAUAAUGAUGGGGUUCAUUUGCAUGUCACUGAGUUGAAAAGUUGGACAAUUGCCCAUGUCGCCUUCCUCCUAGAUUCCGUAGUUCACGGGAAGGUAACUCAAGUUUGACAUAUUUUGAAUUCUUUUCACUCGGACGUCUUCAUAACCUGACAAAACAAAAAUGAAAAACAGAGGAUUGGUAUAUUAUUCAUGGUAAGCCUCAAAUUAUAGUAGUAUGAGAAAGGAGAAAAAGAUUUUGGGAACUCCAAUCUGGAUAAUUCUCGUUUCUUCUCUUGAAUAAAAAUUUCACUUACCUAACUUCGUUUGGAGAAAUGGCAUAUUUUAAUUUUGUACGUCAUUGCUAAUAAAUGGAGCAAUUUAGCAUGUUUUGUGACUGAAACUGCAAAUGUCCAAUUGGCAUUUCUUCAUUUCCCACUUAGGAUCUGAUCUUGUAGACCAUAUAACGAUAUGUAUCUGUGCAAGCAUUGAAAACUAAUGUGAACUAUGAGGAGUUACAAGCCACUGGACUGUAGAGCGAGUGCCAAGAUUUAAAUCUUCAGGCUCUAUCUGGGUAAGGGGAGGAUAGCGACCUAACCUUUUACCAAAGGCUUAGAAUUUAGACUUUUGGAAAAAAAUUUCUCAUGUUUUGGCUGGAUUUCUUGUGCUUGGCGCAAAAAGGAGAUGGCCUCAAGAAAUAGCAGACUCACUUUUGUUUUCAGCCCUUAAUAAUUCUCCACUGCUUUCCAUAACUACAUGGGUUAUACAUGCAGUCUGCUGCAAUAUUCCAGUUAUAUUUAUUAUUUCAAAGAGGGUGAAUGACUUCACAUGCAAUAUGUUGCAGUAACAACCCAAAUUUUGGCACACCAUCUUAAGAAUAGAAAAGUAUAAUAAAAGAAAUCAAUCAGAGAAUCACUUUGCAUGCAGUUCAUAGAGUUCGCCCAAAAUGGAGCCACAUGUACGGACAACCCCACAAUAGACAAUCUUCUCUAUACAGUAAUAAAAUACAGAAAUGGUUAAUGAAGCUCUGUAUUUCCUUAUCAUAUAUGACCGGUUGAAAACUCAGCAAGUCUUCCUCAAUCACAGACAGUUGGAGUUGCUUCAUCAAAAUCAUGCCUUCAUUACUGGCUUCAUUUUGGUUUCAAUGUCUGUUCUACCCUUAAAUUGGGUCUCUGCUUACUACCGGGAUAUCCUUUAGCGUCCUGCAAUUCUACUAGAUUAAAGAGAAUGACUUAAUUCUGCAUUCUGCCGUCCCUAGUCCAAGUGGUACUAGAAUUGAUGUUUCCUUUAGUGUCCUUUCUUCAUACUUUCAGGUUCUUCCCUUGUUUCAAUAAUGCUGUUUUCCUUCAUGUUUAACCUCUGUUGAACCACUUAAAACAACACAAUUUGCACACCAAUGUUUCUUUACAGAAAAGACUGUUUGCAAAAAUGCACAUGUUAUAAGGUUAAUGGAAGAAUUAAUUUGGGGAUAAGGGACUAGGAUUGGGCCAAUGAAGUUUGGUGUUAAAUUUUGAUUAUGAUUGCUUUUCAUUAUCAGGUACCUUAUAUUUGCUGAUGCUAUCUGGAACUAAAUUCAAAUCAGACAUUAUCCGAUUACUAACAGGACAUAUCAUGUCCCUCUGCAGAGUUUCUAAACUAACAUGUAUCGAAAUGUGGCCCCAAAAGGAAGGCUAGGAAGAUGGAGGAUUUUGUAGGAAUCGACCAGAAUCAGAUGGAAGAGAGAUAGUCCUGUUGACUUUAAUGGUUGUGAUAGGAACAUGCAUCAUUAUAUGAGAAGUUGCAUGAAUUUAUGUAUCCUGUUAUCGUUCCUUGACGAUUUCCCAAUGCAAUUUCACUGUCCACAAGACUAACCUCUCCAUGCAGUCAAAUGAAUUGUAAUUUCUCUAUUGGUACCAGUAGUACAUUUCAUACCAAACAUAUAGUAAAUAUAAAAUAUAAAUAGAUCAAGGAAAUCUGAAUUGUAGAUAGCACUGCAAGUAACACUCAAUAUUCUCUAUAUAUAAUAAAAUAAACAGUGUCACAAUACUCAUCACCCAGUGGCAAGGGAGAAAAACCUACAAUGAGUACUCAAAUCACCAUUCUCAAACAGAAACAUAGCAGUGACUGAUACAUAGAACCUAUAUGCUCACAGGGAAAGAAUAAGAUGACCAGUGCACAGCGGGCAGCAGCUCUUAUUUUACGUACAACUCAAAUCCCAAACUAACCAAAGUCGCUCAGUUGGGAUGGGUGGGAGAUGGUGGUUUGUGGGAUGGCUUCUGGGUAGGAGCUGGUGGCUUCUGUCCCUUUGGUGGUUUGCCUAAUGAGCUUGGUGGCUUGUGCUCCGGGAGUUGUUUCUCUCCCUCGAGUAGGUUUCGAGUCUUGUCAGAUGGCUUGUGUUCUGGUGGUGGCUUCUCUCCCUGGGGUGGUUUGCCGAAUGGGCUUGGUGGCUUGUGUUCGGGGAGUGGCUUCUCUCCCUGGAGAAGGUUACGAGUUUUGUCAUAUGGCUUUUGUUCUGGUGGUGGCUUCUCUCCCUGGGGUGGUUUGCCGAAUGGGCUUGGUGGCUUGUGUUCGGGGAGUGGCUUCUCUCCCUGGAGAAGGUUACGAGUUUUGUCAGAUGGCUUGUGUUCUGGUGGUGGCUUCUCUCCCUGGGGUGGUUUGCCGAAUGGGCUUGGUGGCUUGUGUUCGGGGAGUGGCUUCUCUCCCUGGAGAAGGUUACGAGUUUUGUCAGAUGGCUUUUGUUCUGGUGGCGGCUUCUCUCCCUGGGGUGGUUUGCCAAAUGGGCUUGGUGGCUUGUGUUCGGGAACUGGCUUCUCUCCCUUGGGAGGUUCAGUUGGUGGCUGCUGUUCCGUAGGUGGUUUCUUCACCGGCGGCUUGUGCUCCGGAAGCGGCUUCUCUACCUGGAGAAGCUUACGAGUUUUGUCCGAUGGCUUGUGUUGUGGUGGUGGCUUCUCUCCCUGGGGUGGUUUGCCAAAUGGAGUUGGUGGCUUGUGUUCGGGGAGUGGCUUCUCUCCAUUGGGAGGUUUAGUUGGUGAUUGGUGUUCCGUAGGUGGUUUCUGAAGUGGGGGAUGCUUGGGGUAGUCAGCAAGAGACGAGGUAGUGAGAACCACCAGUCCCAGCAGCAACACUAGCAAGCAUGUGGAAGACAUCUUUGAGUUCAGGCUGAGAUCUGUGCAAGGAUAACAGAAUUAGGUGGCCUUUUAUAGAGGCCUGGACCCAACACCCAUAUGACACGUGUCAUGCACUCAUGGUGACACAUAAUUCUAUGGGACCAUUUGGGUCCUACAGAAGUUGCAAAGUUGGACUACUGAGGUGUGAUCACAACUUUUGUCCUUAUUGCUUUCUCUGCGGCCAUUGCACGAUUUCCUUUAGCAUCAUUUUCUUGGCUAAAUAAGCGUAUUAUAUUUGUGGCAGACCGUCCACGUGUCAUAAACAGAUAUAUUAUAAUAAUGUAGUAUGCUUUUCUCCAAUGGAACAUGACACUCUUCUAAGUCUUGUUUUAAAUAUUGUGCAGGAUUACUUUAUACGUUGCAGUUCCAAGUCAAAAUUGGUGGGCAAACGUUGGCCUUUUUUCAUUUCACCUAAGAUUAAUGCUCACCUGGGAUAGGCACUACAUGACUUAUCUGCUCUUUUACUGUAAAGUUGCUUUGUGUAUGAGAUACACCUCCCCUGCACACCCUCAACAUUCGUUGCUCUGUUUUCCUUGUGUCCAGACGAGGAUAUUAAUUGGAGGCUGACAAAACGACUGCUAGCCCAGGAUUUACAAGGUCCUGGUUUGAGGCUUCGGUGAAAGUAUUUUUGAAAAGACACACAUAGAGAUAGUGCGUUUGGUGCAAUGCAGCACUGUGAGCCAUUCUGACGCGUUCUUAAUUUCAAAACUAAUGAAUGCUUCAAAAUUUUAAGAAGUGACAUUUCCAAAUAUUUGAGUUCGUUUAAUUGAACAUUGGAUAACUAGUGAUCAUAGAUUAUUAUCUGUGCUUGGCACUAUAAGAGGGUAUAUGCUUCUUUUUCUGGCCCCUCCUUCAAGGGAGGAGGGACAAUGUGAUCUGUAACGUUAGAAGCUAUUCCAUGUCAUCUUUGGGCUCAGUUCAAAACUAAAAGAUAAUGGGGGGGGGGGGGGGGGGCAUAUCAUUUUAUAUUUCUUCUAGAAGGUUUGUUCUGGAAAUAUUUCACAGGAGCAUAUCUUUUUCUUCUAUUACGUCAUCCGCAGCCUCCAAUAGGUCGGUUAACAAGCCACCGAGUUGAAAAGUUGGAAAAAUGGGAACACAGCCCGCCUCUUGUAUUCAGUAGUUAAAUAAAAGGUCACUAGAAGUGAGAUCCCUUUUGGCGUCUUGAUUUUCAAUCCAGCACCUCUGUGACCUGACAAACCAAAAAAACUAAAAAAUAAAAAACAGUACGUGGGUUGGUGUUAAGCAUCAAGACAUGUUAAUGAAAGAAGGUAGAGAAUAGGAUAUUGAAAUCCCAAUCCUGAUAACAUGAUUUUCUUUGCUAACAACCAUAUUAUAUUUUAUCAAGAAAGAGUAAUGCAUGUGGCGUCCAUCAAGACCCAUUAGAGUUCCGCUAAAGCUAUAGUUCUGUCAACGUUAUCAUUUACGUUUCCUCUAGAUAAUGGCAUUUUCCUCUAAAGCUCUUGCACCAUUAGGCUUCAAGUCAAAAUUUCACAUGUGAACUUUGGAAAUUUUCUCCAUUUGCCCCUAAGGAUACAGUUAGAAUUGACUUAAAAUCCUGAUUGAUAUGUACUAUUAACCAAAGAAUAUUGUAUAUAAUAAUUGAAAUAUUGUUGAUUCAUCGUGGAAAUACAUUUUGUAAGGAAAGUUGUUGAGAAUUUAGUAUGCUAUAUGGAGAAAAAAGUCAUGACUUAAGGUUGUGUAUGUAUAUUCUAUAUCAAAUAUUAGGUAGGAAUGUGGGAAAGAGCAGAGUGUAAUGAUAAGAAACAAAGAAAUAUAAGAUAUUCUUGAAAGUGGAAAAUAUAAAAUGGCUAACGAGUCAAAUUUAUGAUGCGUAAGGGGGAUCAUGUCACAUAAGAAAACCAUGGCAUACUAAAGACGUACGUGUGGUAUGGAGUAAUAAUUUUGUUAAAAUAAGUUUCUUGUUGGAGUACAUUAGGUGACUAUUCAUAACGUAUCAAAUUAAAGAGUCAAGUGCAUCAAUGAAGGCAUAUGUAGAAAAUUUGUUUGUGACAUGUACCAUAAAGAUAAGAUUGACUUGAUAGAAUUUAGUCUAAGUAGGAGUUGUUAAAGGUGUCUUAAAUUUCUAAUUGAUGUAUAUUUUUUUCUAAAAAAAUAUUAUAUAGAUAUUUUAAUAAAUGAUUAAUUCUUUGUAAAAAUACUUACAUAAUAAAAAACAUCAUUAAAAAUAUCUUUAUAAAUAUUUUAAGUUACAAGAAGGAAAAAAACCACUGUGAGAUAAUGAUGAACAUGCAACACUGUACCAAGUAAAUAAAAAUGUGAUAAAAAAAAAAGAGAAACACUCGAUAAAGGAAGGCUCGUAUAUAAAGAGUAAUAUUUUUAAUCAUAUGAUAGAAUGAUUUUCUCUCAUUCAUGAAUAUAGGCAAGAUUGGGGAACCAUUAUAAAAUUUUGUACACCUCGUGUAAAUUGAUGUUUGUCUUCAUAUUUUACACCAACAAAUGACAUUGAAGUUGUCAUUGAUAAAAGGGAAAAGGCAUGCCUCCACACCAUGUGCUUGAUUCGAAUGGUUCAAGUUUGAAGAAUUUUCUCCGGAAGAUCUAAAACAUUUUCGCCUUUAAAUUUCAUUUGAUUAUUAAUAUCCGAAAAAAUAGUUAAAUACUCUUUCUAUUUUUGAGUUGUUGAAUUUUUUGAAAGUUUUUAUAUUUGUUAUCAAGAAUUUCUAUUUUAUUAAGGGUGAAUAUUUAUAAAUAAGAUAUUAUAUAAUAUUUGGAUAAGAGAGAAUGGUGGAAUAUAAUAAAGUUUUAAUCCUUCCCAAUUUUGAACCUUUUUUUUUUUUUUUGAUAUAAUCGCCUUUCUCUUGCAAUCCUAUUAUCAGGUACCUUAUAUUUGCUGAUGCUAUCUGGAACUAAAUUCCAAUCAGGCAUUGUCCAAUUACUAAUAGGACAGAUCAUAUCUCUCUGUUUCUAAACUAACAUGUAUCGUAAUGUGACCUCAUAAGGAAGGCUAGGAAGAUGGAGGAUUUUGUGGGAAGCGACCAGAAUCAGAUGGAAGAGAGAUAGCCCUGUUGACCUAAUGGCUGUAAUAGGAGAAGCGUGUGGUUUUAUGGGACUUAACUGAUACUAAACCUGUAUGAUGCUUGGAGUGGUGUUUCUUUCAUUUUGUUAAGAAAAUAUGGCAGCAUACAUGCUUUCAACUGAGUGCAUCAGAGCAUCCAUAACAGAUGGUCUGCAACCCUAGGUGCAUGCCACUUUCUGACUGAUAAUGAAAUUGUCAGGUACCUGGCCUUGACUAAGCUCAACAGCAUCACAUAAAGAGAAGCUUUCAUACUUAGAUUACUGUUUAAAGUUUUUGCUUAUUUGAUUUCUUAAUGCCAUUAUGACAUUAUUGAUUCAAUUCUGCUUCCGAUUUUCGAAGUUCUGGGCAUCUACUGAUUGCAUCAUUAUAUGAGAAGUUGCAUGAGUUUAUGUAUCCUGUUAUUGUUCCUUUGCGAUUUCACUGCUCACGGGACUAACCUCUCCAUUCAGUCGAAAUGAAUUGUAAUUUCUUUACUGGUAGCAGUAGUACUUUUCAUAGCAAAGAUAAUAGAAAAUAUGAAAUAUAAAUAGAAGGAAAUCUGGAUUGUAGAUAGCACCAUAAGUAACACUCAAUAUUCACUACAUAAUAAAUAGACAGUGUUACAUAGGUAGAGAAACCUACAAUGAGUACUCAUCACCAUUCUCAAACAGAAACAUAGCAGCGACUUAUACAUAGAACCUAUAGGCUCGCAGGGAAAGAGUAACAUGAUAAGUUCACAGCGGGUAGCAGCUCUUAUUUUACGUAUUACUCAAAAUCUCAAACUAACCAAAGUCACUCAGUUGGGAUGGGUAGGAGAUGGUGGUUUGUGGGGUGGCUUCUGGGUAGGAGCUGGUGGCUUCUUUGUUGGAGUUGAAGGAGGCAUAUUCUUCUGAGGUGGCUUGUAUGACUCUUCGGCACUCUCUGCAGGAGGGUGCCCAGGGUUGUGACCAGAAGGAGGUGGCUUCUGUCCCUUUGGUGGUUUGCCUAAUGGGCUUGGUGGCUUGUGCUCCGGGAGUUGUUUCUCUCCCUCGAGUAGGUUUCGAGUUUUGUCAGAUGGCUUGUGUUCUGGUGGUGGCUUCUCUCCCUGGGGUGGUUUGCCGAAUGGGCUUGGUGGCUUGUGUUCGGGGAGUGGCUUCUCUCCCUGGAGAAGGUUACGAGUUUUGUCAGAUGGCUUUUGUUCUGGUGGCGGCUUCUCUCCCUGGGGUGGUUUGCCAAAUGGGCUUGGUGGCUUGUGUUCGGGAACUGGCUUCUCUCCCUUGGGAGGUUCAUUUGGUGGCUGGUGUUCCGUAGGUGGUUCCUUCACCGGCGGCUUGUGCUCCGGAAGCGGCUUCUCUACCUGGAGAAGCUUACGAGUUUUGUCAGAUGGCUUGUGUUGUGGUGGUGGCUUCUCUCCCGGGGGUGGUUUGCCAAAUGGACUUGGUGGCUUGUGUUCGGGGAGUGGCUUCUCUCCAUGGGGAGGUUUAGUUGGUGGUUGGUGUUGCGUAGGUGGUUUCUGAAGUGGGGGAUGCUUGGGGUAGUCAGCAAUAGACGAGGUAGUGAGAACCACCAGUCCCAACAGCAACACUAGCAAGGAUGUUGAAGACAUCUUUGAGUUCAGGCUGAGAUCUGUGCAAGGAUAAAAGAUUUAGGUGGCCUUUUAUAGAGGGCUGGACCCAACACCCAUAUGACACGUGUCAUGCACUCAUGGUGACACAUAAUUCUAUGGGACCAUUUGGGUCCUACAGAAGUUGCAAAGUUGGACUAUUGAGGUGUGAUCACAACUUUUGUCCUACUUGCUUUCUCUGCGGCCAUUGCACGAUUUCCUUUAGCAUCAUUUUCUUGUCUAAAUAAGCGUAUUAUAUUUGUGGCAGACCGUCCACGUGUCAUAAACAGAUAUAUUAUAAUAAUGUAGUAUGCUUUUCUUCAACGGAACUUGACACUCUUCUAAGUCUUGUUUUAAAUACUGUGCAGGAUUACGUCAUAAGUUGCUUGUUCCAAGUCAAAAUUGGUGGGCAAACGUUGGCCUUUUUUCAUUUUCCCUAAUAUUAAUGCUCACCUGGGAUAGGCACUACAUGAUUUAUCUGCUCUUUUACUGUGAAGUUGCUUUGUGCAUGAGUUACACCUCCCCUGCACACCCUCAACAUUUGUUGCUCUGUUUUUCUUGUGUCCAGACGAGGAUAUUAAUUGGAGGCUGACAAAACGACUGCUAGCCAAGGAUUUACAAGGUCCUGGUUUGAGGCUUUCACGAAAGUAUUUUUGAAAAGAUACACAUAGAGAUUGCGCGUUCGGUGCAAUGCAACAAUGUGAGCCAUUCUGAAGUCUUAAAUUUCAGAUUAAUGAAUGCUACAAAAUUCUAAGAAGGGCCGUUUCCAAAUAUUUGAGUUCAUUCAUCCGAACAUCGGGUAUAUGCUUCUUUCUCUAGCCCCUCCUUGAAGGGAGGAGGGACAAUGUGAUCUGUAUCGUUAGAAGCUAUUCCAUGUCGUCAUCUUUGGGCUCAGUUCAAUACUAAAAGAUAUGGGCGGGGCCCUUAUCAUUUUAUAUUUCUUCUAGAAGGUUUAUUCUGGAAAUCUUUCACAGAAACAUAUCUUUUUCUUCUCUACGUGAUCCGUGGUUUGAAAGUUGGAAAAAUGGGUCCGUUAACAAGCCACCGAGUUGAAAAGUUGGAAAAAUGGCAACACCGCCAACCUCUUGUAUUCGAUAGUUAAAUAAAAGGUCACUGGAAGUGAGAUCCCUUUUGGCCUCUUGAUUUUCAUUCCAGCAUCUCUAUGGCCUGAUAAAUUAAAAAACUAAAAAAAAAGACAGUACGUGGGUUGGUGUUAAGCAUCAAGAGUCAAGACAUGAUAAUGGAGAGAAAGGAUAUUCAAAUUCCAGUUCUGACAACAUGAUUUUCUUUGCUGAACUACCAUAUUAUAUUUGAUCAAGAAAGAGUAGUGCAUGUGGCCAGGAUCAAGACAUACAUUAAUUUCCACAUGAUGAAGACAGUUUCUGAGAGUUUCUUCUAAAGCUCUUGCGCGAGUAGGCUUCAAGUCAAAAUCUCCCAUGUAAACACUGGUUUUUCUUUCAUUGCCACUAAGGAUGCAGUUAAUAUUGACUUAAGAUCCUACGUGAUAUAUUUUUUUAAAAGAGCUAUAUUGUAGAUAAUAUUUGAAAUAAUGUUGAUUCGUUGUGGAAAUAUAUUUGUAAGGAAAGUUGUUGACAAUUUAAUAUAGUAUAAGAAGAAAAAAGUUAUCAACUAGCUAGAGAUGAGUAUGUAAAGUGAGGCUCACGAUUCAACGCGUAAAUAUAAGAUAUUUUAAGGCUCAAUAGUUAUGAUAUCUAUUUUAUUUUUUGUAUCUCAUAUAUUCAAAGAUAUAGUAAAAUGAUUUUACAUAUAUAUAUAUAUAUAUAUAUGAACAUAACUAUUUGUGCCAAUUGAUUUUUAUCUUUAUUUUGUAUAUUAGUAAUUAUAUUAAAGUUUUUACUAAUAUAAUAACUAAUAUAAAAGCUUUUUCUAAAAGAGUCAACAGAGCAAAACACUUAUUAUAAAAAAUAAUUUUGAUUGAAGGUGGAGUCAAUUAUUCUUUAUUUAACAUGUAAUGCAUACGGCGUGUACUUCAUAACUAAAGUAUAUAAGUGUAACAUCUCUUAUAUAUUCUCAUUCAAUCUCGAAAGUGGAAAUUUUAAAAAGAUUAAACGGUUCAAAUUUGUCGUGCAUAAAGGGGAUCAUGUCACAUAAGCAAACCAUGGCAUACCAAAGACAUAGGUAUGGACUAAGAAUUUUUUUCAAAUAAGUUUCUUAUUAGGGUACAUUAAUAGGUGACUUUUUAUGACAUAUCAAAGGAGUCAAGUGCACCAAUAAAAACAUAUAUAGAAAAUUCAUGCAUGACAUGUAUCACUAAGAGAAGAUUGACUUGAUAGAGUUUAAUCCAAAUAGGAGAUUGUUAAAAGGUGUCUCAAAUUCUUGAUUGAUAUAUAUUUUUUUUAUUAAAAAGGUUAUUAUAUAGAUAUUUCAAUAGACUAUUAAUUCUUUGUAAAAAUAGUUAUAUAAUGAGGAUGGUGAUUAAAAAUAUCUCUAUCAAUAUUUUGGAUUAUAAAAAGAAAAAAAAUGAGAUAAUGAUAAACAUAUAAAACUUGUACAAGUAGAUAAAGAUGUGAUGAAAGACACUUGAUGAAUGAAGGCUUUGUAUUUCAAGAUAUAAAUAUAUGGAGCAAAACUCUUAAUUAUAUGAUCAAAUGAUUCUCUCAUAUUCAUGAAUAUAAGCAGGAUUGGGGAACCAUGAUAGAAUCUUAUAUGCCUCUCCAUGUAGAGUGAUCGAUGUUUAUCUUCAUAUUUUACACCAGUGAAUGACAUUGAAACUCUUAUUGAUAAAAGGGAAAAGGCAUGGCCUCCACCCCAAGAAAAACAAGUAACCUCGGUUUAAAUCACUAGUCUACACCCCGAAGAGAGAACUAGCCAAACCUACUAAAAGAGAAACUUAACAAUUUAGAAAGAAACCGUCCAUGAUAAAGGGCCCCUAAAGGUCCAAUUCAGUGAGGUCGUGAACAAAAACACUUUCAUGUCAAAACAGAGAUAGGUACCACCAAAAUGUAAAGGGAAAGAUGUAAACCACGUCGAACUUUGGUAAUCAAUGGUAAAGAUAGCAUGAUAGCUAAAAGCACUAAAGCUGUGCUUGGUAUGCAAAAAUGAAAAGUGGAAAUCAGCGUCUUAUUCUUUUUCACCUUUAUUCACAUAUUAGGAUAACUAAUAUCUAAUGUUUUUUAUGUCUCAAAUUCUAUUCCAUGUUAUGGUAAACUUUCAUCUUGUUUAGAUCACUUUUGUCUGGUUUGGGCUCAAGACGAUAAGCCUAUAGAGACUUCAUAUUGGGUUGAAUCGAUGCCCUUGAUCUGAUCUGUUCGUUAGAAAAAUCUGAAUUAUUAUAAGCAUUUAGAUAAAAAAUAAAUAAAUGUGAAACACAAACUACUCCCUGCACAACCUUGACCCUAGUUACUCAGUUUCACUGCUCACAGGACUAACCUCUCCAUUCAGUCGAAAUGAAUUGUAACAAGAAGAUUUUUGACAGGAGGACGGUAGUUUAAAAUAAUAAUUUCUAAAGUACUUUUGUGAAAAAAAAUAAUUCCAAACGUGGAUUUUAUCAAGUAAAAAGAAAAAAAAAAGUUAUUUUCUUUUAAAAUCUGUUCUUCUAAAGAUGAUAUAUAUACCAAAAAAAAAAAUUGUUUUCUGAAGGUAAAAUUUUUAAAAUUCAUUUUUAAAAAAAUUUACACACUAAAAUUAUCUUUUCAAGAGAAGAUUUUUUUAAUUUUAAAUAAUUAUUAAUUUAUAAUUAAUUUGUUAUUAAUUAUUUAUUAAUUUUUUUAUUUGAAAAAUGCAUUUAUAAAAAACAAAUUUGUUAUUAAUUUAUUAAAUAAUUUUUACAAAAUAAAUAAUUUUUUUUUAUUUUAAUUUUAAAAUUAAUUUUAUUAUAUAAAUUUUAAAAUUAAAAAUAUUAAUAUUUAAUUUAAAAUUUAACUAUAAAAGGAAUAAAAUAUAGAAAAAUAAAUUAAUUUAUUAUUCAAUAAAUUAAUUUUCAAUAAAAUUUUCAGCAUUAAGAGAUAAAUUUUUAAGUAUUAAUCAAUUUAAAAAGAAAUAAUGAUCAUUUGUAUAUUAAGAUAUUUUAUUUAGUAAUUAUGAAUGAUAAACAACUAAAGUAAUUUGAAAAAAUAAUAAAAUAUUUAAAAAAUAAUAAUUUAAUACACGUAAAAUUAGAAAUGAUUAACUAUUUUUUAUUAAGAAAAAAUUGAGGAAAUAUUUUGUUAUUUAAAAUUUUUUAUUUGUUUUCAAUUUUUAAUGUUAUAGGUUUCAAGAAAAUUGAUCAAAUAAAAAUUAAGAAGUCAUUUUUUCAAAAACUAUAUAUCUAAAUAAAAGCCUUGAAAUUCAAAUACACAAUAUCAUAAAUAUAAACACCAAGUCAAUCCUUAAUUAUCAAAUGUUUUUAAUAUUAAAGAAUCAAAAUCACCUACUAUCAUGAUAAUAAGAAAACCAAUAAUAUUGUUCAUAUAAAUACUAAAAAGCUAACAAAUAUCCCAAACAAUUAAUAAAGUAUCAAACAUGAUAAAAAGUCAAUUAUUAUCAUGAAUGCAAAAAAUCAAUAAUUUUGUUUAUAUGAACCAUCAACAAAGAAAAAAAAAAUCAAUAUCUAAAUAUUAAACAUAAUUUAUAUUUUUAUAAAUAUUAUUGUUGAUAAAUAUCUUAACAAUUAUAAUUUUAGUAAAUAAAAUUAAUUAAUUUUAGUUUAAGAAUUAUUUUUUUAUACUUUCGUAUUCUUAUCAAAAAUCCCCAUUUUGCAUGUCUCCUUUGGCAUGACUUUCUUACCUAAACAAGCAUAUAUAUAUAUAUAUAUAUAUAAAAUAUUUGGUUAAGAAAGAGUACUAAAGUUUAUAUGGCACACAUCAAGAUAGAAACAGAAGUGGAAGAUAAUCCAAAUGUAUGAACAGAUAUAUUAUAUCCAUGUAGUGGUAGUGACUUCAUUAUUUACUUUUAUCUAAUGGAGCAUGACACACUUCUUCUGAAUAUUUUGCACGAUUAUGUUAUGUGUCAGCUUGUUCUAAGUCAAAACUAGUGAUAAAAAUCGGUUUUUUUUGCAUUUCCUUCAUGAAGAUGGCACCUGGAUGGGGCACUACAUGAGUGGCAUAGCACGAAGUGAUUUAUCUGCUCCCUUUACUAUAAAGUGCUUUGUGUAUAAGUUACACCUCCCCUGCACUGCCUCAACAUUUGUUGUUCUGUCUUCCGUCUGUCCAAACGAGGACAAACGUAUGUUGUAGGUUGACAAAACCACAGCUAGCCUAGGAUUUGCAAGGAUCUAGUUUGAUUCGUAUGCAAAAGGAUUGGUGAAAAGAUUCACAAAGAUAAUGCUUUUUGCAAUGCAAUCUUGUUCUAAUUCAACAGUGUGGACCAUUUUCAUGUAAUGCUUCAACUAGAUGUCAGUUUCAUGAAUUUUUGUUCAUCUAAUUGAUCACUGGAUAGGCCAUAACCCGAAGAAAUUCAAAAUUCCCUUCAGUACUGUAGCUAAGGAAAGAUCCCUAUCUACCACUGGGAUUUUAAGAGGGUAAAAAUGUAGGUGGGUGCCUAUAUCAUUUGCACUUCACUAUAGGCCUCUUUGGGAAGAUUUCUUCUGAAGACAUUUCAAAGAAACAUAUUUUUCUCUUCUCUCCGUAAACGGCAGCUGCAAGUCAGUCCAUUCACAGGCCACCGAGUUGAAAAGGCUGGAAAAUUGGCCAAAGCACCCGCCUCCUGGAUUCCAUGGGUAAGGAAAAGGUCACUGGAGGUGUGAUCCCUGUUGGCCUCUUGAUUUCCAUUCCGCCAUCUAUAUGACCUGAUAACCCAAAAACACAGAAGGAAAACGUCACCUGGGUUCAUAGUAAGCAUCAAGUCAUGAUAGAGACCAGACAACAUGACCAACAAAGAGUAGCGAAUGGGGCCAACAUCAAGCCCCAUUACGGUUAGAAGAUGGAAGAAGUAGAAGACAAUCCAAUUCUGAUAGAUUCGGGCAAAUGUAGUGCUGUUCAAACUUAAUCAUUUACUAUUUCUUCAUGAAUCACGGCAUUUUUCUUCUGAAAAUUUUCCAAGAUUAGGCCUCUGAAGAAAAAUUUCAUAUGUAAAUUGGUAUAUUAAGGAAAAGGCGUUACAAAGGUGAAAAAAAACCAAUCAAAUCUUAUAUAUGACAUCUCAAAAAUAUGAACUUGCUAUAAAUAUUUAAAAUCAAAAUCUUGCACAUCACCUCGUAGUACGAACUUGCUAUAAAACUUGAAAAUCAAGAAGAAAGGGGCAGUAUUGGACGAGACUACUUAGCACAUAUUAUUAUGAUGUUUUUUCAUUUUCUUAAUGUUGUUUUUAUGUCUUAAAUUCUAUUAUUCUAUGUUACGGUAAACAUUCAUCUUGUUUGUGUGGAAUAGGAUCACUUUUCUCUGGGUUGAGUCGAUGCCCUUAGUUAAUUUGUUCAUUUGAAUAAACUAAAUUAUUAUAAGUAUUUAGAUAAGAAAAACGUGAUACAUAAAUUACGCCUCUCGGCACAACUUCAACACUGGUUACUCUGUUUCAGUUUCCUCACACAAGAUUAUUGGUUCUAGGGUUUAUUUGGUUUUGGUUUGAUUCUAAUUGCUAAACUUUCUCAAGGAAGAUGUUAUAUAGGGAGUGAGAAACCUUCACUCUUGGCUACCUCCAAGAGAAGAGCAAGUGGUCUGAAUCAAAGAUAUACUGCUCACUUUUUCUUCUUCUAAGGACAGCUAUGACCUUGCUUUAAGGUUCGAAUAGCCUAAUGCAACCUCCCAUUUCUCAAGUCAGCUGAUGAUGUAAGUCACCUUGGCUUUCCACAUUCAUACGGUGAGGACGUUUGUGGGUGUAAUUCUCUUAACAGUUUUCAUUUUAUAUGGAAAAAUUCAUAAUUAAGGGUAAUUACUGAUUCCAUUUGACAGUGACCAAGUUUAAAAUAUUAAUUCAUAUAUUAAAUGCACAUUAAAAAAUCAUGGAAUAAAUAUAUUUACUAAUAUAUAGUUCUUUUGCCAUGUUCUGUCACAGAAGCAUCGAACUUUCCCUAGAAAUUUUUGCAUGGUAUUCUACUUAUGAUUUUGAAAACUCUAGGCACCUGAGGCCACUAAUUGCAUGGUUGGAUGAGGAGCUGCAUGAGAUUAUGUAUCGUGUUGUUCCUUAACUACAAAUAUCAGUUUUAAGUAGCAUCUCCAUGUGACAUUUUCCUGAUGCAAUUUCGCUGUCCACCAACAAAUUUCACCAUGCAGCAAGAUGAAUUGUAAUUUCUUUAUUGUUAUCAACAGCUUUAAUUAAUCUUGAUAUAUAUAUAUAACUUAGUAGAAGUAUAUUAAUCUAGAUUGUAGUUGCACUAAGAUAAUAGGCAAUAUUAUAACAGUGCCACAAUGCUCAUCGCCAAAUAGAAAGGUAGAAAAACUACAAUGAGUAACUCACAACAUUCUCAAACAGGACAUAGCGGCGACUGAUACAUAGAACACUAUUGGCACUCAGGAAAUGAUAAGAUCAGUGCCCAGCAGGCAGCACGUCUUAUUUUACAUACUACUUAAAACUAACCAAAGUCAUUCAGUUGGGAUGGGUGGGAGAUGGUGGUUUGUGCGGUGGCUUUUGGGUAGUUGGUGGCUUCUUUCCUGGAACUGAUGGUUUUUUUGUUGGAGUUGAAGGAGGCUUAAUCGUCUGAGGUGGCUUGUAUGAGUCUUCAGCACUCUCUGCGGGAGGGUGCCCAGGGUUGUGACCAUAAUGGGGUGGCUUCUCUCCCUUAGUUGGUUUGCCAAGUGGGCUGGCUGGCUUGUGCUCCGGGAGCGGCUUCUCUCCCUUAGGUGGUUUGCCAAAUGGGCUUGCUGGCUUGUGCUCUGGGAGCGGCUUCUCUCCCUCAAGAAGUUUACGGGUUUUGUCAGAUGGCUUGUGUUCUGGUGGUGGCUUCUCUCCUUGGGGUGGUUUGCCAAAUGGACUUGGUGGCUUGUGUUCGGGGAGUGGCUCCUCUCCCUUGGGAGGUUUAGUUGGUGGCUGGUGUUCCAUAGGUGGUUUCUCAACCGGGGGCUUGUUCUCCGUUGGUGGUUUAUGAACUGGGGGAUGCUUGGGGUAGUCAGCAAGAGACGGGGUGGUGAGAACCACCAGUCCCAGCAGCAACACUAGCAAGUAUGUGGAAGAGUACAUCUUUGAGUUCAGGCUGAGAUUUGUGCGAGACUUGAAGAAUUAGGUGGCCUUUUAUAGCUGGCUGCACCCAACACUCACAUGACACGUAUCAUGGUGACACAUGUGCUAUGGGUCCAUUUGGGUCCUACAGAAGCUGAAAACUUUUGACUAUUGAGGUGUGGUCACAACUUUUGUCCCUAUUGCUUUCUCCGCAACCGUUUUACAUGUUUCCUUUGGCAUAAUUUUCUAAGCUAAACAAGCAUAUAUCAUAUUUGGUUAAGAAAGAGUAAAGUGUAUAUGGCACACAUCAAGGAAGAGAAACAGAAAAAGUGGGAGACAAUCAAUUGUGAUAAACAGAUAUAUUAUAUUCAUGUAGUACUAGUGACUUUAUCAUUUACUUUUAUCCAAUAGAUCAUCACUCUUUCUUCUAAAUAUUUUGGAGGAUAAUGGUACAUGUUGCUUGUUUCCAAGUCAAAAUUGGUGGCAAAAAUCGGCAUGAUACGAAAGGAUUGGUGAAAAGAUUCACAUAGAUGGUGCUUUGUGCAAUGCAGUCUUGCUCUAAUUCAACAGAGUGGACCAUGGUGAUGUAUUUUAAAUUUUAAAUUUUAAAUUAAUGCAUGCUUCAAAGUUUUAACUAGAUGUCACUUCCAUGGAUUUUUGUUCAUUUAAUUGAGCACAGGAUAGGCUAUCAAACUUGAAGUAAUAUAAAAAUCCCUUCAUUACUGUAACUAAUGAAAGAUCAUUAUCUGCGCUUGGUAUUUUGCCAAGGUAUUUGCUGCUCUUUCUAGCCCUGUCUUACAGUUAAGGACAAUGUGAUCUAGUUAACCUUAGAAGCUAUUCCAUGUCAGAUACAAGAGAUCAAGCACAUUAUCUUUGGGCUCAGUUCAAAACUAUAAUAUAUGGGUGGGGUGGAGGCCCAUAUCAUUUGCAUAUCACCACUAUUGGUUUAGUUUGGAAGGUUUCUUCUGGAAGAUUGCUGCUUUCUGGAAUCAUUUCAAAGAAAUAUAUCUUUUUGUUCUCUUGGUGACGAGCAGCGGCAAUCAAGUCUGUUGACAAACAACCGAGUUGAAAAGUUUGAAAAUUGGUCACAGCCCACGUCCAUGGUUAAGGAAAAGGUCACUGGAAGUGAUCCCUUCUGGGCCUCUUGAUUUCCAUUCUGACAUCUAUAUGACCUGAUAAAUAGAAAGAAAAAAAAACAGAAGAAAAGCGGCACCCGGGUUCAUAGUAAGCAUCAAGACAGGAUACUGAAAGAAGGGAGAAAGGAGAUUGCAAGUCCAAUCCUGAUAAAAUGAUCAACAAAGAGUAUCAAAAUGGGGCCAACAUAAAGACCCAUUGAGGUUAGCAGAUGGCAUGGCAUUUUUCUCCUUAAGUUUUCCAUGAUUAGACUUGAAGUCAAAAUUUCACAUGUAAAUUUGUAUUUCUACAUUUCCCACUGACGACACCCAACUUCAACUUGAGUUAGAAUAACAUUGUGUGAACUUAUCUGGCCCUCAAAAUUUACUGUGAAGUGCUUUCUGCGUGUGAAGAUUCAGAAAAGCACCAAGGGAACAUGUAUGGUCUGCCUUUUUCUGAUGUUAUGUUUGUCUCUAAUUCUGUUCCAUGUCAUGGUAAAUGUUCACAUUGCUUGUAUGGAACACACCAGGAUCACUUUUUCGGGUUUAUUUUGAGGCUUCAUAUUGGGUUCAUAUUGGGUUCAAUGCUUUUAAUGUGUUCAUUAGACAAAUCUGAAUUAUCAUAUGCAUUUAGAUAAGAACAAUAAUGUGAAACCCUAGUUACACCUCCCCUGCAUAACCCCAACCCUGCUUACUCUAUUUCAGUUUACUCACACAAGUUUUACCGGUUCUUAUAAGUCAAGAAAAGGCAACUGAUGUUGGAUUGACUCUCUUCCAUGUAUAAAAAGCAACUUUUAUAUAUACAUAAAAUAACUUCUUCCCCUCACCAAUGUGGGAUAUCAUGGAUUUAUUCUGGAAACACAUCAAAGGAACAUCUUUUCUCUUGGGUGACCCUAAGUGGUGAGUCAGACCAUUUGCAUGCCAUUGAGUUGCACAGUUGGAUAAAUGCACCUACCUCCUGGGCUCCAGAGUUAAAAGGGUGGAUCCCUGGAUCGCAACCCUCUUGGCAUCUUGGUUUCCAUUCCAACAUCCACAUGACUUGACAAAACAAAAAACAGAAUAAAAUCAUCACUAUUUUCAUGCUAAGCACCAAUACAUGAUGGAAAUCAUUGCUUAAAGAUUUGGGGUCAUUUAGGUUUUGACUGCCUCCUAACACCUCACCUAAUCACAAGUUUUUAUGCUUACAAAUCAAAUAUCGUUCUUCAUUAUAUUAAAAUCAUUUUAAGAUUUCAGAUCCAUCUGCUAAUUAUGAUUAUGAUAACAUUAAUUCACCUGUGCUUCUCAUUUUCGACACACAAGGCAUCUAGGUUUGCAGGAUUUCCUUAUUAGAUGAGAUAAAUGAGUACGCAUGGUUAUGUAUGCAGCAUUCAUUAACCAUGGUAUGUGACAUUUAGAAUUAAGAUAGCAAGCAAACUUUCCCUGCAGCUUGAGUAAAUUGUGAUUUCUUAGCCUCUAUGAGUGGUUCCCAAAUCAAAUUAACAUAGUGAAAUAUACGUAGUCCAGUGAAAGGAAAUGUAAAUUAUAAACUAACAGCACUACACUACUGGUAACACUCGAUACUCUCUAUAUAAUGCAAUGAAAUAUACGUUAUACGUUGCUUGUUCCAAGUCAAAAUUUGUGGCCAAACGUUGGCCUUUUUUCAUUUUCCCUAAGAUUAAUGCUCACCUGGGAUAGGCACUACAUGAUUUAUCUGCUCUUUUACUGUAAAGUUGCUUUGUGUAUGAGUUACACCUCCCCUGCACACCCUCAACAUUUGUUGCUCUGUUUUCCUUGUGUCCAGACGAGGAUAUUAAGUGGGGGCUGACAAAACGACUGCUAGCCAAGGAUUUACAAGGUCCUGGUUUGACGCUUCCGCGAAAGUAUUUUUGAAAAUAUACACAUAGAGAUUGCGCGUUCGGUGCAAUGCAACAAUGUGAGCCAUUCUGAAGUUUUUAAUUUCAGAUUAAUGAAUGCUACAAAAUUCUAAGAAGGGCCGUUUCCAAAUAUUUGAGUUCAUUUAUCCGAACAUCGGAUAAGUAAUGAUCAUAGAUUAUUAUUAUUAUCUGACGUUCUUAUAAUGGUUGGCAUUAUAAGAGGGUAUAUGCUUCUUUCUCUAGCCCCUCCUUCAAGGGAGGGACAAUGUGAUCUGUAUCGUUAGAAGCUAUUCCAUGUCGUCAUCUUUUGGCUUAAGUCAAUACUAAAAUAUAUGGGCGGGGCCCCUGUCAUUUUAUAUUUCUUCUAGAAGGUUUGUUCUGGAAAUCUUUCACCGAAACAUAUCUUUUUCUUCUCUACGUGAUCCGUGGUUGGAAAGUUAGAAAAAUGGGUCCGUUCACAAGCCACCGAGUUGAAAAGUUGGAAAAAUGGCAACACCGCCAACCUCUUGUAUUCGAUAGUUAAAUAAAAGGUCACUGGAAGUGAGAUCCCUUUUGGCCUCUUGAUUUUCAUCCCAGCAUCUCUAUGUCCUGAUAAACUAAAAAACUAAAAAAAAAACAGUACGUGGGUUGGUGUUAAGCAUCAAGAGUCAAGACAUGAUAAUGGAGAGAAAGGAUAUUCAAAUUCCAGUUCUGACAACAUGAUUUUCUUUCCUGAACAACCAUGUUAUAUUUGAUCAAGAAAGAGUAGUGCAUGUGGCCAGGAUCAAGACAUACAUUAAUUUCCACAUGAUGAAGACAGUUUCUGAGAGUUUCUUCUAAAGCUCUUGCGCUAGUAGGCUUCAAGUCAAAAUUUCCCAUGUAAACACUGGAUUUUCUUUAAUUGCCACUAAGGAUACAGUUAAAAUUGACUUAAAAUCCUACGUGAUAUAUAUCUUUAACAAAAGUAUAUUGUAUAUAAUAUUUGAAAUAAUGUUGAUUCGUUGUGGAAAUAUGUUUGUAAGGAAAGUUGUUGACAAUUUAAUAUAGUAUAAGAAGAAAAAAGUUAUCAACUAGAGAUGAGUAUGUAAAGUGAGGCUCACGAUUCAACGCGUAAAUAUAAGAUAUUUUAAGGCUCAAUAGUUAUGAUAUCUAUUUUAUUUUUUGUAUCCCAUAUAUUCAAAGAUACAGUAAAAUGAUUUUAUAUAUAUGAACAUAGCCGAUAGUAUCAUGUUAAAACCUUAUAUGACUCUUUGUGCCAAUUGAUUUUUAUCUUUAUUUUGUGUAUUAGUAAUUAGUAUUAAAGUUUUUACUAACAUAAUAAUUGAUAUAAAAGCUUUUUCCAAAAGAGUCAAACAGAGCAAAACACUUAUUAUAAAAAGAAUUUUGAUUGAAGGUGGAGUCAAUUAUUCUUUAUUCAACAUGUGAUGCAUACAGCGGGUACUUCAUAACUAAAGUAUAUAAGUGCAACAUCUCUUAUACAUUCUCAUUCAAUCUCGAAAGUGGAAAAUUUUAAAAGAUUAAAUGGUUCAAAUUUUCCGUGCAUAAAGGGGAUCAUGUCACAUAACCAAACCAUGGCAUACCAAAGCCAUGAUAUGGACUAAGAAUUUUGUUAAAAUAAGUUUCUUAUUAGGGCACAUUAUGUGACUAUUUAUGACAUAUCAAAGGAGUCAAGUGCAUCAAUAAAGACAUAGAAAAUUCAUGCAUCACAUGUACCACUAAGAGAAAAUUGACUUGAUAGAGUUUAGUCCAAAUAGGAGAUUGUUAAAAGGUGCAUCAAAUUCUUGAUUGAUAUAUAUUUUUUUUAUUAGAAAGGUUAUUAUAUAGAUAUUUCAAUAGACUAUUAAUCCUUUGUAAAAAUAGUUAUAUAAUGAGGAUGGUGAUUAAAAAUAUCUCUAUCAAUAUUUUGGAUUAUAAAAAGAAAAAAAAUAUGAGAAAAUGAUAAACAUAUAAAACUUGUACAAGUAGAUAGAGAUGUGAUGAAAGACACUUGAUGAAUGGAGGCCUUGUAUUUCAAGAUGUAAAUAUAUGGAGCAAAACUCUUAAUUAUAUGAUCAAAUGAUUCUCUCAUAUUCAUGAACAUAAGCAGGAUUGGGGAACCAUGAUAGAAUCUUAUAUGCCUCUCCAUGUAGAUUGAUCGAUGUUUAUCUUCAUAUUUUACACCAAUGAAUGACAUUGAAACUCUGAUUGAUAAAAGGGAAAAAGCAUGGCCUCCACCACAAGAAAAACAAGUAACCUCGGUCUAAAUCACUAGUCUACACCCCGAAGAGAGAACUAGCCAAACCUACUAAAAGAGAAACUUACCAAUUUAGAAAGAAAUCUUCCAUGAUAAAGGGCCCCUAAAAGUCCAAUUCAGUCAGGUUGUGAACAAAAACACCUUCAUGUCAAAACAGGAAUAGGUACCACCAAAAUGUAAAGGGAAAGAUGUAAACCAAGUCGAACUUUGGUAAACAAUGGUAAAGAUAGCAUGAUAGCUAAAAGCACUAAAGCUGUGCUUGGUAUGCAAAAAUGAAAAGUGGAAAUCAGCGUCUUAUUCUUUUUCUCCUUUAUUCACAUAUUAGGAUAACUAAUAUCUAAUGUUUUUUUUAUGUCUCAAAUUCUAUUCCAUGUUAUGGUAAACUUUCAUCUUGUUUAAGUGGAAGAGUAGGAUCACUUUUGUCUGGUUUGGGCUCAAGACGAUAAGCCUAUAGAGACUUCAUAUUGGGUUGAAUUGAUGCCCUUGAUCCGAUCAGUUCGUUAGAAAAAUCUGAAUUAUUAUAAGCAUUUAGAUAAAAUAAAUAAAUAAAUGUGAAACAGAGACUAUUCUCUGCACAACCUUGACCCUAGUUACUCAGUUUCACUGCUCACGGGACUAACCUCUCCAUUCAGUCGAAAUGAAUUGUAAUUUCUUUACUGGUAGCAGUAGUACUUUUCAUAGCAAAGAUAAUAGUAAAUAUGAAAUAUAAAUAUAUAGAAGGAAAUCUGGAUUGUAGAUAGCACCAUAAGUAACACUCAAUAUUUACUACAUAAUAAAAGAGAUAGUGUUACAAAGGUAGAGAAACCUACAAUGAGUACUCAUCACCAUUCUCAAACAGAAACAUAGCAGUGACUUAUACAUAGAACCUAUAGGCUCGCAGGGAAAGAGUAACAUGAUAAGUGCACAGCGGGUAGCAGCUCUUAUUUUACGUAUUACUCAAAAUCUCAAACUAACCAAAGUCACUCAGUUGGGAUGGGUAGGAGAUGGUGGUUUGUGGGGUGGCUUCUGGGUAGGAGCUGGUGGCUUCUUUGUUGGAGUUGAAGGAGGCGUAAUCUUCUGAGGUGGCUUGUAUGAGUCUUUGGCACUCUCUGCAGGAGGGUGCCCAGGGUUGUGACCGGAAGGAGGUGGCUUCUGUCCCUUUGGUGGUUUGCCUAAUGGGCUUGGUGGCUUGUGCUCCGGGAGUUGUUUCUCUCCCUCGAGUAGGUUUCGAGUUUUGUCAGAUGGCUUGUGUUCUGGUGGUGGCUUCUCUCCCUGGGGUGGUUUGCCGAAUGGGCUUGGUGGCUUGUGUUCGGGGAGUGGCUUCUCUCCCUUGGCAGGUUCAGUUGGUGGCUGGUGCUCCGUAGGUGGUUUCUUCACCGCCGGCUUCUCUCCCUGGAGAAGGUUACGAGUUUUGUCAGAUGGCUUCUGUUCUGGUGGCGGCUUCUCUCCCUGGGGUGGUUUGCCAAAUGGGCUUGGUGGCUUGUGUUCGGGAACUGGCUUCUCUCCCUUGGCAGGUUCAGUUAGUGGCUGGUGUUCCGUAGGUGGUUUCUUCACCGGCGGCUUGUGCUCCGGAAGCGGCUUCUCUACCUGGAGAAGCUUACGAGUUUUGUCAGAUGGCUUGUGUUGUGGUGGUGGCUUCUCUCCCUGGGGUGGUUUGCCAAAUGGACUUGGUGGCUUGUGUUCGGGGAGUGGCUUCUCUCCAUUGGGAGGUUUAGUUGGUGGUUGGUGUUCCGUAGGUGGUUUCUGAAGUGGGGGAUGCUUGGGGUAGUCAGCAAGAGACGAGGUAGUGAGAACCACCAGUCCCAGCAGCAAUACUAGCAAGGAUGUGGAAGACAUCUUUGAGUUCAGGCUGAGAUUUGUGCAAGGCUAGAAGAAUUAGGUGGCCUUUUAUAGCGGGCUGGACCCAACAACCAAAUGACACGUAUCAUGAUACACAUAUGUGUUAUAAGAUCCUUGUGGGUCCUACAGAAGUUGAAAACUUUGACAAUUGAGGUGUGAUUACAACUUUUGUCCCUAUUGCUUUCUCGUCAGCCGUUUUGCAAGAUUUUUGACAGGAGGACGGUAGUUUAAAAUAAUAAUUUCUAAAGUACUUUUGUGAAAAAAAAUAAUUCCAAACGUGGAUUUUAUCAAGUAAAAAAAACAAAAAAAAGUUAUUUUCUUUUAAAAUCUUUUCUUCAUGAUUCAUAUACCAAAAAAAGAAUUGUUUUCUGUAGGUAAAAUUUUUAAAAUUCAUUUUUAAAAAAAAAAAAUUACACACUAAAAUUAUCUCUUCAAGAAAAUAUUUUUUAAAUUUUAAAUAAUUAUUAAUUUAUAAUUAAUUUUUUAUUAAUUAUUUAUUAAAUUUAUAUGUGAAAAAUGCAUUUAUAAAAAACAAAUUUUUUAUUAAUUUAUUAAAUAAUUAUUUACAAAAUAAAUAAUUUUGCUUUAUUUUAAUUUUAAAAUUAAUUUUAUUAUAUAAAUUUUAAAAUUAAAAAUAUUAAUAUUUAAUUUAAAAUUUAACUAUAAAAGGAAUAAAAUAUAGAAAAAUAAAUUAAUUUAUUAUUCAAUAAAUUAAUUUUCAAUAAAAUUUUCAGCAUUAAGAGAUAAAUUUUUAAGUAUUAAUCAAUUUAAAAAAUAAUAAUAAUCAUUUGUAUACUAAGAUAUUUUAUUUAGUAAUUAUGAAUGAUAAACAACUAAAGUAAUUUGAAAAAAUAAUAAAAUAUUUAAAAAUAAUAAUUUAAUACACUUAAAAUUAGAAAUGAUUAACUAUUUUUUAUUAAGAAAAAAUUGAAGAAAUAUUUUGUUAUUUAAAAUUUUUUAUUUGUUUUCAAUUUUAAAUGUUAUAGGUUUCAAGAAAAUUGAUCAAAUAAAAAUUAAGAAGUCAUUUUUUCAAAAACUAUAUAUCUAAAUAAAAGCCUUGAAAUUCAAAUACACAAUAUCAUAAAUAUAAACACCAAGUCAAUCCUUAAUUAUCAAAUGUUUUUAAUAUUAAAGAAUCAAAAUCACCUACUAUCAUGAUAAUAAGAAAACCAAUAAUAUUGUUCAUAUAAAUACUAAAAAGCUAACAAAUAUCCCAAACAAUUAAUAAAGUAUCAAACAUGAUAAAAAGUCAAUUAUUAUCAUGAAUGCAAAAAAUCAAUAAUUUUGUUUAUAUGAACCAUCAACAAAGAAAAAAAAAAUCAAUAUCUAAAUAUUAAACAUAAUUUAUAUUUUUAUAAAUAUUAUUGUUGAUAAAUAUCUUAAUAAUUAUAAUUUUUUAUAUAUUAAAUUUAGUAAAUAAAAUUAAUUAAUUUUAUAAUAUAAGAUAUAUAUAAUAAUUAAGAGACUAUUUGUCCCAAACAAUUUAUUUAUUUUUUUUUUAGGAAAUUGUCUCUUCAAGAGACGACUUCUCCCAACAUUUUUAAAAAAAAAAAAAAAAACAUCUAUUCAAAAGACGAUUUCUCCUCAUUUUUUAAAAAUGAAUUUUAGAAAUCAUAUUUUCAAAAAUGAAUUUUAGAAAUCAUAUUUUCAAAAGACGAUUUUUUUUUAUAUAAAUUAUUUUUUAAAAUGACGAUUUUAAAAGGAAAUAACGAUCUCUCUCCUACUUGGCAAAAACUAUGGUAAAUUUGGAAUUAUUUCUUCCACAACCAUAGUUUAAGAAUUAUUUUUUUAUACUUUCGUAGACUUAUCAAAAAUCCCUAUUUUGCAUGUCUCAUUUGGCAUGACUUUCUUACCUAAACAAGCAUAUAUAUAUAUAUAUAUAUAUAUAUCACUUUUGUCUGGGUUGAGUCAAUGCCCUUAACUAAUUUGUUCAUUUGAAUAGUCUAAAUUAUUAUAAGCUUUUAGUUAAGAAAAAUGUGAAACAUAAAUUACACCUCUCGGCACAACUUCGACACUGGUUACUCUGUUUCAGUUUAUUCACACAAGAUUAUUGGUUCUAGGGUUUAUUUGGUUUUGGUUUGAUUCUAAUUGCUAAACUUUCUCAAGGAAGAUGUUAUAUAGGGAGUGAGAAACCUUCACUCCUGGCUACCUCCAAGAGAAGAGCAAGUGGUCUGAAUCAAAGAUAUACUGCUCACUUUUUCUUCUUCUAAGGACAGCUAUGACCUUGCUUUAAAAUGUUCGAAUAGCCUAAUGCAACCUCCCAUUUCUCAAGUCAGCUGAUGAUGUAAGUCACCUUGGCUUUCCACAUUCAUACGGUGAGGACGUUUGUGGGUGUAAUUCUCUUAACAGUUUUCAUUUUAUAUGGAAAAAUUCAUAAUUAAGGGUAAUUACUGAUUCCAUUUGACAGUGACCAAGUUUAAAAUAUUAACUCAUGUAUUAAAUGCACAUUAAAAAAUCAUGGAAUAAAUAUAUUUACUAAUAUAUAGUUCUUUUGUCAUGUUCUGUCACAGAAGCAUCGAACUUUCCCUAGAAAUUUUUGCAUGGUAUUCUGCUUAUGAUUUUGAAAACUCUAGGCACCUAAGGCCACUGAUUGCAUGGUUGGAUGAGGAGCUGCAUGAGAUUAUGUAUCCUGUUGCUCCUUAACUACAAAUAUCAGUUUUAAGUAGCAUCUCCAUGUGACAUUUUCCUGAUGCAAUUUCGCUGUCCACCAACAAAUGUCUCCAUGCAGCUAGAUGAAUUGUAAUUUCUUUGUUGUUAUCAACAGCUUUAAUUAAUCUUGAUAUAUAUAUAACUUAGUAGAAGUAAUUAAUCUAGAUUGUAGUUGCACUAAGAUAAUAGGCAAUAUUAUAACAGUGCCACAAUGCUCAUCGCCAAAUAGAAAGGUAGAAAAACUACAAUGAGUAACUCACACAACAUUCUCAAACAGGACAUAGCGGCGACUGAUACAUAGAACACUAUUGGCACUCAGGAAAUGAUAAGAUCAGUGCCCAGCAGGCAGCACGUCUUAUUUUACAUACUACUUAAAACUAACCAAAGUCAUUCAGUUGGGAUGGGUGGGAGAUGGUGGUUUGUGCGGUGGCUUCUUUCCUGGAACUGGUGGUUUUUUUGUUGGAGUUGAAGGAGGCUUAAUCGUCUGAGGUGGCUUGUAUGAGUCUUCAGCACUCUCUGCAAGAGGGUGCCCAGGGUUGUGACCAUAAUGAGGUGGCUUCUCUCCCUUAGGUGGUUUGCCAAGUGGGCUGGCUGGCUUGUGCUCCGGGAGCGGCUUCUCUCCCUUAGGUGGUUUGCCAAAUGGGCUUGCUGGCUUGUGCUCUGGGAGCGGCUUCUCUCCCCCAAGAAGUUUGCGGGUUUUGUCAGAUGGCUUGUGUUCUGGUGGUGGCUUCUCUCCUUGGGGUGGUUUGCCAAAUGGACUUGGUGGCUUGUGUUCGGGGAGUGGCUCCUCUCCCUUGGGAGGUUUAGUUGGUGGCUGGUGUUCCGUAGGUGGUUUCUCAACCGGGGGCUGGUGCUCCGUAGGUGGUUUAUGAACUGGGGGAUGCUUGGGGUAGUCAGCAAGAGACGGGGUGGUGAGAACCACCAGUCCCAGCAGCAACACUAGCAAGUAUGUGGAUGACAUCUUUGAGUUCAGGCUGAGAUUUGUGCAAGACUAGAAGAAUUAGGUGGCCUUUUAUAGCUGGCUGCACCCAACACUCACAUGACACGUAUCACGGUGACACAUGUGCUAUGGGAUCCAUUUGGGUCCUACAGAAGUUGAAAACUUUUGACUAUUGAGGUGUGAUCACAACUUUUGUCCCUAUUGCUUUCUCCGCAACCGUUUUACAUGUUUCCUUUGUGGUGUUUAAUAGUGUUUUUUUCCUUAAUUCUAAAUAAACCUUAAUACUUAAUAAUGUUAAAUAUUAGGUUAUUUAUUUUUAUAAUAUUUUAUUUAUAUUAAGUAUUAAAAAGUAAAGAAAAAUCAAUAUAUUUAUUUUUCUAUUUAGAAAAAACUAUAUAUUUUUAAUUUUUUUAUUUAAUAAAAAAUUUAUAAUAAAUCAUGAAAAAAUAGAAAAACAAACAACCUAAAUUUUAAAAAUAAAUUGUUUUUAGUAAAAACCCAAAAAAACAAACACCACCUUAACUAAACAAAUAUAUAUUAUAUUUAGUUAAGAAAGAGUAAAGUGUAUAUGGCUCAAAUCAAGGAAGAGAAACAGAAUAAGUGGAAGACAAUCAAUUGUGAUAAACAGAUAUAUUACAUGCAUGUAGUACUAGUGACUUUAUCAUUUACUUUUAUACAAUAGAUCAUCACACUCUUUCUUCUAAAUAUUUUGGAGGAUAAUGGUACAUGUUGCUUGUUGCCAAGUCAAAAUUGGUGGCAAAAAUCGGCAUGAUACGAAAGGAUUGGUGAAAAGAUUCACAUAGAUGGUGCUUUGUGCAAUGCAGUCUUGCUCUAAUUCAACAGAGUGGACCAUGGUGAUGUAUUUUAAAUUUUAAAUUUUAAAUUAAUGCAUGCUUCAAAGUUUUAACUAGAUGUCACUUCCAUGGAUUUUUGUUCAUUUAAUUGAGAACAGGAUAGGCUAUCAAACUUGAAGUAAUAUAAAAAUCCCUUCAUUACUGUAACUAAUGAAAGAUCAUUAUCUGCGCUUGGUAUUUUGCCAAGGUAUUUGCUGCUCUUUCUAGCCCUAUCUUACAGUUAAGGACAAUGUGAUCUAGUUAACCUUAGAAGCUAUUCCAUGUCAUAUACAAGAGAUCAAGCACAUUAUCUUUGGGCUCAGUUCAAAACUAUAAUAUAUGGGUGGGGUGGGGGCCUAUACCAUUUGCAUAUCACCACUAUUGGUUUAGUUUGGAAGGUUUCUUCUGGAAGAUUGCUUUCUGGAAACAUUUCAAAGAAAUAUAUCUUUUUGUUCUCUUGGUGACGAGCAGCGGCAAUCAAGUCUGUUGACAAACAACCGAGUUGAAAAGUUUGAAAAUUGGUCACAGCCCACGUCCAUGGUUAAGGAAAAGGUCACUGGAAGUGAUCCCUUCUGGGCCUGUUGGAAGCAGGGGAGGUUAACACACCAAGCAACAAAGAACAGAGAUAUGCUGCUACUGAUCUAUAUUUUUUAUUUGAUCAUAAGGCUAAAUUUAUACAGAUUGUGUAACAGAUAUGACCUCAAAAAAAAGCAUCAAAUCAAGCUACUUGUUGAACAAACAACUACCUUCUACAAAAUAACAUCAAAAUUUAACUUAAAAGCAAAAACAUAAAAAUAGCAACAGCAAAAAUAGAAACAUAAAAAUAGCUUCAGCAUUCUAGUAAUCUCGUUGACUUCAAUUGCAUGUGGUUGACGAUUUCAGCCUUUUCCUCAGCAGCUACUAAGGCAUAACUCUCAACACUCCUCCUUGACUUAGGAGGUGCAAACUCCAAGUCUUUCUCAUAGAAACUCAAAUCUUAUUUUAGGAAGAGCUUUAGUCAGAAUAUCUACAUUUUGACUGUCUGUAUUGCAGUAGACUAGUUGUAUAUCUCCUUCUUUCUGUACUUCCCUCAAAAAUUACAAUUUAAUCUUGAAGUGCUUUGUUUUACCAUGAAAAACUGGAUCAUUUGCAAUAGAUAUAGUGGCCUGGUUGUCUACAAACACCUUUGUACUCACUUCUUGCUUCAUAUCCAAAUCUGUCAGCAACUUUCCAAGCCAUAAGGCUUGAUUUACAGCUGUAACAGCAGCAAUAUACUCUGCCUCAGCUGUGGAUUGAGCCACGACUUCUUGCUUCCUUGAACUCCAUGAAAAAACACCAGAACCAAAACUAAAACAAUAGCCUGAAGUACUUCUCAUAUCGUCAACACAACCAGCCCAAUCACUAUCAGAAAAUCCAUGAAAAUUGAAACUUUGAACUUGACUGAACUUAAUGCCAUAAUCCACAGUGCCUUUAACAUUUCUUAUCACACGCUUUGCUGCCUGGAAAUGAAUUUCACUAGCACAAUGCAUGUAUCUCGAAAGUAGACUUACAGCAUGCAUUAUAUCGAGUCUUGUUGCAGUCAAGUACAUUAAGCAUCCAAUCAUGCUUCGAUAAAGUCCUUCAUCUACCUUUUUAGCACCGUCCUCCUUACAGAACUUCUCUUUCUGGUUCAUAGGGGUAGAUGUAGGUUUGCAUUCCUCCAUUUUGAAUUUCUUCAUAAUUUCUUUGGCAUAUUUUUGUUGGCAGAUGAAAAUCUCAUUCUGCUUCUGGUGUACUUCCAUUCCCAAGAAGUAAGACAUCUCAUCUAGGUCUGUCAUCUCAAAAACCUGCUCCAUUUCAGCCUUGAAUUUGUUCACAAACCCUGCAUUACUUCCUGUUACAAGCAAAUCAUCAACAUAUAGAGAAACAAUUAAUAUAUCUUCUUCAAUCUUCUUAAUGUAGAGUGUAAAUUCACUCAAGCUCUUGUGAAAGCCUAAAGUUAGCAGGUGAGUGUCAAUCCUGCUGUACCAAGCUCUAGGGGCUUGUCUUAACCCAUACAAGGCCUUCUUAAGAAGGUAUACUUUUUCUUCUUUUCCUUUGAUAGCAAAACCUUCUGGUUGUUCGACAAAAAUCUCUUCCUCUAAGUAGCCAUUCAAAAAUGCUGACUUCACAUCUAGUUGAUAAAUCUUCCAUUUUCUUUGAGCUACAAGAGCCAACAACAUCCUGAUUGUAUCCAAACGAGCUACUGGUGCAAAGGUUUCCGAAAAGUCAACACCAAACAUUUGUGCAUACCCUUUGACAACCAGCCUUGCUUUAUGUUUGUUUAUAGAACCAUCAGAGUUGAGUUUGGUUCUGUAAACCCACUUAACCCCAAUAGGUUUUUUGUGUGAAGGUCUAUCUACUAGCUCCCAAGUGUUGUUCUUGUCAAUCAUAUCUAGCUCCUCCUGCAUUGCAACCCUCCAUCUUUUAUUUUCAGCAGCUUCAACAAACCCUGCAAGUUCAAGAACAGCUAUAUUACACCUUUGAUAAAUAUCAAAAAGUGUCAUGAAACCUCUAACUGGAAGUUCAUCAACAUCUUCAUCAAUAUAUUGCUGAUUCUGCUCAUCCCAACUCCAUUUCUCCGUUUCCAAAAACUUAACAUCUCUACUUACCACAAUUUUACUAUUUUGUGGCAAGUAGAUUCUGUAAGCUUUUGAGGUGCUGUUGUAUCCAAUGAAAAUUCCUGGUUCUGACUUUUUAUCUAGCUUGUCUCUUUUCACCUGAGGAACAUAAGAGAAACACAAGCAACCAAAGGUCUUUAAAUUCAUUAGCAUAGGCUUAUAAGCAAACCAGGCCUCAAAAGGUGUCUGUUUCUGCAAUGCUUUUGUUGGUAGUCUAUUUAGCAAAAAUACUACUGUAUUUGCAGCUUCAACCCAAAAACUUUUUGGCAGCUCUUUCUCAUGCAAAAGACAUCUUGUCAUUGAUUACUACUCAAAAAGUGCUAUUUGAUAGCCUUUAAUUAAUCCUUUUUAACACUUUUGAGUAGUAGUUUAGGCCUUUUAACUCAAUUGGCAUGUUAAGGAUCCUUUAAAGCAAUUUUGAUCACUUUGUGCAAGUUUUGGUGUUUUUGUUAGUAUUUCGAUCACCAAAGCAAGUCAAGAAUGAGGAGAGCUAUGAGGAAUCUUGGGCAAAGCUUAGAAUUCAAUUGCCAAGAGUGAAUCCGGAUUGCAAGGAGAAAAAGCAAAGAGGAUCAGUCAUGGAGCAUAUUCUUGAUGACAGUCGUAGCAGCCACUUUUGGAUCACUUUCUGAAGUCCAAAUGAUGCAAGCUAUAUACCAUUUCAAAGCUCAGGAAGUCAACAAUCCAAUGCUUCAAACGGUGUGCGAUUCGGAAUUGAAACGAAGAAGUUGCAGCCAUUACAAGCCAGACACUCUAAAGUGUUGCGGAAUCAGCCAUGUGUUGCGAGAAUUUCGCAGCACUUUUGUACAGUAAGGUGUUUCUCCUUCUAACGAUGCACGAACCAUGCCGCGAGAAGGGAGCUGGAAACUUCAAGAUGGAAGCCAACUUUGCAGCCUAGUGAAGAUAGCUCGGUCUUGCAAGAUAAUUUCGCAGCCCUCUUGGGUGUCUGCGAAAUUUCGCAGGCCUCAUUUUUCACCUGCGAAAUGGCUCUUGAAGCCUCCCGAAGCUUGCUACCGACAUUGGGAGAUAUUUUCCAUUAGAUUUUUGUUGUCUAAAUCCCAAAAUACUCCUUGUAAACCACCAAUUACAUGAUUCCUUAGUUUUUAAGUUAGUAAAAAGACCAAAUAUCUUUGUAACAAUUAGUUUUAUAUUUUGUUGUUAUAAAUACCUCUCGGGAGCCUGUUCUCAGGGAGGAGUUCCUUCUGUAAACGUUUGGUAAGCAAGUAAAGUCUAUUUUCUUUCUACUGCCUUACCUUCUCACUUUGUAUUUUCAUUUUAUUUCUAAGUUAUGAAUUCUCUGAGGAGUUUUCCCCAAAGAAUGAGUAACUAAACCUCCAAUUCCUUGGAGCUAAGGUUGCCGGGGAAGGUUCCAAGUGCAAGAAUGCAAAGCUCUGUGGUUUUAGCUAGUAAUGAAGAGGAAGUGAAAUCCUUUAGUGAUUUCAAUGUUUUUAGUUAACUUAAAACACUUUGGAGUCACCUGGGCCAACACUUGGUAAGGCAAGUGAUUUCCAACCAUGGAAAUGCACUAGUUUACCCCUUGCGAGCCUCUGGUAGGUGACUUCAAGGUAGGAUUUUCUGGAAUUACCAACACUUGGUAAGCUUUUGGACUCCUAGGAGACAUCCAUUAGUUAUCUCUUGCGAGUUUGUGAAGGGAAUCCAAGGUUAAAGAUCACCUUGAAUGGUAAGUGCUCGUGAGAGGCAUGAACCAUUGCAAGUUGUAUCAGUGAGAGAAUUAAAGUGAAAUCUAAUUGAAGGAGUCUUUGUACAUCACCGGUUAGAGAAUUGACUAUAAGUUGAAUCUCUAAUGCGAGGAAAUGAACCAACUGACCAGAGCCGUGUCUUUUGCAUGAGGAACCACCCCAGUGAACCUAAAUCUCCAAGGAAUGUUUUUUUCUUCCUAAAUUAUUCCAAACUUCUGUUAAGUUAGUUAGUUUAAAUCUCAACCUUUACAAAUCAAAGUUUGUGUUUUAUUCCUUAAGCUAACCGUGAAAUGAAACAAGACCAAUUCACUUGGAAUUGGUAUCAUUGAUUGCCUGCAAAUCAUUCCCAGUGAACGAUCCUAGAGCCACUAUACUAUAGUAGCUUUGUAUUUGCUACCCUAGUGUAUGGUGUUAUAGGUAUAAAUUUUGUUGAUCACUUCCUCAAUCAAGGAGCACCAGCUGAACACAAAUCAGCUGAGACACCAAUUAGGCAUGAGUCAAAUGGCGCCGUUGCCGGGGAAUGAAUGUCAAGUUCAUUGUGAUACCAUUGUUGAGCACUUGUGAUUUUCAUCACAAGUUGGUAAAGUUUCUUUCACUUUACUAAUUUUCAUUCUUUCUUUGUUUAUUUACAAUCUAAGUUUAUCUUUUUAAAUUUUAGUCUAGUUUAAUUUUGUUGUUGUAGCCCUGUUUUUCUUGUUGUCCUCUGUUUUCAUUUUUUUUUUCAGGUAGAUACUAGUUGUGUAUGCCCAAGUGGAUACGAGACAUAGGAGGUAGGCUUGUUAAGUGUGAUACACCUCAGAAAGGAGAAUUUGAAGUAAUCUUGAAUAUCAUGGAGGCUGCACCUGAAGAUCAGCAUAGUCACCAAGGUCGUCAAGACAAUCUCAAUGAAUUCAGAUCAAUGAGGGACCGUAUGCAUCCACCUCGUAUGAGUACACCAUCAUGUAUAGUGCCCCCUACAGAGCAGCUAGUGAUCAGACCAUAUCUUGUUCCACUUCUACCAACUUUCCAUGGGAUGGAAAGUGAGAAUCCGUAUGCACACAUCAAGGAAUUUGAAGAUGUUUGUAAUACAUUCCAAGAAGGAGGAGCUUCAAUUGACUUGAUGAGGCUUAAGUUAUUUCCUUUUACUUUAAAGGAUAAGGCCAAAAUUUGGCUUAAUUCUUUAAGGCCAAGGAGUAUCCGCUCUUGGACUGAUUUACAAGCUGAGUUCCUUAAGAAAUUUUUUCCUACUCAUAGAACAAAUGGCUUGAAAAGGCAAAUUUCAAACUUCUCAGCUAAAGAGAAUGAGAAAUUCUAUGAGUGUUGGGAAAGAUACAUGGAAGCUAUAAAUGCUUGUCCUCACCAUGGCUUUGAUACUUGGCUAUUGGUGAGCUAUUUUUAUGAUGGUAUGUCCUCCUCAAUGAAGCAACUCCUCGAGACAAUGUGUGGAGGAGAUUUCAUGAGCAAAAAUCCAGAGGAAGCUAUGGAUUUCUUGAGCUAUGUAGCUGAUGUUUCAAGGGGAUGGGAUGAACCAACUAAAGGAGAAGUGGGAAAGAUGAAGUCUCAGUUGAAUGCUUACAAUGCAAAGGCUGGGAUGUAUAAUUUGAAAGAAGAUGAUGACAUGAAAGCAAAGUUGGCAGCUAUGACAAGAAGAUUGGAGGAGCUGGAGCUGAAAAGAAUGCAUGAAGUGCAAGCUGUUGCUGAAGCACCAGUGCAAGUGAAGCUGUGUCCCAAUUGUCAAUCAUUUGAACAUUUGGUGGAGGAGUGCCCUGCAAUUUCAGUUGAAAGGGAAAUGUAUAGAGAUCAAGCAAAUGUUGUUGGACAAUUUAGGCCCAAUAACAAUGCUCCUUAUGGAAAUACCUACAAUUCAAGUUGGAGGAAUCAUCCAAAUUUCUCAUAGAAGGCCAGAGCAACUCAAUACCAACAGCCGGAUCCACCAUCUCAGCAAUCUUCAAGUAUUGAACAAAUAAUAGCCAAUCUCAGCAAGGUAGUGGGAGAUUUUGUGGGAAAGCAAGAAGCCACCAAUGCUCGAGUUGAUCAAAGAAUGGAUAGAAUGGAGAGUGUGUUGAACAAAAGAAUGGAUGGAAUGCAAAAUGAUAUGAACCAAAAGUUUGAUAACAUCCAAUAUUCAAUUUCAAGGCUUACAAAUUUGAAUACACUGCAAGAAAAAGGAAGAUUUCCUUCUCAACCUAACCAAAAUCCCAAAGGUGUCCAUGAAGUGGAAAGCCAUGAGGGAGAAUCAUCACAGGUGAAAGAUGUGAAAGCUUUGAUCACUCUAAGGAGUGGUAAGAAAAUUGAGCAGCCAACACCCAUGCCACAUGUUGAGAAAGAAGAAGGGAUAAAGAAAGGAAAGGAAAUAGAAGAUAAAGACAGUGAGAUCAGUGAAGAAAAGAAGGACUCUGAUUCAACAAUCAAAGCAAUUCCAGAGAAAGAGCUUCUGAAGGAAGAAAUGCUGAAGAAAUCAACUUUUCCACCUUUUCCUCAAGCAUUACAGGGGAAAAAGGGGGUUAGAAAUGCAGCUGAAAUCCUUGAAGUCUUAAGACAAGUAAAAGUUAAUAUUCCACUGCUGGAUAUGAUCAAACAAGUUCCAACGUAUGCAAAAUUCCUAAAGGACUUGUGUACUAUCAAAAGAGGGGUUGACUGUAAACAAGAAAGCCUUCUUGACUGAGCAAGUAAGUGCAAUCUUACAAUGCAAGUCUCCUUUGAAGUACAAAGACCCUGGAAGUCCUACCAUUUCAGUCAUGAUUGGAGGAAAGGUAGUGGAGAAAGCCUUGCUAGACUUGGGAGCAAGUGUGAAUUUGCUUCCAUACUCUGUCUACAAGCAACUGGGACUUGGAGAGUUGAAGCCAACAGCAAUCACUUUAUCUUUGGCAGAUAGAUCAGUGAAAAUUCCAAGAGGAGUAAUUGAGGAUGUAUUGGUUCAAGUGGAUAAUUUCUACUAUCCAGUAGAUUUUGUUGUUCUUGAUACUGAUCCAACUGUAAAGGAAGCUAAUUUAGUUCCUAUCAUCCUUGGAAGGCCAUUUCUUGCAACUUCAAAUGCAAUCAUCAACUGUAGAAAUGGGCUUAUGCAACUCACUUUUGGUAACAUGACACUGGAUCUCAAUAUUUUCUAUAUGUCUAAAAAGCAAAUCACUCCUGAGGAAGAAGAAGGUCCAGAAGAGCUAUGUAUUAUUGAUACUUUGGUGGAGGAGCACUGCAAUCAGCAUAUGCAAGAUAAGUUGAAUGAAAGUCUUGUGGAUAUUGAGGAAGGUUUUUCUGAAUCUCCUAUUGGGCUUGCUACUCUACAAAGUUGGAGAAAGAUAGAAGGAAUUCUACCUUUGUUCAAUGAAAAAGAGGAGGCAACUGUUGAAGAAGAAAUUCCAAAACUCAAUUUGAAGCCUUUACCUGUGGAGCUGAAAUAUACAUAUCUUGAAGCAAAUAAUCAAUGUCCUGUUGUGAUAUCCUCAUCUCUGACCAGUCAUCAAGAGAAUUGUUUAAUGGAAGUUCUCAUGAGGUGUAAGAAGGCAAUAGGAUGGCAAAUAUCUGACUUGAAAGGCAUUAGUCCUUUAGUUUGUACUCAUCAUAUAUAUAUGGAGGAGGAAGCAAAGCCAAUUCGUCAAUUUCAAAGAAGGUUGAAUCCUCAUCUACAAGAGGUGGUGCGAGCUGAGGUGCUGAAGCUACUUCAAGCAGGAAUCAUUUACCCUAUUUCUGAUAGCCCUUGGGUGAGUCCUACUCAAGUGGUACCAAAGAAGUCAGGGAUCACAGUGAUUCAAAAUGAAAAAGGGGAAGAAAUUACUACACGCCUCACUUCAGGUUGGAGGGUGUGUAUUGAUUAUAGAAAGCUGAAUGCUGUCACCAGGAAGGAUCAUUUUCCAUUGCCAUUUAUUGAUCAAGUGCUGGAGAGAGUCUCUGGACAUCCAUUUUAUUGUUUCUUGGAUGGGUAUUCAGGCUAUUUUCAAAUUGAAAUUGAUUUGGCAGAUCAGGAAAAGACCACUUUUACAUGUCCAUUUGGAACAUUUGCUUAUAGAAGAAUGCCUUUUGGUUUAUGCAAUGCACCUGCUACAUUUCAAAGAUGUAUGUUGAGUAUUUUCAGUGAUAUGGUGGAGAGAAUUAUGGAGGUUUUCAUGGAUGACAUCACCGUAUAUGGAGGUACAUUUGAGGAGUGCUUGGUUAAUUUGGAAGCAGUUCUUCAUAGAUGCAUUGAAAAAGAUUUGGUGCUGAACUGGGAGAAAUGCCAUUUUAUGGUACGUCAAGGAAUUGUCCUUGGCCAUAUCAUCUCUGAAAGAGGCAUUGAAGUUGAUAAAGCAAAGGUGGAGCUUAUUGCCAAAUUACCAUCUCCAACAACUGUGAAAGGAGUAAGACAGUUCCUUGGCCAUGCAGGGUUCUAUAGGAGGUUUAUAAAAGGUUUUUCAAGUCUUUCAAAACCUCUUUGUGAGCUGUUAGCUAAGGAUGCUAAGUUUAUAUGGGAUGAAAGGUGUCAGCAUAGCUUUGAUCAACUGAAGAAGUUUUUAACAACAACUCCAAUAGUGAGAGCCCCUAACUGGCAAUUACCUUUUGAACUGAUGUGUGAUGCCAGUGACUUUGCUAUAGGAGCUGUGCUUGGCCAAAGAGAAGAUGGGAAGCCCUAUGUGAUUUACUAUGCAAGUAAAACACUAAAUGAAGCUCAGAGGAACUACACAACUACAGAGAAAGAAUUGUUAGCUGUGGUAUUUGCUUUGGACAAAUUUCGAGCUUAUUUAGUGGGGUCUUUCAUCAUUGUCUUCACUGACCAUUCAGCCUUGAAGUAUUUAUUGACAAAGCAAGAUGCAAAAGCAAGGUUGAUUAGAUGGAUUCUAUUGUUACAAGAGUUCGAUCUUCAAAUCAAAGAUAAGAAAGGAGUGGAGAAUGUAGUAGCUGACCACUUGUCAAGGUUAGUUAUAGCACAUAAUUCCCAUCCCUUGCCUAUCAAUGAUGAUUUUCCUGAAGAAUCACUCAUGUUCCUAGUGAAAACUCCUUGGUAUGCUCAUAUUGCUAAUUAUUUAGUAACUGGGGAAAUUCCAAGUGAGUGGAAUGCACAGGACAGGAAGCACUUCUUUGCCAAAAUUCAUGCUUAUUAUUGGGAAGAGCCCUUUCUCUUUAAGUAUUGUGCAGAUCAGAUUAUUAGGAAGUGUGUCCCUGAAGAUGAGCAGCAAGGGAUUCUAUCUCAGUGUCAUGAGAAUGCAUGUGGAGGCCACUUUGCCUCUCAGAAAACAGCCAUGAAGGUAUUACAAUCAGGGUUUACUUGGCCAUCUCUUUUCAAAGAUGCCCACAUCAUGUGUAGAAAUUGUGAUAGAUGCCAAAGGCUUGGAAAGCUAACAAAAAGAAAUCAAAUGCCUAUGAACCCCAUUCUGAUAGUUGAGAUAUUUGAUGUUUAGGGCAUUGACUUCAUGGGACCUUUCCCAAUGUCUUUUGGUAAUUCUUACAUUUUGGUGGGGGUAAAUUAUGUUUCUAAAUGGGUUGAGGCAAUCCCCUGUAAGCAAAAUGAUCACAGGGUGGUUCUCAAGUUUCUUAAAGAGAACAUUUUCUCAAGAUUUGGGGUGCCCAAGGCCAUAAUCAGUGAUGGAGGAGCUCAUUUUUGCAACAAACCUUUUGAAGCUCUGUUAUCCAAGUAUGGAGUGAAGCAUAAGGUAGCCACACCUUAUCAUCCUCAGACAUCCGGGCAAGUUGAGCUAGCUAACAGGGAAAUAAAGAACAUUUUGAUGAAAGUGGUGAAUUCCAACAGAAAAGAUUGGUCUAUUAGGCUUCAUGAUUCAUUGUGGGCAUAUAGAACAGCUUAUAAAACUAUUCUUGGGAUGUCUCCCUAUCGUCUUGUCUAUGGCAAAGCAUGCCAUCUCCCUGUGGAAGUUGAAUACAAAGCUUGGUGGGCAAUAAAGAAGCUGAAUAUGGACUUGAUCAAGGCCGGAGAAAAGAGAUUUCUAGACCUUAAUGAGAUGGAGGAAUUAAGAAAUAAUGCUUAUAUCAAUUCCAAAGUUGCAAAACAGAGGAUGAAGAAGUGGCAUGAUCAACUCAUCUCCAACAAGGAAUUUCAGGAAGGGCAAAAAGUUUUGAUGUAUGACACAAGACUCCAUAUCUUUCCUGGGAAGCUCAAAUCAAGGUGGAUUGGUCCAUUUGUUAUUCACCGAGUAUAUUCCAAUGGAGUGGUGGACUUAUUGAAUUCCAAUGGCAAGGAUAGCUUUAAAGUCAAUGGAUAUCGUCUCAAGCCGUUCAUGGAGUCAUUCAAAUCAGAAAAGGAGGCAAUCAACCUCCUUGAACCUCAAAAAGCCUAAGUGAAAAGGGUUUGCUGGACGUGGCUUUACCACAGUCCAAAAUUUUUGUAAAUUUUGUAAAUUUUCAAGUUGUUUCUAUACUUUUGAUUUUAGUUUUUGAUCUUAAAUCAUGUUUUUAGGUGUGUUUUAAUCGUUUUAAAUGAUCCCAGGUGGAAGAAAUUUCAAGGGGAUUGAAAGAAAAAAAAUCGGGUCGAAAUUGGAGCCGAAACAGAGCAAAAACAGGGGAAAAACAGAGCUCUGCGAAAUUUCGCAGGGUGAAGGAAACCUCUGCGAAAUGAGCAUUUUGUUGCGAAACCAUUCCGCAGCACUGUAGAAGCCUCUGCGAGUGUAUUUCGCAGCUGCGAAAGUGAAUUUGGCACACGAGUGCCACUUCGCAGUACAGUAGCAUCCAUUUGGCAGCUGCGAAACUCAUUGCGAAAUGGAAAAGCGUGAUUUCGCACCAAAAGUCCCAUUCCGCAGGGUAUUUCGCAAUUGCGAAAGUGGUUUUGGCACACGAGUGCCACUCCGCAGCACAGUAACAUCAAUUUCGCAGCUGCGAAACUCACUGCGAAGUUGCUGCGAAAAUGGCAAGUUGCUGCGAAAUUGGCGUUUAGUUGCGAAACUUAAACUGACCCCUGAGCUUCCGUUUUUCCUAUUUAUACCGGUCAAAAGUGCUGCGAAAAGGGUUUCAAAAAUCAGAGCACCAUUCUCGCAGCCCCUUCAUCUUCUUCGCCAAGCCACGCCGUCCGAACCUCCGGUCGUCUUCUCCGUUUAGCAGCGCCGGCCAAAGAUCGAUAUUCCAAAAUGGCACGAACGCGAGGGGCAAAAUCUUCAUCCCCUUCGAAUCGCAAAAGGAGUCUGCGAAAGGAGCCAAGUCCAGGUUCUGCUCCAGAACCUGCUCCAAAGCCUUCGCCGUCGAGACCACAACCUUCUCCAGUGAAGCCGGCGCCACUAAAGCCGCCGGCAAGACGAUAUUUGACAAGGUCAGGCGGUUGGCCAUUGAAGAAGAAGCCCAGGGUUGAGAGCUCUGAACCAAUUGAUUUGACUGAGCAAUCCCCUGAGCAGUCCCCAAAUCCUUCACCAGUUCAAACUCCAGUGCCGUCACCGGUUCCCUCGCCAAUUCCCUCACCUGAAGCAACUCCAAUUCCAUCGUCGGUACCAUCUCCGGCACCCCAAGAAAAAGCUCAGGAGCCUCAAGCGCCAAUUCCAGAGCCCCAAAUUGCAGCUGAAGCACCUCUGGAAGAAGUGAUCCGAAGGCCAAUGCUGCCCCAGCCCCCAAUCGAAGGAAACUUGGAUUGUCGAACACGGGCAUUCCAUUCUGAGCUUUGCUUCGAUUUAACAGCAUUCAGAGUGAGGCCAGAGCUUGCCCAAUCCUUCCAGCUGCUGAGGAGAUAUCAUAUGGAGCAUCUGCUAGCUCCAAGGGAUUUUUUCUAUCCCCGGGUAGUCACGGACUUCUACCAGACCAUGACAACCAAAGAAGUAAGAAAUCCAACUCUGAUCCAUUUCAUAAUUGAUGGAAGGCAUGGUAUUUUGGGAGCAAGACACAUUGCUGAAGCUCUGCAAAUUCCUUUUGAGCCAACCCAAUUCGACAAUUUUAAAGCUUGGGUAAAUCCUACUGAGUUAGAGAUGGUUCGCACACUAACCAGAGGAGCUGCAAAUCGAUCACACCUGUUGAGGGGGGAGCUACCUCCAGUGAUGUUUUUGAUUGAUGCCUUUUUGAGGCAUAAUAUCUAUCCCCUGCAGCAUUGGACCCAAAGAAGGGGAAUUCUCCUGGAAGCUUUGUACAAGAUGUCAGAAGGAUUCUUCUUUGGGCCCCAUCAUCUUAUCAUGGCAGCCCUUCUAUACUUUGAGGAAAAGGUUCACAAGAAGAAACUUCAAAGAGCAGAUUGCAUUCCACUCCUCUUCCCAAGGCUGCUAUGCCAAGUUUUGGAGCAUCUCGGAUACCCCUCUGAGCCUCAGCAGGAAAGAAAGAGAAUAUGCCGUGAGCCAUUUACUCUUGAUAAAUGGAAUAAUAUGACGGCCUACAAAAUUGAUCAGCCUGGGCAGCCUCAGCCAGCAGCAAGGAGAGCCUCCCCAAGACAUGCACCUGAAGGUAUAACACUUGCUACUCCUGCCAUCCCUCGAGCUUCACCAGCUGCACCUGCUGCAUCACAGCCAUCCACAUCAGCUGAGCCGAGGAUGGCCAUCCCUAUAUCCGAAUAUCGAGAGCUGUGCCGAGCAUUGGAGACUCUUACAGCUUCCCAGAGCAAUCUUGCUCAAGAGUUGGCAGCCAUCAAAGCAUGCCAGGAGCAGAUGUUAGCCUCUCAGGCUCAACAAGCUGCCAUCCUAAGGCAGCUUCAAGUCCAUUUCGAUCUGCCACAAGCUGUAGAGCCCUCCACUGAGACUCCACCAGAGCCACACUCUCAGCCUUCAGAGUCUCUUCCUCCAGAGCCAGAAGCCCCAACUGAUCCACCUACAGAGGAGGCGGAUCCUUCUGCUUAGCACCAUCACCCCACUCAUCAGACAUUAUAUAUAUUUGCUGUUUAUGUUUUUAUGCAUGUUUGUUUUGUUUUAGUUGAAAUGAAAUCCCAGUAUUUUGGUACUAUAUAUGGGAUUCCUUGUGAUUACUUGUCCUUAGCAUUGUACUCGAAUGAAUUGAAAGUAAUACAAGUUGAAUUUUUCUUGUUAAAAGUUAGCAUUAAAAUUCUCCUUAUUUCCUUUUCUCACAUAUUCUAUUCUUUUUGAAACAUGUGGUUUUCCCCAAUCAAUAUUCGAAUUUGAUAUCAGCAUGGAGGUACCACUUCCUCCCUUUUAUUACAGUCACUCAAAUCACAUUGAGGACAAUGCUCAGUUCGGUUGGGGGGUAUGAGGAAGGAAGUAUUCUAAAUCUUUUUGGUAUUGCAAUUAUAUUGGUUAAUUAGUUGUAGAUUUUACGUUUUACUCUUGUUACUCUAUUCUCCAUGAAUUUUGAGGAAAAAUUUUCAAAUUAAACCAAGAGAAAUUGAACUGUUGUUUUUCACUUGACUUAGAGUAUGGAUUAUGCUUACUAAAGUGGUUCAAUUGUUGAAACUUCUACUGAAAUUGAAUUGAGUUCUUCCAUUUUAAGCUAUCCACACACUGUGCACAUUAGUUUCUGAUUAUAAGAUGAAAAGCUAUUUCCCUCUUGACUUAGGAUAAUUUUGGGACUUGGUAUAUUUGACCUCAUUUGAUAAAAAUUGAAACACCCUGCAAAAGGCCAAUGAGCCUUUGAAAUAAAGAAAGAUGUUUGCUUGCCUUGAAACCCGAGCAAGGUCUGAGGGGCAUAUGGUGAAAGCCUUUAAAGCCUGGUGCCCUAAGCCUUAAUUGGUUGGGAGUCACCGACCUCAAUGCUCGUUACAAGGGUGAAUAGGUAGAGCUAGCAUAUGGUAGAUGCUUGGGUAUUAGAAAUUCAUUCUUAAAAGUCCAGGGAAAAAUCCGAGGAGUUAGUGGUUGAAAGAUCCUUAAAACUUGGUGCCCUAAACCUUAAUUGGUUGGGAGUCAUCGAUGGACCCCCAUUACAUGGACAAGUCAGAAAGAGUACCCCAUAAAGCUACUUUAAAAAAAAAAAAAAAAAAAAAAAAAAGAUGAUGAAAGUGUGUUCUUUUCUUAUUGAUUUUGGUCAGAUUGCUAAAGUGUUGAAAAGAGAUAGGUUGGGGGGGGAGACUAGUUUAGCAUAUUAUUCUCGGAAUCUAAGGAACCAAUACACAUAGAUUUUUGUGGAAGAUUGAAGUUUAGUUCUUAGAAAGUGAAAUGAUUUUAAAACUUCAGUUUGCAUAAUGCACUCCCUUGAUUGACAGUGUUUAGCAUAGGUGUUAUGACUCUUGUUGAGAUUUGGGUUUGUAUUUCUUUAAUGAUUCAUGUGAGAAGUAAAUCAUCAUGCCACUUAAGAAUUAUUUUCCUUUCAGCAUGAUGUUGUAAAUUUUAGAUUAGUUUGCUAUUUAUUUUUAUUUUUCUCUCCUUUAUUGCUAAGGGACUAGCAAUAUGUCGGUUGGGGGGAGUGAUUACUACUCAAAAAGUGCUAUUUGAUAGCCUUUAAUUAAUCCUUUUUAACACUUUUGAGUAGUAGUUUAGGCCUUUUAACUCAAUUGGCAUGUUAAGGAUCCUUUAAAGCAAUUUUGAUCACUUUGUGCAAGUUUUGGUGUUUUUGUUAGUAUUUCGAUCACCAAAGCAAGUCAAGAAUGAGGAGAGCUAUGAGGAAUCUUGGGCAAAGCUUAGAAUUCAAUUGCCAAGAGUGAAUCCGGAUUGCAAGGAGAAAAAGCAAAGAGGAUCAGUCAUGGAGCAUAUUCUUGAUGACAGUCGUAGCAGCCACUUUUGGAGCACUUUCUGAAGUCCAAAUGAUGCAAGCUAUAUACCAUUUCAAAGCUCAGGAAGUCAACAAUCCAAUGCUUCAAACGGUGUGCGAUUCGGAAUUGAAACGAAGAAGUUGCAGCCAUUACAAGCCAGACACUCUAAAGUGUUGCGGAAUCAGCCAUGUGUUGCGAGAAUUUCGCAGCACUUUUGUACAGUAAGGUGUUUCUCCUUCUAACGAUGCACGAACCAUGCCGCGAGAAGGGAGCUGGAAACUUCAAGAUGGAAGCCAACUUGGCAGCCUAGUGAAGAUAGCUCGGUCUUGCAAGAUAAUUUCGCAGCCCUCUUGGGUGUCUGCGAAAUUUCGCAGGCCUCAUUUUUCACCUGCGAAAUGGCUCCUGAAGCCUCCCGAAGCUUGCUACCGACAUUGGGAGAUAUUUUCCAUUAGAUUUUUGUUGUCUAAAUCCCAAAAUACUCCUUGUAAACCACCAAUUACAUGAUUCCUUAGUUUUUAAGUUAGUAAAAAGACCAAAUAUCUUUGUAACAAUUAGUUUUAUAUUUUGUUGUUAUAAAUACCUCUCGGGAGCCUGUUCUCAGGGAGGAGUUCCUUCUGUAAACGUUUGGUAAGCAAGUAAAGUCUAUUUUCUUUCUACUGCCUUACCUUCUCACUUUGUAUUUUCAUUUUAUUUCUAAGUUAUGAAUUCUCUGAGGAGUUUUCCCCAAAGAAUGAGUAACUAAACCUCCAAUUCCUUGGAGCUAAGGUUGCCGGGGAAGGUUCCAAGUGCAAGAAUGCAAAGCUCUGUGGUUUUAGCUAGUAAUGAAGAGGAAGUGAAAUCCUUUAGUGAUUUCAAUGUUUUUAGUUAACUUAAAACACUUUGGAGUCACCUGGGCCAACACUUGGUAAGGCAAGUGAUUUCCAACCAUGGAAAUGCACUAGUUUACCCCUUGCGAGCCUCUGGUAGGUGACUUCAAGGUAGGAUUUUCUGGAAUUACCAACACUUGGUAAGCUUUUGGACUCCUAGGAGACAUCCAUUAGUUAUCUCUUGCGAGUUUGUGAAGGGAAUCCAAGGUUAAAGAUCACCUUGAAUGGUAAGUGCUCGUGAGAGGCAUGAACCAUUGCAAGUUGUAUCAGUGAGAGAAUUAAAGUGAAAUCUAAUUGAAGGAGUCUUUGUACAUCACCGGUUAGAGAAUUGACUAUAAGUUGAAUCUCUAAUGCGAGGAAAUGAACCAACUGACCAGAGCCGUGUCUUUUGCAUGAGGAACCACCCCAGUGAACCUAAAUCUCCAAGGAAUGUUUUUUUCUUCCUAAAUUAUUCCAAACUUCUGUUAAGUUAGUUAGUUUAAAUCUCAACCUUUACAAAUCAAAGUUUGUGUUUUAUUCCUUAAGCUAACCGUGAAAUGAAACAAGACCAAUUCACUUGGAAUUGGUAUCAUUGAUUGCCUGCAAAUCAUUCCCAAUGAACGAUCCUAGAGCCACUAUACUAUAGUAGCUUUGUAUUUACUACCCUAGUGUAUGGUGUUAUAGGUAUAAAUUUUGUUGAUCACUUCCUCAAUCAAGGAGCACCAGCUGAACACAAAUCAGCUGAGACACCAAUUAGGCAUGAGUCAGUCAUCUCCAUUAUUGUUUUAUUUUUUCUUUCCACCACCCCAUUUUGUUGUGGGGUGUAUGGUGCAAUGAGCUGGUGAUCUAUGCCUGCAUCUUCACAAAAUUUGUUGAAUUUUUCUGAAGUAUAUUCUGUACCAUUAUUCGACCUUAUAACCUUGAUUCUGUAUUCACUUUGAUUUUCAACCAUGGCCUUAUAUCUCAAAAACACAUCAGCAACCUCAGCUUUGUAAGUGAGAAAAUAAAUCCAACAAAAUCUUGUGAAGUCAUCAAUAAAUGCAAUAUAGUACUUACUCCCUUUCAAAGAUGGUGUCUUUUGAGGUCCACUCACAUCUGUGUGAACCAAUUGUAGUUUCUGUGUUGAUUUCCAUGCUGCUUUUUGAGGAAAAGGAAGUCUUGUUUGCUUCCCAUAUUGAUAGGCUGCACAUAUAGGAAGUUCUUCUUCCAAAUCAGGGAGUCCUUCUACAAUCUAAUUCUUCUUCAUGUAGAGCACGGUAUUGUGGUGGAAAUGCCCUAAUCUUUUAUGCCAAAGCAUUGUAUUGUUCUCGUGUUGUGCAGCAGUAAUUUGCUCAUCUUCUAACAUAUUUAAGGCAAAACUUUUGCCUUUCAUUUUUAUGUUGAACACCUCUUUGCCUUCAGCAUCCUUGAUUAUGCAAUUUUUGUCUUCAAAACAAACUUUAAACCCUUUCUCAACAAGCUGUCCAACACUUAGCAAAUUUUGGUCAAUGUCAGGCACAAACAAAACAUCAGAAAUGAGCUUUAAACCUGUUAGGCUUUCAAUAGCUAAUGUUCUUUUACCUUUUACUGGAAUAUACUCACCAUUUCCUAUUCUAACUUUGGAAAUAGUUGUCCUAUCAAUCUCCCUAAAGCGAUCUUGAUCAUGUCAUGUGGUUUGUGCAACCACUGUCCACGAGCCAGCUUUCAGAGGUGCUACCGUUUGCAAAACAUGUUGCUGAAAAUAGUUGUUCCUCCUGGUAUUGUUCAGCUGCUACAUUGGUUUCUCCCUGCUGCUGCUGAGUUCUACAGAUCCUUUCUAUGUGUCCAUGUCUACCACAUUUGUUGCAUUUCACAUCUGGUCUCCACCAACAUUUUUGUUGAGGAUGAUUUGUUUUCUUGCAAUGAGGACAGGGUGGAUAGGUUCCAGUUUUUUUAUUGUUGUUGUUGCUUGGCUUAUUGUUGUUCUUUUUGUUCUUCCUCCUUCUUGUGUUACCUUCAUUGGUCUGUGUCUUUGCUUGAAAAGCUCCUUCUACAGAACUUCCUUGCCUCAUGAGUCUUCUUUGUUCCAAAGCUUGUAAAGCAUUUAGUAGUUCUGCCAAGGUGAUACUUGACAAAUCUUUUGUGUUUUCCAAAGAAGAAAUUGUAGCUUCAUAUUUUUCAGGAAUUGUGACAAAAUUGUUUUGAACAACUCUUUCAUCAGAAAACUCUUUACCUAGCAACCUCACCUUGUUUGCUAUGGUAAGAAGUUGUUCUGCAUAAUCUUUUAUGGUUUGAGACUCUUUCAUCCUCACCAUUUCAAAUUCUCGAAUUAGAUUCAUUACCUGCACAUUUCUGACUCUUUCAUUGCCUUGAUAUUCUUCCCGUAGAUGCUUCCAGAUUUCUGCAACAGAUUCAAGUUGCAUGAUUCUGGUGAGAAUUAAUGGUGAGACUACAGAAAAUAAGCAAGCCUUGGCCUUAGCCUUCCUCGUCUUUUUCUCCUUAUGGUUUUUCAUCUGUGACACAGUUGGAUUGGCUCCAAGUGGAGAAAUUUCAUAAUCUUCCUCUAUUGCUUCCCAGACAUCAAGAGCCUGUAGAUGAACAGUCAUCCUGACAGCCUAAGUUUGGUAAUUUUCUCCAUUGAAGACUAGUGGUGCUGCUGUGAAGCUUGCUUCUUCCAUUUCUGCAAGGUUUUCAGAUUCAGGUUUGGUAUACGGUGUUUAGGCUCACACACCUCACUGGUCCCUCAAGACAAAAAUUGCUCUGAUACCAAACUGUUGGAAGCAGGCGAGGUUAACACACCAAGCAACAGAGAACAGAGAUAUGCUGCUACUGAUCUAUAUUUUUUAUUUGAUCAUAAGGCUGAAUUUAUACAGAUUGUGUAACAUAUAUGACCUCAAAAAAAGCAUCAAAUCAAGCUACUUGUUGAACAAAAAACUACCUCCUACAAAAUAGCAUCAGAAUUUAACUUAAAAGCAAAAACAUAAUAAUAGCAACAGCAAAAACAGAAACAUAAAAAUAGCUUCAACAUUCUAGUAAUCUCAUUGACUUCAAUUGCAUGUGGUUGACGAUUUCAGCCUUUUCCUCAGCAGCUACUAAGGCAUAACUCUCAACAGGGCCUCUUAAUUUCCAUUCUGGCAUCUAUAUGACCUGAUAAAUAGAAAGAAAAAAAAACAGAAGAAAAGCGGCACCUGGGUUCAUAGUAAGCAUCAAGACAGGAUGCUGAAAGAAGGGAGAGAGGAGAUUGCAAGUCCAAUCCUGAUAAAAUAUCAACAAAGAGUAUUAAAUGGGGCCAACAUAAAGACCCAUUAAGGUCAGCAGAUGGCAUGGCAUUUUUCUCCUUAAGUUUUCCAUGAUUAGGCUUGAAGUCAAAAUUUCACAUGUAAAUUUGUAUUUCUACAUUUCCCACUGACGACACCCAACUUCAACUUGAGUUAGAAUAACAUUGUGUGAACUUAUCUGGCCCUCAAAAUUUACUGUGAAGUGCUUUCUGCGUGUGAAGAUUCAGAAAAGCACCAAGGGAACAUGUAUGGUCUGCCUUUUUCUGAUGUUAUGUUUGUCUCUAAUUCUGUUCCAUGUCAUGGUAAAUGUUCACAUUGCUUGUAUGGAACACACCAGGAUCACUUUUUCAGGUUUAGGGGGAUACAAAAGGCUUCAUAUUGGGUUCAAUGCUUUUAAUGUGUUCAUUGGACAAAUCUGAAUUAUCAUACGCAUUUAGAUAAGAACAAUAAUGUGAAACCCUAGUUACACCUCCCCUGCAUAACCCCAACCCUGCUUGCUCUAUUUCAGUUUACUCACAAGUUUUACUGGUUCUUAUAAGUCAAGAAAAGGCAACUGAUGUUGGAUCGACUCUCUUCCAUGUAAAAAAUGCAACUUUUAUACAUAUAAAAGAACUUCUUCCCCUCACCAAUGUGGGAUUUCAUAGAUUUAUUCUGGAAACACAUCAAAGGAACAUCUUUUCUCUUGGGUGACCCUAAGUGGUGAGUCAGAUCAUUUGCAUGCCAUUGAGUUGCACAGUUGGAUAAAUGCACCUGCCUCCUGGGCUCCAGAGUUAAAAGGGUGGAUCCCUGGAUUGCAACCCUCUUGGCAUCUUGGUUUCUAUUCCAACAUCCACAUGACUUGACAAAACAAAAAACAGAAUAAAAUCAGCACUAUAUUCAUGCUAAGCACCAAUACAUGAUGGAAAUCAUUGCUUAAAGAUUUGGGGUCGUUUUAGGUUUUGACUGCCUCCUACCACCUCACCUAAUGACAAGUUUUUAUGCUUACAAAUCAAAUAUCGUUCUUCAUUAUAUUAAAAUCAUUUUAAGAUUUCAGAUCCAUCUGCUAAUUAUGAUUAUGAUAACAUUUAUUCACCUGUGCUUCUCAUUUUCGACACACAAGGCAUCUAGGUUUGCAGGAUUUCCUUAUUAGAUGAGAUAAAUGAGUACGUAUGGUUAUGUAUCCAGCAUUCAUUAACCAUGGUAUGUGACAUUUAGAAUUAAGAUAGCAAGCAAACUUUCCCUGCAGCUAGAGUAAAUUGUGAUUUCUUAGCCUCUAUGAGUGGUUCCCAAAUCAAAUUAACAUAGUGAAAUAUACGUAGUCCAGUGAAAGGAAAUGUAAAUUAUAAACUAACAGCACUACACUACUGGUAACAAUCGAUACUCUCUAUAUAAUGCAAUAAACAAUGUCACAAUUGCCUACAAGCAAGGCACAAACACUAGAACAAGUAAAGCACAAACCUUUCCCAACAGUUCCCAGUGACUGAUGCAUAUCAUACCCUCAACUCACAGAAGGGGAUGAUAUCAGUGCACUGCAGCACUUAUUUUACACAUACUACCACUACUACUACUACUACUACUACUCAUUAGCCAAAGUCACUCAGUUGGGAUGAGUGUGAGGUAGAGGUUUGUGGGGUGCUAUGUGGAAAGGAGUUUGGCUUCUUCUCAGGAGAUGGUAGCUUCUUUGCAGGAGUUGAAGGAGGCUUAAUCUUCUGUGGUGGAUUGAUUGUAUGAGUCUUUGGCACUCUCUUCUCUAGUACAGGUGAAUACCCAGGGGUGCAUCCAUAAUGCGGUGGCUUCUAUCCCUUAGGUGGUUUGCCAAAUUCAAAAUCGAAGGAUUUUUUUUUUUUAAGUAUACGUAUCUUUGAAAGCUUUUAUUUUGUAUGGCAAAUGGAAUGAGAGGAGCAGUCAUAUUCUAUUUGGCCAGAGCAACAUAUCACAAAUGAACAAGCUAUUUACUGCCACACUGGGCAAAACAUACAUAAUCCUUGUACUUCAAACAUCCAUGAAUUCUCAUCAUUUUCAGGACACGUUGCAUGGUCUAUCAUUCUAUAUGUCGGCAUAGUAAGUGCAGCUAAUAAGCCUAUUCAGAGCUGAAAUUCAAAAUCUAUUCACAGGAUAAUGACCUUAUUAUUGGAUUUUGCUCACUGUCAUACACACAUAUCAGAUAAAGCCCCACAUGCUCAUAAGCUACAAGCAACCUACAAGCACUAAAAUGAGUGUUAGACGUAUGAAACAUUCCCCAAUACUAGUAGUAUUACCUGUUCCAUAGAACACUAAAUUAGAAGAGAGAAGAUGUGAGACUCCAGCUUUUCUUUCUACAUAUUACUCAUAUCAAGUUGGAAUAGUUAGGCGGUAGAGGCUUGGGGUGGCUUGUGUAGGGGACUAGGCAGCUUCUCUCAGGAGUUGAUUUCGUCUUAUUCUGGAUGUCCAGGUUUCGUCCUUUCGAAUUUCCCAUGCAAAUCAGCAUUCUCCUUGGGAAACUUCACUCCGUUGGGAAACUUGUGUGAAUCUUUGGCAUUCUCUACCAGAGAAGGCCCAGGGCAGUGACCAUAAGGUGGUGGCCUUUUUUCAGGUGGUGGCUCCUCUCCCACUGGAGGCUUGUGGUAAUCAGCAAGAGAGGCAGUGGAGAGAAUCAUCACCCCAAGGAACAGCACUAGCAAGUAUUUGUGAGCCAUAUUUGGGAUCUGAUGAUGAAGACUAGAAGAUAGGAGUUGCCUCAUAUAAUGGGUUGGAGACUAUAUCUCAAGGGGACGUGUAUUUAUGCAUAUGAUCUAUAUAGGACCAUCCUCCUAAUAUUUUCAAAAUAAUGUUAUUGUCUCUCUUGGGUGACAGUUUGAUUUGGUCUAUUUCCAUGCCACUGAGUAGAAAAGUUUGACAAUUGGCUACACCACCUACCUGGAUUACAUGGUUGAAAGUGAAGAUCAGUACAGUGUGAUCACACUUGACCUCUUGUUCCCCAUUCCAGUAUCUAAUUAACCUGACAAAAGUAAAAGGAAAGGAAAAAGGGAAAAAAUAGAAUAAUGUUCAAAUAAAAACGAGAAAAAAUAGCAUAAUGUUGAUGAAUCAUGAUAAGCAUCAAGGCAUGAUAGUGAGAGAGAGGAAAGAAGACAGUGUAAUUUGCAAUCCUGAUAAUCAUUAUAUAGCAGUAACUUUAAUCAUUUUUCUAUCACAGGGAACAUGACACUCAUCUUCCUAUGGAGAUAUUGCAUAAGUUUUUUUCUUUGUAUGUCAACACUAACCAAUGAAGCAUGUUAGCUGGUUUGAAACUGAAACUGUAGCCCUCUGUUUGGUUCUUGAAAAACUUGAGAGAAAAUGGAAGUAAAGUUAAAAGGAAAGAAAAAGUGAAAAAAAAUAAAAAUAGAUUGAAAGUUAACAAAUUAUUUUUACAUGUUCCCUCAAAUUUCUUUCACUUAUUUUUCCUUUUCUAUAUAAAGAUUAAAUGAUUUAAAAAUCAUAAAUUUCUAACUAAUUAUAACUAUAUUUGAUUUUCUUUCAUAUUUUCCAAGAUAAAGUCAGACAUGAGAAAAUCAUUUUCCUUAAAAAAGAAAUUCUUUCCUUUACAGUUUCUUAGAACCAAACCUGGCACAAAAGUCCAAAUUGGGGUUUCUCCAUGUUCCAUUUUUUAUGGCUACCUUUAUGGACCAUAUAAUAUAGAAUGUACUUCUGCAUACCUUCAAGAUCAAGCUGAACUAUAAGAAAAAGACAAGCCAUGGCCCACGGAGCAGGGAUACCAAGCUGCCUUCUCCUAGAUUAAGUUCCAAGAUUUCAGUCUUCAAACCUGCUAAAAGCUAAAGGCAUGUUUCCAGCCUGCGGCAGAUAACAUGCACUGUCCAACAAUAAAUUGCAAACACAUUCGAUGCAGUUUAUUAGUACAAUAAGAUUAAAUCCACCAAAUCUUUUACAGUUCAACCAACACUUGAACUAGUAGCUAGCUUCACUACUGGGUAAUAAUAUAUAAACCAAACUCUUGAUAGGAACCAACCUAUCGCAGAUCGAACUUCUUACAUCCACCAUGAAUUACUGAACCAAAAGAAGAAUCGAAGAGACUGCCAAGGAGGAAAGCCUUCCUAUAACUAGAUAUUUAUAUUCCAAAUUAGGGAGAGCACCCACUGCCCAGGCCUCGCCCAGCAUAAACAGAUAGUAUACAUAUACAUGCAAAAAGCUCCAACCUUCAAGAUUUUAACUAUUAACUUAACACAAUUAAAAAUGUAUCCAAAAAGCAAAUCCCCUUGAACUCCUGAAGCAAUUACUCCAACCAAAUAAAGAUUUUAAGAGUUCCAUGUUCAUAUCCUGCAAGGAAAUCAUUCAAUGUUCAGACCUCUAAUUUCUGUCUUUCUAAAUGCCCAGCCAAAAGGCAUAAAGUAUCAUCCAAAUUGGAUGCACAGCAUAUGUUCUUAAAUCAUGGGAUUUCACCAUAAGUUACUACACUCUAACAGGGCCCAGAAAUUGACCUCCAGAUAUGCCUAUCAAAAAAUUAUCCCCACAUACAUUUUUCUGCUGAAAAGACAAUAUUGUUACAUUUGACAUUCAACCACUACUUGAACUCAACAACCAGGGAAAAGAAUAUAGUAUUUCUACCAAUGAGGAUGAGAGGGGCUGGUGAAUUAACAGGUAAAAGUUUGUUUUGGGUUCAUUGUUUGCAUAAUAAUGUAAAAAUGGAGUAGUAUAUUAUAAAUUAAUGUAAAAAUGGAUUAGCAUAACAUAAAUUGCCAUAAGAGAACCACAAACUACAAAGAAACUUAUUUUCCAAACAAGGAAAAUUAUUCAUAGCCAUUAUUACAUAAGAAAGGAAAUUGAUAAAAUUAUUAUCCAGUUCCCCAUCAGGAAAUAUGAAAGUACUCCUAAAAGCCUCAAUUCUAACCAGAAAACCAUAGAAAUGUAUUAGAAAUAUUGUACAGGGUUCUCUCCAAUAUUAGCUUCAGUUGCUAAGGAGAUCAGAACCUUGAAAGUAAGUCACAAAGGUCGUGUGGGUUUCCCAGAGUCUUCAACAACCAGUAUUCACAUAUGUACACAUUAAAAUUAAAUAAAGCAGGUAUCAAUUCCACAGGCUUUAAGAUUUGAAUUGCUUCUCCCUGGAAUCAUACACCACUCAUAUUGUCACUGACUUUCAAUUACUUCUCCCUGCGAUCAUAUGCCACUCAUAUUGUCACUGCCUUAGGGAACAAAGUGAAAAUCUGCAAUUUCAAUUAAUUCCAACAUAAAAAUAAAAAUCAAUCCUCAAAAAAUGGAUUGCCAGGAGGUAAAUAUAAUAGAAGACGAACAACUCUCACAACCAAGUUAAAGAAACCAGCCGCUAGGUACCUUUGAGUUCUAUACUACCAGGAACAAAUUGGAUGAGAUUAUUUAAAGGCUAUUCCACAGUGGAAAUUCAUUCGUUCAAAAAACAUUUGUCAUGCAUAUAGGCAAUCUAUCCUAUGCAUUCAUACAUCAUGGUCUCAUGCAAUCUUAAUAAAAGUGGUCCUGGAAAAAGAGAGAAAAAAGUAAUUACAAGCCUGUGCGACCAGAUUUCUUUUGUUUUUUUUUUUUUUUUCCUUUGCCAAACAACCAUGUUCAUAGUUUCAGAAGUUCAUUCUGUCUUUAAGAGACCAUGGCAGUGACUUGGCCAUUCAGCUAAGANNNNNNNNNNNNNNNNNNNNNNNNNNNNNNNNNNNNNNNNNNNNNNNNNNNNNNNNNNNNNNNNNNNNNNNNNNNNNNNNNNNNNNNNNNNNNNNNNNNNUCACCAAGGACUCCUCAACCUCAAAAUAAUAGAGAAAGUCUAGGACACCAUGUCACUACUGAGGACAACCCAACACCACAACAUUUCAGUCCGUUCAAAAAGAGUAAUUGGAAUUGUUGCAAAAAAUGUUCAACUAGUCCCAACAGGAGGCAAAUUCCUCCAUUUCUUCAUCGGGUCCGGAUCCUUUGCUCAAAAAGGUAAUUUUCUUACUGCCCUAAAAGAAAAAGGGAAAAUGUGAGUCAUUGGAUUGUUGACUCAGGAGCUUUUGAUCACAUGACUAGAGUGCCACAAUUUUUCAAAAUUAUACACCUUGUUUUGGGGAUGAUACAAUUCGUAUGGCUGAUGGUUCUCUCUCAAAGGUGACUGGUACAAGUUUUAUUGUCAUCUCUAAGGACCUAACUCUUGACUCUAUUCUUUUGGUUCCAAACUUGGAUUGCAAUCUAUUGUCCAUUAGUAAACUCACUUAUGAAAAGAACUAUGUUACUAAAUUUUUCCCAAACCAUUGUGUUUUUUAGAAUUUGAAUUCGGGGAAGACGAUUGGCAAUGUUGAAGUGUGUUUAGGACUCUAUGCCUUCAAAGUGAAUUAUUAUAUUGAAAGACAAUCUUAACCAACAGUUGGUGAAAAAUGGUGUCUUUUUGUCUUUAGUUCUAAUAAAGAUAGUGAUGUUAUGUUAUAGCACUAUUGUCUAGGACAUCCUAGUUUCUUAUAUCUCAAAAAACUCUUUCCAUGGUUUUCAGUGUGAAAUUUGUCAACUAUCCAAGCAUCUUUGCAAGCCCUAUCCAUAGUUUUAAAAGACUUAAGGCACACCAAGACGCAAAGUCCUCUUGGAGCCUUAGGCGCAAGGCACACCUAAGGCGCGAACUUUAGUAAAGUGAGGUGCAUCCUGUUUUACAUAUAUAUUUUUAUAUAAUACAAUCAAGUGCCCGAAAAUUUUCCUCUAAUUUUCCCCUUCUUCUUCAUCCUCUUCUCUUCUUCACAUUGUUCGGGAGGCUAGGACAUUUUUUUUUUUUUACAUGUCUAAAACAAGCAUAUAUUGGGUUUUGGAAGAAGAACAAGCCAAAAUGACAUCGUUUUGGAGCCUAAUCUUUUAAAUAAAUAAAUAAAUAAAUAAAAACCAGCCAAAAAUGACACCGUUUUGGCCCCUGUUCUUUUAAAAGAACAAACCAAACAACGUCAUUUUGAUCUCAGGAAAUUAAAAAAACAAAACCCUCGUCAUUCUCCCUUUGCUACUCUACAACUCAUCGUCAAAGGGUAAAAAGAUGACCAAAAGAAGAAGAAGAAAAAAAAAAAACGACGACAGAGGAUAGAGGUGCACCUGUUGAGGGCGUUGCGCCUAGCCAAGAGGCGAGCGCCUUGCACACUUAAUCAACGCCUCUGUGAAGGGGCGGCUCCUGCAAUCAGGCGAAGCGCUGAAGGGUGAUGUCACAUCGUCUAGAGCCUAGGCGCACCUUUCACAACUAUGACCCUAUCCAACUCAACCAUACAAACCAUCUCAUCUUUUUUCCAUACAUAGUGAUGUUUGGAGGUCAUCUAAAAUAAAGAACAUAACAGGGACUAGAUGGUUGAUGAUCAUACUAGAAUUUCUUAGAUAUUUCUAAUGAAAAAAAAAUCAAAAAUUAGUCAAAUUUUCUAAAAGUGGACCAGAAUUUCUUUAUUGAAUUAAAAAGUUGAAAUUAAUAUUUUGGAAAAGUUAGGGCCGCUCAAGAGGUAGAAAUAGCGCUCGAGUGGUAGAAAUAGCGCUCGAGUGGUAGAAAUAGCCCUCAAGUGGUAGAAAUAGCGCUCAAGCGCUAGGACCGCUCAAGCACUUAACUAGCGCUUGAGCGCUCAUAUAGAAUCUGCCAGAAUAUGGAAGAAUAUUUUUUGGAUAAUCAUGAAAAUUGGAUUUGGAAACUUUAGAAUAUCAAUCUCCUUCGGCCUAGAGGUUUAUAUAAACCCUAUUAUAACCCUUUAGGGUUAAGAAAUUCACCAAGUGGUUUACCCUAACUUGUCAUACCAUUCCCGAUCUCUCAUCAAGGAAUCAAAGUGUUUAAUCUUGGGUUGUUUGAAGACCUGCAUCCCUUCAACAAGGCUAAGGUGUAUUCACUAGAACAAUUGAAAUUGUUGCAUUGCGGACAUGAAUCAAGUUGCAGGUUCUAGAGAGUAAGUCUUUAGAAUAAAGCAGACAAAGAGUUCUAUGUGACUUUAUCUCAUAUAGUGGAUUUAGCUUUGAGGUCUUAGACCUCGUGGGUUUUUAUCUCCAUAGUUAGUGUGGGGGUUUUCCACAUAAAAAUUAUUGUGUCUCUUGAUCUUAUGUUUGAUUUUAGAUAUUCUAUUUAUCCCUGAUAUCUCACAGGUUAACUUUAGGUUAAAAAUUCAACUCCCUAUUUAAUAAUUUUUAAAAUACACCCAUUCACGAGUGUUAUCCUACUGGACAUUGGUUUUUCACCAUAUAUAACACUCAUACCAAAACCCAUGCAACAUGGACUCCAACCUUAAGCUUAACUUUCUACGAAUGGAAAAAAAAAAAGACAUAACAUAAAUAGACAGAUUUAACAACAUGCUCCUAAUCAAGGUGAAUGUCCCUCUUUUUGAAAGAUAUGACCUUUUCCAUACGAGGAGCUUUCUUUAAAAUUUCACCUCUACCAAUUCCCAUGCCUUUACAAAGUUGUGGAAAGCUCCAAAGAGAAGGCCCAGACAUGUAAUGGGUAGAUUCCCUACCUUAGAACCUUACACCAAAGCUAAACCCCUAAUAUUUGUGACUUCUAUAAGAAUCAAUUCAUUUUUUUCCAUAUUUAUUUCUAAAUCAGACAUUGCCUCAAACCACAUGAAGUUAUAACUUGGAUGUUACAGAUGCUCUUAAUUAGUGUCACAAAAAAAUAGGGUAUCAUCAUCAAACAAGAAAUGUGACACUUCCAUCCCCUCCUCCUGUCUUCCUCCCACUUUGAAACUUGAGAUGUAACCCCUUUUAUCUAAUUCUCCUCAAAAUUCAAUUGAAAGCCUUCAUUGCCAAUAUGAAAAUGUAAGGGGAGAGAGGAUCUUUCUACCUCAAAUCCCUUGAGCUCUCAAAGAAACUGAAUAGGACACUAUUUACUAGAAUAGAGAAUUGAGUAGUGGAAAUGAACCAUUUGAUCCACCUCACCCACUUAUGAUCAAAGUCCAUUUUAUCCAACAUCAUUAACAAAAAGUUCCAAUUUACAUGGCCAUCGUCCUUUCCAAUGUCUAACUUGCAAAUUACCCCACUAUUGGGACUCUUUAACCUUGAAUCUAGAGCAUCAUUUAUGAUUAGAACUGCAUCUAGAAAUUGUCUGUCUUCCACAAAAGCAUGCAAAUAAACUAAAACUAUUUUACCCACCACAUUUUUUAGUCUUUUAGCCAAGACUUUUUCCAAUAGCUUGUACAAAAAAACCCCCAACUAAGCUAAUCAAUGUAAAAAAUUUUAGGUUCUCUGCUGCACCUAUAUUAGGGAUCAAGACCAAGAACAUGACAUUUAAAUUUUGCUCAAAGGAACAAUUAUCAAAAAACUCCCCAAGCUCAUUUGCCAAAAUAUUAUAAUAAAUCCAUUUGGCCCCUACAGCUUUAUCCCCACUCAAGCUAGACAAGGCAACAAGAAAUUCCUCAUCAAAGAAAGGUAACUCCAAUUUCCUAGAAUCAGCACAUAGCAUAACUUCAAAGGUCAUCCCAUUAAUGUUGAGUCUCCACUCGCCCAUAUCAGAUAGGAGAUUUUGGAAGGCCCUAAACUCCCCUUCCUUUAUAUUUGCUUCCCAAGCAACCAUUUUGCAUUCACUCAAAUUUUAAACAUGAAGUUUUUUAUUCUUUGGGCAUUGACCAUUUCAUGGAAAAUUUUGGUGUUUUUAUCCACCCCCUCUUUUAACCAAAUUUCUCUUUAUUUUUGCCCCCAUACAUAUAGAUUCUUCUAACAAGGCCCACUUGCUAAACUCAAUCACCACUAACCUUUGGCCUCAACGAUUUCAAGAGAUAAGGUAACUGCUCUCUACUUUGAGUCCCAGAAGUUGAUCCAGUUUAGCACCUCUAGGUUUUUUGUUGAGACAUUCCCAAAACCUUCUUCAUUCCAAGAUUUUAAAUCUCGUUUGACAGCCUUUAGUUUAACUUCCAAAAUAUGACCAUACAAGCCAUCCACAUUAUAACCAUCAACCAACUCCUCACAAAAUCUUUUAAGCCUUUUGUUUUAGGCUACAUAUUUUAAAAUGUAAACUGUGUUUUCCCACUCCUUAUCCUACCUCCAUCUAAAACUAUGGGGUAAUGACCAAAAAUUGGUUUAGGUAAAAUACUCUAGAUUAAAGUAGAAAAACGAUUCUACCAAUCAUCUGACACUAGGAAAUGGCCAAGCUAGCCUUGAAGAAGACAAAAGAUUAUGAACACCACUCCAAGUGAAUAGCCCUCCAACUAGCGAAAGAUCCCAAGGUCAAGUCCUCUAUGUCCUCUGAAAAGAACCUCAUAUCAAACAACAUUCUAAGGCAAUUCCUCCUUUUCAUGGGGAACUUGACCAUAUUAAAAUCCCCUCUGAAGCACUAGAGGUCAUCCCAAAGGCCUCUUAUGGCACCCAACUCUACCCAGAAAUCCACUCUUUCUCCCCUUUAAACCAACCCAUAAACUCUUACGUAUACCUAGACAAAGCUAUCUUCACAAUUCAUAGACAAGCAAUAGAGAAUGCUUCCACCUCCUUACCAAUUAACUCUAAUACCCUACUAUCUUGGAAAACCAAAAUGCCUACUAUCAAGCUUCUAACUUCCAAUACCAUUUCAAAAAUUUUCCUACUCCUAAACUCCUUACCAGUUGAACGAACAUCUAUCGAACCUUGGUUUCUUGUUAACAAACUAGAUCAACCCCUUGAGACCUUAUCAAUGACUUUAUUAUCAUAUACUUUUCCUCAUCAUUUGCUCAUUUGACAUUCCAAGACAGGAUUUUUAGCUUCAUCAUGCAACCUAUGUUGGAUCCUAACUGCUACUCUUGGAGCCCUUUUCCUUUUUGUUGAGCUUUUAUAAUUGACUAAGCAUCCCAACUUGUUGAGGUCCCUCUCAAACCAAGAUAUCGAGGUUAACUUCCUCUUCACCUCCAACGAAAAAACAGAAACCCCUCUCCUUAGCCUGCCACACAAGGGAAAAGAUCUCUUUUUCAAAUCCAUCAACUGGCAUUCUUGAGAAACUAUUGAAAUUUGCCAACUUACAAGAUAUACAAUUGGAGGAGUGCUUCUCUACCAAACAACUACUAAAAUUCACCUCAAAGGUGACCUUUUCCCCUGAUCUCUCCCCGGCCUCCAUACCCACUGACCCUUUCACAAAAUUUUCUAGAAUUUCCACUAUCAAGCCGUUACGGAGAACCAUCCUCAACAAACUCCUUUGACUAAUGUGAAAAACCCCACCCAAGAGCAUCUUCCAGAAGUUAACUUACAAGAUUAACUAUAAUCUUGUGAAGACUCGUUACCUAAUGGGUAAAAAAUUUGAAAUUCUAUUAGUAUAAUUCUUUUUAGGCACAAAAGCUGUGAAAAUAGCAUUGGUGCUCUAAUUAAUAACCCCAUAAUUAUUAAGCAAUAAAACAACUUUUAAUAAAUUCUCUUUCACCACAUCCCACCAAUCCUAAUGCAAAAAAGCUAGGAAAAAGUCAUCAUUGCUCUAAGCAUUUCUCCUCACUAGUUGAAAGACUGCUUUAUGAACUUCCUCUUCGACAAAAGGACAAUCCAACCAAUUAGCACCAUUUUCCAAAAUGAGAGACCAACCCCCACUCUUCUAUCCUCUAAGGAUCUUCAUAUAACCAUUAAUGCCUUUCUAUACCAGCUAGUAUAUAUCGGGUUUUGGGCAAGUCCUAUAAAUUGGUUUGAGUAAGAUUUUUAAUUACCCUGUUCUUUCUUUUUAGUUGAUAAAUAUGCAUAUAUGUAGUAAUUCAUACAUCAGAAAAGAUUUUGCUAAAACAAAAGAAUUGACAUGCAGAUAGUGACUUCUUGAUAAGAGUAAUAGCUUAAGGGAGGAAAAUGAACUCCUCCAGUGGCCCCAAAGUGGUAAGUUCCUUCAGAUCCCAUGUUGCUAUUCUGCAUUUCUUUGUGUUUUGGCAUCAGCCCUCUUAAUUAAUUCACUAUCCAGCUUCUCAAAUUCCUCGGAUUCUUCCCUUGUUCUUGUGGAAACAUCUGCAUCUUGUCCUUGCAUUGUUAUGGAUUGGUGAUUAUCAUUCUUUGAGAACUGUGUGGCAGCUGCUCGUGCACCAGCUAUGGCUGCAAGGAGACCUUCUGGUUUCUUGUCUUCAGCAGCUUUGGAGCCAUCAAAGCAAGAAACAAGUAAUCCUGGUUUCAAAGAGAGGGGAUCUUGUGGUUCUGGAAGCAGAAACUUGACAGGUAGUGGAGCUUGAACAGGACGAAGACCCCUAACUGCUGCCUCAUAUAUCUGCAACAAUUUCAGGGGGGAUAAGUAAUUAAAAAUCAGUCACUCUAUUGCAUUAGUUAGACUUGCUUUCAAUGCGAUAGCAAAGAAAGAAUCAUCAAUGAAAAAAGAAAAAAUAAAUGAAAAAGAACAAAAAGGAGAGGGAAAAAAAAAUGAUGGGUGCUCAAUUUGUACUUUUCUUUCCAGGUUAUAAAUACGUUGGUACCCGCGCAUCUCAAAUGGUAUGAUUAAUUUCUGCAUCAGGUCAGGAGAACUAAGUCCAUCAAUAUACUAAAAAGCAAAUAUACCAAAAGGCAAGCAAAAAUGUUUAACCAUCUUGAGUGUCAAACUCUCCAAGAAACUAUAUACUUUUAGCUGAAUGAAAACACAUGCCUGUGGUUGCUCACAGAGCCAGCAAAACUCUGUUUGCGCUUCUAGCCUUACCUACAAAUAGAGUUUAGGUUAUCCAACCAAAAUGGAGAUACAUCACACAAAACAAACUGUACCUAAUCAGUUUACGAAGGGGACGGGGGGAAGCAAAAAGCAAAAGUAAAUUUCUAAGAUGCCCACCCCUUCAGGUACCUCCUUCCAGCACGCCAGCUCUUCACAUUUAACACAACCAACUACUUCAAUACAACCUGUGGCAAGAAUAGAGUUUGUUGGAUUUAUUGUAGCAUGCCAUACAGAAAAAUUUAGCAUUUCAGUAAGAAUAAGAAUAAGAGAGCUACUUUCCACUAAAAUACGAAUCACCCAUCAACUGUUGCAAACAGACAACAAUGUGAAUAACAGGUUUUAUAUAUAUAUAUAUAGAGAGAGAGAGAGAGAGAGAGAGAGAGAGAGAUAGAUAGAUAUAGAGAGAGAGAGAGAGUCAAAUAAUAAUAAAGGACAAAAAUAUUUCUUUGAGAAAGACUAAUUAGAAAGAAGAAACAAAGAACCCACAUGAAAUCAAUUUAGAUAAGAGAAAUACCUUUAAGAAUCUAGUUCUUUUUGCAAAUUGCAACUUAGAAUUGGAAUGCCACAUAUUAUUAUAAGGUAUCACAAGAGAUUAUUGCUUCAUUUUUUUUCUUUGCCAGAUCAGUUUUAAUAAAUAUAAAUAUAAAAAUAUAAGCAUGUACACACACACACGCAAACACAUUAUGUGUGUAUGUUUAUGGAUAUGUAGAUAUAGGUUUUUAAUAAUAGAGCAUGAAAACAUAUCUAGUCAGAAAUUCCAAAAAUCCAAAACCAUUAGCAACACCUAACAGUCUUGAAACUGGGUAAUGUUCUGGAAACUUGAGGUCUGCUAUCCCAUUCACAGCAUAGAUCUCCCUGUAGAAAUUCUCCAUUGCUUUGAUUGUGUCUGAAUCUGGGACCUUACUAGCAGCAUGAAUCCAGAGUCGGCCUUCAUAAAACAAAACAUGUAUAUUAAGAAAUAUCCUUGUAGAACAGUAACAUUUUUGCCAGCAUGCAAUUCGUGUUAAUAAUCCUUGGUUCUCACCACUCAUUGUACAUUACAAUGUAAAGACCUAAUAAGCCCUAAUAUAGGUAGGUGUCUGUGCAGAGAGAGAGAGAGAGAGAGGGGAGGGGGGUGAAAGGAAAGAUGAUUAUAGAACAAAUACAAGUUGAAUCUCCUGAAAUAAUGUCCAUCAAGUUAUUUCCUAGCAACAAGUACUGAUUAUGCUUUUCCUGAUAACAUGAUUUUCUUUGCUAACAACCAUACUAUAUUUUAUCAAGAAAGAGUAGUGCAUGUGGCGUGCAUCAAGACCCAUUAGAGUUCCGCUAAACCUAUAGUUCUGUCAACGUUAUCAUUUACGUUUCCUCUAGAUAAUGGCAUUUUCCUCUAAAACUCUUGCACCAUUAGGCUUCAAGUCAAAAUUUCACAUGUGAACUUUGGAAAUUUUCUCCAUUUGCCCCUAAGGAUACAGUUAGAAUUGACUUAAAAUCCUGAUUGAUGUAUACUUUUAACCGAAGAAUAUUGUAUAUAAUAAUUGAAAUAUUGUUGAUUCAUCGUGGAAAUACAUUUUGUAAGGAAAGUUGUUAAGAAUUUAGUAUGCUAUAUGGAGAAAAAAGUCAUGACUUAAGGUUGAGUAUGUAUAUUCUAUAUCAAAUAUUAGGUAGGAAUGUGGAAAAGAGCAGAGUGUAAUUAUAAGAAACAAAGAAAUAUAAGAUAUUCUUGAAAGUGGAAAAUGUAAAAUGGCUAAAAGUCAAAUUUAUGAUGCAUAAGGGGGAUCAUGUCACAUAAGAAACUCAUGGCAUACCAAAUACGUGUGGUAUGGAGUAACAAUUUUGUUAAAAUAAGUUUCUCGUUGGAGUACAUUAGGUGACAAUUUUUUAAUAUCAAAUUAAAGAGUCAAGUGCAUCAAUGAAGUCAUAUGUAGAAAAUUUGUUUGUGACAUGUACCAUAAAGAUAAGAUUGACUUGAUAUAAUUUAGUCCAGGUAGGAGUUGUUAAAGGUGUCUCAAAUUUCUAAUUGAUAUAUAUUUUUUUCUAAAAAAAUAUUAUAUAGAUAUUUCAAUAAAUGAUUAAUUCUUUGUAAAAAUACUUACAUAAUAAAAAACAUCAUUAGAAAUAUCUCUAUAAAUAUUUUAAAUCACAAAAAGAAAAAAAAAAUCACUAUGAGAUAAUUAUAAACAUGCAACAUUGUACCAAGUAAACAGAAAUGUGAUAAAAAAAUUUUGAGAAACACUAAAUAAAGGAAGGGCUUGUAUAUCAAGAUGUAAAUAUAGAGAGCAAUAUUUUUAAUCAUAUGAUAGAAUUAUUUUCUCUCAUUCAUGAUUAUAAGCAAAAUUGGGAACCAUUAUAAAAUCUUGUACACCUCGUGUAAAUUGAUGUUUGUCUUCAUAUUUUACACCAACAAAUGACAUUGAAGUUGUCAUUGAUAAAAGGGAAAAGGCAUGGCCUCCACACCAUGUGCUUGAAUCGUAUGGUUCAAGUUUAAAGAAUUUUCUCCAUAAUUUGAAGAUCUAAAACAUUUUCACCUUUAAAUUUCAUUUAAUUAUUAAUAUCUACAAAAAAUAGUUAAAUACUCUUUCUAUUUUUGAGUUGUUGAAUUUUUUGAAAGUUUUUAUAUUUGUUAUCAAGAAUUUAUAUUUUAUUAAGUGUGAAUAUUUAUAAAUAAGAUAUUAUAUAAUAUUUGGAUAAGAGAGAAUGGUGGAAUAUAAUAAAGUUUUAAUCCUUCCCAAUUUUUAUCUUUUUUUUUUUUUUUUUUUAUAAUCGCCUUUCUCUUUCAAUCCUAUUAUCAGGUACCUUAUAUUUGCUGAUGCUAUCUGGAACUAAAUUCCAAUCAGACAUUGUCCAAUUACUAAUAGGACAGAUCAUGUCUCUCUGUUUCUAAACUAACAUGUAUCGUAAUGUGGCCUCAUAAGGAAGGCUAGGAAGAUGGAGGAUUUUGUGGGAAGCGACCAGAAUCAGAUGGAAGAGAGAUAGCCCUGUUGACCUAAUGGCUGUAAUAGGAGAAGCGUGUGGAUUUAUGGGACUUAACUGAUACUAAACCUAUAUGAUGCUUGGAGUGGUGUUUCUUUCAUUUUGUUAAGAAAAUAUGGCAGCAUACAUCCUUUCAAUUGAGUGCAUCAGAGCAUCCAUAAUAGAUGGUCUGCAACCCUAGGUGCAUGCCACUUUCUGACUGAUAAUGAAACUGUCAGGUACUUGGCCUUGACUAAGCUCAACAGCAUCACAUAAAAAGAAGCUUUCAUACUUAGAUUACUGUUUAAAGCUUUUGCUUAUUUGCUUUCUUAAUGCCAUUAUGACAUUAUUGUUUCAAUUCUGCUACCGAUUUUCGAAGUUCUGGGCAUCUACUGAUUGCAUCAUUAUAUGAGAAGUUGCAUGAGUUUAUGUAUCCUGUUAUUGCUCCUUUGCGAUUUCACUGCUCACGGGACUAACCUCUCCAUUCAGUCGAAAUGAAUUGUAAUUUCUUUACUGGUAGCAGUAGUACUUUUCAUAGCAAAGAUAAUAGUAAAUAUGAAAUAUAAAUAGAAGGAAAUCUGAAUUGUAGAUGGCACUAUAAGUAACACUCAAUAUUCACUACAUAAUAAAAUAGACAGUGUUACAAAGGUAGAGAAACCUACAAUGAGUACUCAUCACCAUUCUCAAACAGAAACAUAGCAGCGACUUAUACAUAGAACCUAUAGGCUUGCAGGGAAAGAAGGGAAAGAGUAACAUGAUAAGUUCACAGCGGGUAGCAGCUCUUAUUUUACGUAUUACUCAAAAUCUCAAACUAACCAAAGUCACUCAGUUGGGAUGGGUAGGAGAUGGUGGUUUGUGGGGUGGCUUCUGGGUAGGAGCUGGUGGCUUCUUUGUUGGAGUUGAAGGAGGCGUAAUCUUCUGAGGUGGCUUGUAUGAGUCUUCGGCACUCUCUGCAGGAGGGUGCCCAGGGUUGUGACCGGAAGGAGGUGGCUUCUGUCCCUUUGGUGGUUUGCCUAAUGGGCUUGGUGGCUUGUGCUCCGGGAGUUGUUUCUCUCCCUCGAGUAGGUUUCGAGUUUUGUCAGAUGGCUUGUGUUCUGGUGGUGGCUUCUCUCCCUGGGGUGGUUUGCCGAAUGGGCUUGGUGGCUUGUGUUCGGGGAGUGGCUUCUCUCCCUGGAGAAGGUUACGAGUUUUGUCAGAUGGCUUUUGUUCUGGUGGUGGCUUCUCUCCCUGGGGUGGUUUGCCAAAUGGGCUUGGUGGCUUGUGUUCGGGAACUGGCUUCUCUCCCUUGGGAGGUUCAUUUGGUGGCUGGUGUUCCGUAGGUGGUUCCUUCACCGGCGGCUUGUGCUCCGGAAGCGGCUUCUCUACCUGGAGAAGCUUACGAGUUUUGUCAGAUGGCUUGUGUUGUGGUGGGGGCUUCUCUCCCUGGGGUGGUUUGCCAAACGGACUUGGUGGCUUGUGUUCGGGGAGUGGCUUCUCUCCAUUGGGAGGUUUAAUUGGUGGUUGGUGUUCCGUAGGUGGUUUCUGAAGUGGGGGAUGCUUGGGGUAGUCAGCAAGAGACGAGGUAGUGAGAACCACCAGUCCCAGCAGCAACACUAGCAAGGAUGUGGAAGACAUCUUUGAGUUCAGGCUGAGAUCU
RNAcentral lists this long non-coding RNA (96603 nucleotides) under Vitis vinifera (wine grape). RNAcentral's name for it is "long non-coding RNA (VVIN_LNC001392)". The record is from RNAcentral. Lineage: Eukaryota; Viridiplantae; Streptophyta; Magnoliopsida; Vitales; Vitaceae.